Molecule: long non-coding RNA, 89881 nt
Filed under: Brachypodium distachyon (stiff brome)
Lineage: Eukaryota; Viridiplantae; Streptophyta; Magnoliopsida; Poales; Poaceae
Description: long non-coding RNA (BDIS_LNC001228)
Rfam family: MIR1120/MIR1122 microRNA precursor family (bases 22603-22727)
Source: RNAcentral
CUGGGGAUGCUUGUAUUUAGGCAAAGUUCUUGUAGGGAAAUGUUAGUUCCGUGUCAUUAAUUCGAGUGGUGCUAGGGGUGAUUAUUUUAUAAUAAAUUUAUGUACCUUCAUUUCGUCUUGCAUCCUUCAUGUUUUGGCGUGUUUCAGUAUUUAUGCCAAAUUUUGGUAUCUUUAAUUGGCUUUCUAUACCUUAUAUUUUGGUGCAUCUUGCAUUGUGCAGUAGGUUAGUUUUCGAGUUAUGCACAGUUAUAAGUCCCCUUGUGUUUUGAAUGGUCAUUUAAGUUUUUGUAACUGCAGUUGAUCUUGUAUCCUUCAUAGUUGGCGCACUGCGCAUUGAAUGUUAGGGCAGUGUUUAAGUUUUGUGUAAUUAUUUAGAUAUUAUGGGAGGGUUCUAUAUGCAAAAGAAGUUUUUGUAUCUGCAUUUGGUCAUUAUUGUAACUAACAUUUGUUUCCUUUUGGGUAUGACUUGGAAGGUUGUUUUAUGGUCACGUGCUUAGCUCUGAUAUUGGAGGACUCUGAAGUGACAUAUUUUUGUGAAUCCGUCUUGUCGUUGUGGCAUUUCUACUUUUCUGAGGUGUGACGAAAUGGAAUGCAACAAGGCUGCGGCACUUAGGUUGAGGGAGCUUGCAGAGAGGAAGUUUGAAAGCAUGGACCUGAAGGGUGCCAAGAAGUGGGCCCUCAAGGCACAGGCUCUCUUUCCAGGGAUUGAAGGCAUUGAUCAAAUGAUUACCACCUUUGAUAUUUACCUUGCUUCAGAGGUAAAGAUUGCCGGGGAGAAGGACUGGUACUCUGUCCUUUCUGUGGACACAUCGGCAGAUGACAAGACUAUAAAGAAGCAGUACAGGAAGUUGCUUCUUCAGAUUCACCCCGACAAGAAUAAGUCAGUUGGUGCUCUCGGUGCUUUCCUAAAAGUCACAGAUGCAUAUAGUGUGCUGUCUGAUAAAACCAAGAAAGUGUUGUAUGACCGGAAGAGGAAGUUAGGGAUAUUCCGGCCGAAGACAUCUCGAUCAACUAAGGCAAGGGCAGCUCCUGGUGCUGUCCAUCAGACAUUUGAGAAAGUUAAGAGAAAGAGGGAGGAGAAACAAGCAGCAACAGGAAGGGAAAAUGCUGUUCAGAAGAAGCGCAAGCCUCGACAAAAACAAUCAAAUAUGUCACACUCUGUUAACCUUGGAACAAGUGAUGUUGCAUGUGGAAAGAAGAUGAGAAGUGUGGGUAAAGAUGCAGGGGACAAUUCUUUUAGAAUGCCAGAUGGAUGCGUUUCAUUUUCCACCAGCAGCGGAUCCUCUCAGUUUCAACAUGUUUAUGGUGGGUCCAAUGGGAAACAAAGAGCUCGUACUCACAUGAGCAAGACCUUUUCUAAUGCUGAAAUGAGAAGAAUUAUGAUUGACAAGACGAAGAACGAUUUGAUGGAGAAGCUAAAGGAGAUUAAAAGUAAAACAGUCGAAGUUGUAGUUGAUGGAAAAGCGAGCAACAAGCAAAUAGUUAAAGAACAUGUUGAGGCUAAUAAAACUUUUGCAUCGAUUAUUCUAAUGCAAAUGAAGAAGAUGGCCCAUCCUCUUAUAUUGUUGCUGAUCCUCAUUUCCAUGAUUUUGAUAAGGAUCGUACAGAGAGAUCUUUUCAGAGUGAUCAAAUAUGGGCUUUAUAUGAUGAAGAAGAUGGUAUGCCUCGCUAUUAUGCAUUUAUUCGGGAACCUAUCUCCUCUAGUCCAUUUAAUAUCAAAAUUAGCUUUCUUACCUCAAGGGCAAAUACUGAAUUUGGGUCUUUAAAUUGGGUUUCAUCUGGCUUCAAAAAGACAUGUGGUAAUUUCAGGAUCGGUAGAUGCGAAACCCGUGAAGUAUUUAACAUAUUCUCUCAUCAGAUUAAAUGGGAGAAAGGUCCAAGUGGGAUAAUCAAAAUUUAUCCACGGAAAGGCGACAUCUGGGCAGUGUACCGGAAUUGCUCACCUGACUGGAAUGGAGAUACUCCAGAUAAUGUGAUUCGUAUUUAUGAUCUUGCUGAGGUACUGACUGAUUAUGAUCAAGACUGCAGCAUUACUGUCCUUCCCUUGAUAAAGAUAAAAGGGUAUAGAACAAUUUUUCAGCGUCAUCAGGAUCUGAAUGUCAUCAAGAGGAUUCCGAAAGAUGAGAUGUUCCGGUUUUCACACCAGGUUCCUUUUGUUAGGAUGUCAGCGGAAGAAGCUACAAAUGUGCCCAAAGAUAGCUAUGAGGUAGACCCUGCUGCCAUUUCUGAAGAACUUCUUCAGGAGAUCACAAAAACAGUGGAGGAGGGGAAGGAUAUGCUAGGGGAAGAAGCUCCCAAUACCCCCAAAUUGUAGCUAUGAGGUAGACUCAGCUGCUAUAUCUAAAGAUCUUAAGGGGAUAAUAGAAUCAGUGGAAGAGAAGGUAAAGACAGUCUGAAUGCUGGUUAAGAUUGUUGAUGCUCACUUUUAGUUUCCAUGUUCUCCUAGCUUGUACUCCGUAUUUCUUUUGACAAUUACCUUUUUCAGACAAGGAUUAGUAUGGGCAAGGCCAUUGAAGAGGCAUCUGCUUGUGUUGUAAUUUGAACCCUCUGGCAUGAAUGUUGUUGUGAGGAUCUGUGUUUUUAAGUACUGUAGCUCAUAAAAGUAGCAGAACUAAAGUGAAUCUCCUGUGGCAGCUUCUCCGUAAAAGUUUUUUGUGCCAUGUCUUUAUUUUUUUCAGGUCAGUGUUGGCGUUGGAGUUUUUCUUAGUGAAACUUCUGGAGAUGGUACUCUAAAAUGUUAGUGCACUGUGCACAUGUGUUUCUAGCUUUUUAGCGUUCAUCCUGAAUAACCACACUAGUAACUUUUGAAUUUUUUUACCAGCUACCUAUCAUUGAUAUCUCAUGUAGGAGUAAUAUGUAGUAGCCAAAAUGGAACUUUGUACGUUGUAUUAUGCUGCAGCUUGUUUGGAUACAUGACAUGCUUUUGUUUGGUACUCUCUUCGUUUCCAACGACAAGUAGUUAGACCGUGGAUUUCUGGCAUCAACCAGGCAUUCAUCCAGGCGCUCCCCCCAUCUUCGUCUGCACGUGUGCCAGCUGUGCGAGUUCGCCUUGGUCGCGGGUUCCGGCUGCUCCCGACAUGCGGCCAUGCGUUCCAGGUGCCCUGCAUCCACGCCUGGUUGCUGUCCCACUCCACCUGACCGCGCUCUGCCGUGGCAGCGUCCACCGACCUUGCGCCGGUCCUCCAGCGCUAGCACAAGAAGCAGAGCCCCGCGAGCUCGAGAUCACGGCACCGGCGGUUCGCGUUGUAGAUCCGGCAAGCACCUGCAGCUAGCACCUGCAGGUCUCUGUCACGUCCCAAGUGAAAGCGACUCCAAAGCAAUUCGCGGGAGAUCCUCUACGGCGAGCGACUACACCGAGCCGAACCAGCGGCAACAUCGACUCCGGAUCACGGACGCCACGCCACGUGCACGAGUGCUCAACUCUCUGUGUUUCGAGUCUUCUGCAUCAUACUGUACGACUACACUACAAGCCACUUCUACGUCAGGCACAUCACACUUAUACGUCAGGCACUUCUCCAUGACAACUCGCAGACAACUUGGUUAUUUAGUCUUAUCCAUAUUAUUUGUCUCAAAUUUGCUCAAAUAUGAAUGCGUCUAUGUUUAGAAACGGUUUAGAUACACGUAAUAUUUCGACAAUUAAUUUCGGCCAAAGAGUACUAGUUUUACGUGGCACCGCAGUUUAGCGGUAUAGUCAAAAAAGCCCGGUUAUCGAAAAUACCGGUUGGCUAAUAUAUUCAUGACAGUAUAUUCUCUGUACGGUUCCAGCGCUUUCCCCAAAACGUUCGGUUGUGAUAAAAACUUUGAUCUUUCCUCGUCUAGAGGAUGAGGACAGAGGUAGCGAUCUCUGAAUGUUGGAGGUCCUUCUCUCAUCUUUGCCGUCUUCUGAAAGAACGCACGGGCUAUGUGUGGUUCGAAUCCAGCGGCACCGAGUAGCAGGAGUCCAAUGUAAUCUGCCUCUGCCUCCAUCCUGUGUACAUAUAUGGGAUAAUUCAUUUCUCUAUCGCACGAAUUCUCUUUUCGGUGUAUAUCUCACAUUCAGGAUGUAAUUAAAUCAUCACCAGAAGACAUGAAUAAUGUGAAAUGCACAAUGGCUGUACCUUUGCGAGGAGUGCGGCAAGCGGAAUAUCCGUAACGGCUUUCUGCUGGCGAUAUCAACGUCAUGCCUUGCAAUGAUAUGUCCAACCUAAACCAAAAAAAAAAAAAGAGACCAAUAUAAUGUCAAUUUGAAUCGAAAUCCAAAUUCAACAAUUAAUGACACGCGAGUACGUUGUAUAUUUGCCAUGCACUAUGAACCAAAUAUAUAGUAAUAAACGUACCUCAUGCGCAAUGACAGUGGCGAUAUCAUCGUCGGUGAAGGGAUCGUCGAGCAAUCCGGUGUACACUACAACUUUGCCGCCGGGCAUGCACAUUGCAGUUGCACCGGCGUUACUAUCCGCAACAAGGAUCACGUCCCAAUCGAGCCCACGGAGAUGCGUCGUCUGUGGCCGGGGUCCCAAUGCCUUGCCGGCCUGAUCCAGGUUCGUGGUGACACGGAGCAUGACAGCGUCGUCAUGGUCCAUGACGCCGAGGCCACGGUAAGCGGCAUGGAUGAUCUUGCGAGCGAUGAGACGGACACGCACGCUGUCCGGGUGGAGCGGGUCGAGGAUGUGGGAAGCCAUCUUCUCCUUGUACUCGGCGAAAUCGGACUCGCCGAGCUCGCGUUCGGACCGCGGAGAGGCGACGACGAAGUGCGCGCGGUUGGUGCAGGGCACGAACUCGAGGUAGCGGUGGCGGAAGGCCAUCAGCGCGGCGCCCGUGGCCAGAGCCGACAGGGCAGCGACCUUCCUUGGAUCGUGGUACCACCGGCAGCACCGGGCCGGGCUUGGUGGGGAACUAGUGCAGCAGUAGCAACGUCGAUGCUUGAUAACAUGGCGGCUUGAUAAUCCUGCAGGGAUAGAUCGCCAGACGUCCGGCUGCCGCUGCGGGGUGAUGUGGUGGAAGCGAGUACUACUGGUCGGCACCUGCUGGGACGGCCGUGCGAGGAGGAGCCGGGCCUGGUGGUGCUGGGAGAGGAGGCGGCGCGAGUUCCGCAAGCAGUUCGUCAUCUUUUCUUUUGGCGGAUCCUCUUGGAGUAAUAAGCGAUGAUCGAGCGGAUCUGUUUUUGAGUUUGGAUGUUCACACGUUGUCGGUUGGCAUUUUUAUAGAGGAAACAAGAGCGGCUGCCUUACGGUAACGGGAAUCCGAACCGAUCGCAAUUCGCAAACAAGACGUACAGUAUGUCACCUACCGGGCUUCGAUCCGUUUCGCUGGGUUUGACCGAAGGCCUUUUCUUUUCUUUCCUUCCUGCUUGUGUCCGUCCACAAAACGGAGAUAGCUGGCGGCUGGCCCUAGCACUAGCACGUCCUGUAAGUUGUAACCUGCAUGCACGUACAUAGAGCUCACGAAUAUCCCUGUCGGCCAUGAACCGACAAGAAUAAUGCUGUUUCCCGACAGGAAUAGAAUUCCUGUGUGUUAGCCGACAGGAAUAGCCGACAGGGAUAUCUAUACAGGGAUGGUCGAAAAUGUCUGUGUGUUGGCCGACAGGAGAUAUUUUUCUGUCGGCCACUCCCGUGUGCCACCGACAGGAAUAUAAUCCGUCGUCAGGUUGAGGCUCGUCGGCUCAAGGAAUUUUCCUGCCGGGUAAGUGCUGUCGGCUCACUCACAGGGAAUUAAAUUAAUAGAAAAAUUGCAUUUUCGGUCGUCAGGUGUACACAUUUGCCUGUGCAGUUGCGUCGAUAGGAAAAUGGGUUAUAGACUGACAGGAAUAUACAUAGGGCAACAUCUGUAGCCGACAGGAGAAUGGAGAUGGACCGACAGGAAAAAUCAAAAAAACUGAUAGAAAAAAUGUAGAACAUUAAAUACAAUUCAUAUUUGCACAGCACAGUAACAAAUGAAUAUAAUCUCAACAGUACACAUAACCCACAAUCAAGUCACAAACAAGUUCAUACACUCCAGAAUGUGCAAACAAGUUCGAAGCAUCACAAUACAUAUUGUCUAACAAGUCCUACAUGAAUUGAAGCUCACAAACCACAUGUCAUGACUCACAACCAUAAACAGACUACACUACCACAAAAUACACAAGUCCAGCAAACCACCUUCACUUGUGAAAAGUUAGAACCAUCCAACCACCUUCAUACGUCAGGACUCACAAUGUUCCAAGUGACCAAAAGUUAGAACCGUCCGACAACAACCUUCACUUGUCAGGACUCUGGACCGGGUUGUUGGAGCCUUUAGUCCCCCCACACGAUCUGUUGUUGCUGUUGUUGCCAUCGGUUUGCUCAGCCACCAAGUCAUGGUUGCUUUCCUCGUCAACCAUGUUGGCACCGCCAUCCUUGUGAGCCAUCACUUCCAAGCCUUCCAAGUCACCACCAAUGUUGCUUUGGGCACCUUGGGAUACGACACGAGAUGAGAUCGGAGUUCCCUGCAUAAGGAGAUACAAUUAAUAAUUUACAUGUGCACAAAACAAAUUUGGUUGCAUCAUCUUACCAACAAUAUGGCAUCUAACUACUCAUGCUAUGUUGGACAACAUUAACAUGAGGCAACAUCCUCAUUGCAGCAAGAUGAGUUCCCAUUCUGACAUGCAUGACAAUUAGAGUCAUGUACAAUAUAGUAGAAAAUUGUUUUGCUUUUAGUACUAUAAUAAACUUACUUGUGGUGUUGGAAGCAAAUUGGUUCCAAGCCAAGCCGGUGGUUCUUUGUCCAUGUCCUUUAAGAUUUCCUACAAAAGUAAAAUGCGCAUCAAGAUAUAUUCAUUAGUUCUUCUAUGACUAGAUAACUAAUGAGUUGAAAUUUCUGAUAAAGAUACACAUACCAAUAUGAGUCGAUCAUGCAACUCUAGUUUUUGCACUAGGCCCUGAUUGGCAACCUUCAGCUCCCCAUUUUCUUCAAUUACACGCUGGAGUUGAUGGCUUUGUCGAGAUGCCAAAGGAACCGACGUUCUGGAUUCUUUUUGCUUGCUUUCAAGCAUAUAUGAUUUCAUCUUUACAAACAGCCCCAUCUGCUACUGGCAAUCGACCAUGUGGCAUGCCACCACCUGAUUUAUAUAACACCUCUCCAUCAAUCUCUUCAGGAACCCAAUCAUCGGGAAGAUCUGAAUCGGCUUCUUUAGCUGCUUGAAGAUAAUUGUCCUACAAGAUAGAAUAAUAGAGUGUUGCAAUGAUGUGUUUUAGACAAGUAUUACAAGGAGGGAAUUUAGACAAGUGUAUACAUACAAUCCGCUUUUGAGCAACACAAAGUAUUGCUCCACGUGGCUUGCCAUGUGCAUCCAGAUUUUUAAACCCAGAUUUCAUUGCAGCAUAUGUAUCCAGCACCGAAGCAUUCUCAGAACCAUAAGAAUCUGCCUGCAAGUCAAUACAAAUAAUAUAAGACAUUAUUGUGACCAACAUUCAUAAAAUAGAGAAGAAAUCAACACAAGACAUACCAUACAUUGUUGUGUCAUACCAAAUGGCAUUGAACCUCCACGAUUCUGAGCAACUUCUUGUCCUUUGGAUCUACACACCUGUUCCCUCUUCCUUUUUGCUUCAUACUCUUCUGAAGUCCAAAAACGACACAUUGCAUCCCAUGCAUGCAUGUUCAGGGAACCAUGGUAUCCUGCUUUCUAGGUAUUCAUCGUAGGCAAGUUCUUCUCCACGUGCCAAAGAAUCAUCAAUUAUAUCUCCUUUCUUCUCAAUGCAUCUUCACUGCAUCUAGGCGGAGCUGGUACAUCAUGUCUACCACCUUUUUCUUUCCAUAGUUCUCAAGGACAACAUCAGCCCUCUCAUCAACCUUUUCAAUUUCUUGCUCAGAUUCGCAAUUAUCAAAAGAGAGAUCAAACAAGUUCUGCAUGUUCAAAAGUCAGUCAAGUACAAAUUAGAGGUAAACAUGUAAAAAUUCAAAACAAUUAACCGUUAGAGGAACUAUGGAAUUUACCCAGAACUCAUGCUUCACAUAAUUUCUACAGAUGCGGCAUGGACAUUUAAUUUACCAUCUUGAACUACACUAGGCAAAGAGAAAGCGUGAUUCAAGAAUCAACCAGUUUCUGCAAUCCAUUCAUUAUCGGGAAUUUUAUCAUGAUGCCAACCAUUAUACAUCCAAGCCCGGUUCGCCAUUUACCAAUUGCUGUGUUUAAAACAUUAAUUCAAACAAUUCAAUGCUACUGUCAACCAUUGCACAUCAUACAUAACAAAAUCAAAAUUAACCGCAGACAAGUCAAAAGUGAAAAAUCACACCUGUUGCCUAUCGUCUCCCUUCCCAAACCGCUUGACCAGAGAAAAACCUAAUCCAGCUGCCUUGCUCCUGUUCGGGUGUCGGAAUUGAACUUAAUUUCCAGUACAAGUACCAUCCGUGGUGUGUAUAACACAAAAUUUAGAAGAGAAGGAGGAGUACUUACAUCCAAAUUUUACGAGUGGGGGAGGAGGUGGACUGCACCAUGCAGUUGCUCCAUUCCGGGACGCAGAUCUGGGGAGACUAGGGAAUUCCGGGGCGCCAAAUUUUACGAGUAGGGGAGGAGGUGUGAGCACUGGCCGAGGUAGGAGAGGGGAGGCAGGGGGCGCGAUGGGGAGGUGGGGCCGGUGGAGGAGAGGCAGGGAGGCGCGAUGGGGAGGUGGGGCCGGUGGAGGAGAGGCAGGGAGGCGCGAUGGGGAGGUGGGGGGCGGCACGAUGGGGAGGCAGGGACGGCAGAGGAGAGCGGAGGCAAGGCCGACGCAGCCGGCGGAGGAGAGGGAGGUGAGGCCGGUGUGGGGAGCGGCGGGGGCUUGGGAGGCAGGCGGCGGCGCGAUUGGGAGGCACGAACGGCGGAGGAGAGAGAGGCGAGGCCGGCCCCCGGCGGAGGAGGGCCGAUGUGGGGAGUGGCGGUGGCUCGGGAGGGAGUGGGGAGUGAGAGUGUGAGGGAGGGAGUCGGGAGGAAUCUAGGGUAAGGGAGAGAGAGCCUGGUAAAAAGCCUGGGCUCAGACAUGUCUGAGGCCGCGCGUGGGAUCUUGCCUUGUGACUAAAUAUCCCUGUCGGUCCCGCAACUGCCCGACAGGGAAACACAUAUUCCUCCGCGUGUCGCCGACAGGCAAAUAUAUAUUCUUGUGCGUGUCAUCUAUACUCACAUGAAUAGAAAAUCAAAAUGAAAGAUUACACUUGUUUUAUAAAGAGUGUGUAGUAUAUUAUUUCAUAUAUGUGACUAAAUCAAACCAAUUGUUGCUAGUACAUUGAUUUAUAAAUUUUGGUAUAAUAUUUUUGGUAAUUCUUUUAUACAAUACUUCCAUUAAAUAGUUUCAGAAAAUCAUAAACACAUUAUUUUGUACAAAUGGUAUUGUCGCACCAGUGGCACCUGGGGUACCACCGCUGCAUGACGCGUGGGUCGCCUUGCUUGCUCCCCGCAAGGAUAGCACCCCGGGCAGCCCCGUGCAAGCUGCCUGGCAAGUCACCAGCCCGACAAGGCUAGCCGGGCUGUAGGGGUUGCCCUGAAAGGCAACAUGAGGAUUCCCGUCUGGGCGCCCUCCCGGGAAGGUCGCUUGCCGGAGAGGGCGUUCCCGGGCGCAGGCACUUACCAUAGGGGCGGGACCAAGCGGGUAGAGCAACGGCGCCACGUGGCCACCUGCCUGGUUUCCUGUGCGCAGGGCUCGUCAAGGUAAGGAGUGAAACACAAGCAAGCAUUUAAUGUUCCGACAGAAAGGGGAUUCCCCGUCUAGUCAGCCCACAAUGACUGGCUCGCUGUGAAUUCUAGACACCUAGCGCCCUAGUUGCAGGGCUACUCACCAUGCAUGCAAGCCAGCGCAGCGAGGGCAAGCUGCCCGAGUUUUUUGCUCGCCAUUUGUCACCCAUGCACCAAGGCACUUGUGGAAUCCCCUUGAGUAUAAAAGGAGGACCAUCGCCAACAGUCAAAGGGUUCGGUUCCUUACGAGUUUUAGCCAGAAAUAGCAAGUAGUCCUUAGCAAGAAAGGGGAGAGCACCCAGGGACUCCCCCAGCAACCUGUAGACCAUUGUUCAUCGGCUAAUAAAAACACAAAAGCAGGACGUAGGAUUUUACACCUCAGGAUGGUCCGAACCUGAGUAAAACGAACUUGUGUUCCCUCAAUAUUUUAGUAUGCUAUUUGUAUCAUUAUACUUUCCUAAUUGAUAGCAAGCCUAGUAAGGGUCUGCGCAAGUUCCUGAAGCACUUCGAUGGUGGGAAUGCUAUCAAAGGAAAGCUGGUGAGUUCGGCGCAUCAACUGUUAUCUUUAUACGAAACGAUCAAAAUCAGUGUGUCGCUGACAAUUAUGAUGUUGUUACUUUGCGGUAAAUUGAUUGUCGUCACAAUCAUGUUGUGUUUGGACUGGACCCAACGAGCCUAUGAUUGUCCCGCAGUUUGUUUUGGUAUAUGCUGAUAUCUUUUGAUUCUUGUAGAUACUGGCCGAUAAUUGUAAUUUCCAUGGAUACAAAAGUUAAUGAUCUUGACCUAUUAACUCUGAGUAUCUAAAUAGUAGGAUGAAUAUUGCUCUAAUUUGAUGACACGCUUAUUGGUGAACUUGUGAUCGCUCAUAUUAUUGCAAAUGGUGGUGGUUUGAUAAAUUUUGGCGAGCAGCAUGACAGCAGAUGGUGGUACUUUGAUGAAUUUUACAAUUAUGAGUGUUGAAAGCGUUUGUUCUUUCAUGUAUCAACUACCAACAGUGAAUUAAGAGGCACUCCAUCCGUUCUAAAUGUAAAAUGUUCUAACUGGUUCUAGAUGUAUGGGUUGCUUCAUGCACAACGGGGACGUUUGUGCCAUCUCGUAACCAUGCGCUUGAAGGAUCAACUAUUUAAAUCAUAAGGGCAUGAGUGCAUGAACUUUGUUUUCAAUCUUGCUACGUAACUUUUUAUUCCGGUGUAACCCACAGAUACAUUAAUAGUCUGAAAUAAUAUGAUAACAUUCUUUAAAAUUUAGUCCGUACCAACGCAGGGGACGCGAUCGUGUCCACAGAUCUAUCUCUCUUUGUCUUCUCCCUCCUCUCUGGUCUCUCUGUCUUCUCUCCCCACCCCGCACCCACCUCCGCCUAGUCCGCCGCCGGCGACCUCCGCCUGCCCCUCUCUCUCCCUUUCUUCUCCCGUCCCUCUCUCUCCCUAGGUUUCUUCAUCCCGCCCCCCCUCCGCUCUCUCCUAGCUCAGACUGCAGGUGCGGCGGGGCGAGGCUGCAGCGGUGGGGAGAGCAGAGGAGGCGCGCGCUCUCUCUCCCUCUCUCUGUGACCCGGCUUCGACCGGCGAGGCGUGCGGGCGGCGGCGGCGGCGAGCAGCGACGCGGGUCUGCCGCAGCGGGACCGGGCGGGUACGCGGAGGAGGCAGCGGGCGACGUCCUUAUUUUAUUUUUCCAUUAUUUCAUUGCCGCUGCAGGGAUCUGCCUACGAUAAAUACAUCGCACAAGUUCAGUUAACUUUUCUUUGCCGAAGGCCCACGUUUUUGCCUUCGGCAAAGCCUUUGCCAAGACCCUGUGAAAAAGCCUCCAGCAAAGAGGUCUUUGCCGGCCCAUGUUCAUGCGGAUGCUCUUUGCCGAAGGGUUUCGGCCUGCAGCAAAGACAAGUUUUGCGGUAGUGCCGACCGAGGACAUGCUCUAACACCCAUAUUGGAAACUAGAAGCACCUGCACUCCAGCCGCACCAUGCCCGAUCAACGACGAUAGAGCACAUCGAUGCUCGGGCUACGUACGGGCCUGCGCAGCCCACUGGCUGGUUUAUUUUACUCCUAUAUAUCAUUCACUCUCCUGCAUUCUUGCUCUCUGGACUGAACUGAAGAUGGCGGCAAUGUACGCCGGCAUGGCUUCAAUUCACAAACAGUACACCGGGCAUCGAUACCACAACCCGCCAAGGAUGUACACCGACACCGAGCAUACCAACAACAAGUAUUUAUGCUUGUCGGGACGCGCAGUCGAGUCUGUCGUCUUCCAUGAACUCCCCAUGGCGUGCGGUUGGCAGCAAUCUUCCCGUUCAGGCGCAAGAGGAUGCAAAUGCAUAGAUGCACCACAGGAGGAUGCGAUCCACACGCAUUUUCGUUGCCCGCCGGCGAGAGCACUUUGGCGUGCAAUGCGGGAGUGCUGGCAACCAAGAAACAAUUACCCUGGUAGGAUCUGCAAGCCUGGUCUAACUGCACAUCAACUAUUAUGUAUUUAUAUAUCCUUGAUACUUGCUUGGCCUCUUUCACAUGUUCAAACAUCAUCUUUCGAAAAACAUUCAGUGUUUUCGAGAUUUUGCAGGAAAAAAAAAGAGGGACAGCGAUGGACCAGUAAGUGUAUCACUCUGAAAUGUGGCCAAGAUAGUUCCGGUCGAUUUUUGUCCUAAUUAGUUGGUGGCCAUGGUGUCUUUUUUGUUCGUUUGCUCACUCCUGCUCUCUCUUUUUAGGACCCCUGGGCCGGGGUCCAAGUUAUCAGCUACGAAGGAUGAGUUUUUGCAAAUACGUGAGGGGCAUAACAGAGAAAUAACUACUACAGGUUGCUGAUUUUGGUUUAUCAAAGAUGAAACAAGCCACCUUGUUUCUGGUAGAAUGAGAGGAACUCUUCCAUGGAUGGCUCCAGAAUUGCUGAUAGUGAGCGGCACUAAAGUUUCUGAAAAGGUAUUAUUCUGAAUCUUGUUAAUAACUGGACUUGUGAAGGUAUUAGAAAAUGUGAAGUACUAACAAAUCAUGGCAUUGUGUGUUUCCCUAUUUCACUUGACAUUUUGGAACAAAUGUAUAUCUUAUACUCUUAUCAUCCGUGAAUCUAACGUUAUUCAAAUUGUACCGUGAUGGUCAAGAUACCUGAGUUGCUCACUGCGAGAUAUAAACGAUUAAUGAUCCUUCAUGUUCAACGAAAACUAAAGCAUGCCUCAUAUACAAUUCAUGAAAGUCACAAGUAAUCGUUAAACAACUAUAGUAUACCAUGCAAACCAAAAUAGAACUGCUACGCCUGGCUUGUUUUGCUUUUUCCUAGACUAAAAUAUACCAACUUUAUGCUCACUCAGGUUGAUGUAUAUUCUUUUGGCGUUGUGAUGUGGAAAAUUCUCACUGGUGAGGAUCCAUAGAAUGCACUAUGGAGGAGUCAUAGGUAUGCAUACAGUAAUUUGACGGAGUUCCUUUAUAUUGUCAAUCUGCUCUGCAUUUUCUGAACCUGACAAAGCUGAAUAUUUCCUAUCAGGCUCCUACUACUACUCCUGCUCCACCCUCAGCAUUUCCCCUUACAUUUGGGACCUCUUGCAGGAAAUGUGAUUUGCUUAUUGAAUGCAUCAGAGUGUCUAAAUAAAACUCUCCGCCAAAUCUGCCAUGAGCCGUUCCUAGCAAAAGAGCUACCAAUGCUACCAGCUGAGAAUGGACAUGCAGUACCAGAUAAAAACAUAACUGGUGCAAAUCAAACUGCAAGCACUGGUAGAAAUUUCAGUUGGGUGCAUACUUUAGGAUAGCUGGUGCAGCUAGUGCUACUGCAUCAUCUGCUGCUGCUGUUCAAGCUGCUAAUGUGGUUUGUCAGACGUCCGAGAAAGUUAAGAGAAAGAGGGAGCAGUAACAAGCAGCAAGGUAGGGAAAAUGCUACUGUAUUUAGAAUAGCACAAUCCUCUACAAAAACAAUCAAAUGUGUCACACACUGUUAACCUAGGAAAAAGUGAUGUUGUAUCUGGAAAGAAGAUGAAAAGUGUGGGUAAAGAUGCUGGGGACAAUUGUUUUAGAAUGCCAGGUGGAUGCAUUCCAUUUUCUACCAGCAGUGGAUCCUCUCGGUUUCGACAUGUUAAUGGGGGCCACUGGGCCCAACAGGAAACAGAGUGCUCCCACUCUCAUAAGCAUGACCUUUUCUAAUGCUGCAAAGAGAAGAAUUAUGAUAGACAAGGCGAAAGACAAUUUGACUGAGAAGCUAAAGGAAAUUAGAAGUAAAACAGUCCAAGUUAUUGAUGGAAAAGUGAGCAGCAAGCAAGUGGUUAAUGAACAUGUUGAUGGUAAUGAAACUCUUGCAUCGGAUUAUUCUAAUGCAAAUGAAGAUUCUGAAAAUGAAGAUGAUGGCCCCAUCCUAUUAUAUUAUUCCUGAAUCCUGAUCCUCAUUUCCAUGAUUUUGAUAAGGAUUGCAGCGGGGAAUCUUUUCAGAGUGAUCAAAUUUGGGCUUUACAUGAUGACGAAGAUGGCUUGCCUCACUAUUAUACAUCUAUUCAGAAACCUCUUUCCUUGAGUCCAUUUAAUCUCAAAAGUUAGCUUUCUUACUGAAUUUGGUUCUUUAAACUGGGUUUCAUCUGGCUUCAAAAAGACAUGGUGAUUUCAGGAUUGGUAGAUGUGAAACCCGUUAUGUAUUUAACAUAUUCCCUCACCAGAUUAUAUGUGAGAAAGGUCCAAGUGGGGUGAUUUAAAAGUUACCCACAGAUAGGCGACAUCUGGGUUGUAUAUCGAAAUAAUAAGAUCCGUGUUUAUGAUCUGGCUGAGGUACUGACUGAUUAUGAUGAAGAUUACAGCAUUAACUGUCCUUCCCUUGAUAAAGAUAUGGAGAUAUCAAACAGUUUUUUAGCGUCAUCAAGGCCUGAAUGUCAUCAAGAGGAUUCCAAAAGAUUAGAUGUUGUGGUUCUCACACCAGGUUCCUUUUGUUAGGAUGUCAGGGGAAGAAGCUCCAAAUGAGGUAGACCCAGCUGCUAUUUCUGAAGAACAUCUUCAGGAGAUCACAAAACAGUGGAGGAGGGGAAGGAUAUGGUCGGGGAAGAAGCUCCCAAUGCCCCCAAAUAUAACUAUGAGGUAGACCCAGCUGCUAUAUCAAAAAAUCUUCAGGGGAACAUAGAAUAAGUGGAAGAGAAGGCAAAGGCAGUCUGAAUGCUGGUUAAGACUGUUGAUGCUGAUUCUAAGAUGCUUUUCGGACCUGCCUUUUCAAAUCAUAUAUUUGUCGACAUUUUCUAGUUUCCAUGUUCUCCUAGCUUGUAUUUGUUUUGACCAUCACCUUUGCAGACAAGGAUUCGUAUGGAUUUAAUUAUUGAAGAAGGAACUUCAAUUUUGGUUCAUCUGUAUCUUACUCCUAAAAUGACCAGUAUAUGAAUAGAGGGUCCAUGCCAGGAUUGCCAGUAAGUGCCCGUGAGAGAUUCGCAUGACCAAAAACUGGUUACAAGCGCAGGAUUAGGUUAUUGCUCUUUAAUGUAUGACGGUUAACGGGUUAAGAGAUUUAGGUGAAGCCGGCUAAACUGCUAGACAUAAUGGUAUUUCUGAAUCAUCCUUGUGGUACAGAUGUGAAGUUGCGAGAGUAUAUGUUUCUAACAUUGUACCACAUGAAUGAUGCACUAGAGUGCACAAUGUAACGUGCACUUUUCACCAGGAUCCCCUUGGAGUAAAUGAAAUAAGCAUGACGUACGACCUUGAUAACAUCAGCAUAACUACAUUAAAAUUUAUAGAUAACCAAAUAUAAGUGGAACUUUCAUUUACUAUUUGCUAGAUUAGAUAUUCCAGUAACAGCAUGGGGGCAGAGACCAAAUCGAAAUUACCCUGCCAGUCGGUCAACUUUGGGGACAAUAGAGUCGAACACUUGCAAGUUGGGAGUCAAAAAAAUAUAUCCAUGUUUGUAUCAUAUAUGCGCAGGUAGGAUAUGUAUACAAGAAGCCAGAGUGAUAUCAACACAGAGAUUCGCAUUUGUUUGCUUGCAGCAUGCCGCGGAGACCAGUUGCAACUUCAGAGAAAGAAGGUCUUCGCCCAGGUUCGGUUGACCAGCAUUGCUCCAUCAGUUUCCUCCAUUCUGGCUUACACGAAGUUGGCACUGGUGGCCUCAGUGUGUUGCUCAAAAUCCCCCCUGCACAUGUCCCGUUGGGCGUUGGCAACGAUUAAUCUUUACUAAAGAAGACUGAAGGUAUGAUAUCUGAUUCUAUUAGCAUAUACACUUUACAUCUCUACUUUAAGAUUCAUACAAAAGAAUAUGCCAGAAUCCAACAAGUUUCUUGAGCCUUGUAGUUUUCAAUAACCGACCAGGAACUACCUAAUUUCUUGAGUGUUCCUAGUAGACCAUAAGUAACUAGGACAAAAUCGAGCAGAGCUAUCUUGGCCACAUUUCAGAGUGAUAAAAUUACAGGUCUAUCAUUGUCCCCUUUUCUUUUUUGGGAAAAAUAUUGAAUUCAUAUCAUAUUAUUCUAAAGAUGACGUUUGGAACAUAAGAAAGAGGCUAAACAAGGUUCAAGUAGAUAAUAGUUGAUGGGCAGUUAGACCAGGUUUGCAGUUCCUACCAGGGGUAAUUGUUUCUUGGUUAAUUACCAGCAAAGUUGUUUCCCCUGAUUAGGCAGUUCCACUGGAAGCUAGUACUAAGAAUAUCUUUUGGGACUAUUAAUUUCUGAUCACUUACGUAGAGACAUGCUUGAUCUUGAGAUUUCUUUGUUAUGUAUAGGUUCAUGGGUUUAGGGGGAAGAAACCGGAUUCUUACUGGAUAAUCAACUAUAGGCUCUUAAACUUGUACGGUUAUAUCACUUCAUUCCCUGAACAUGAGAAAUACAUAUUCAGGCGAAUAUUCCAAUCGGAACACGUGACCUACUGAUCUCUCUAUCCCUCCCUUCCCUUUUAUAUCCGUAUAGAAAGGCCUCUUUCCCGUAGAUGGAUCGUAGAUGGUUCAGGGAAGGACUGCCACCUGAGUGCAUUUAUUGAGAGCCCCUCUUAUUCGGCCCAAGUCUGCACUGUUAGCUGGCCCAUGUACGUUGUGUAAUUUUGAACCGGCACAUGUUAGUCUUGGGCCAACUUGGACCAAAACCACACCUUCUCGUACCGGUACACCAAAACUACUGUGCUGGCCCAUCUUUGACCCAUUCAAUGCUGCUGGUUUUCAAACCUUCCUAGGAUCCCACCCGAAAAUGGCCCAGUACGCGCACUGUUCUCUACCCCGCCCCAGGCAACGAUCGAACGCUGCGAGAUUCAGUCCGUCCUAGAUCACGGGACCAUAAAGUCUAUGUCCAUAUUCAGGUCCCUAAACUUGAUGAUUUUACCUUUUGUUUUGCGAUAUAUUAAUGUUUGACUUUGUGAUCUGAUCUGAAAUGGAUGGAUAAUUGAUGUUAUUUUUAAAAAAGAAGAAUUGUUGUUCUUUGUUUAAAUGGAGUUACCGUAGAUCUUAAAAAAGAGCUUUCCAUGGACAUUGUCAAGUUUUAACUUAAAUAAGCUGUCACUAAUUGAUAAUUCAAGUGGUUCAGACAUAUCCCUACUCAGAAGCUUAUGAUUCAAUUGUAAUUCUUGAGGACCUCAAACGUGGGUUUGUGGUAAUGUUUGGAGAUGUCUGCUGUCGUGAAACCAUAUAUUGGUCUUGUUUUUUUUUCCUUUUAUGUAAGCCAGUGAGUCGGCCUCGAUGCAGAUGCUGAGAGACCGGCUUGCCCGUCCUUUUUGAAAAGAAAAAAAUAAAUGGGAAGUUCUCAUGUUUAGAACCUACAAGGGACACAAUUGACAAUCAUGGAAGUUUAGGAAAAUGCCAUUUAUGAAUACAAUGUCGUGAGCAAUUCAGAAGAUGAGAUUUCUGUGACAGCAUACGGAGUGAUGAUGUUACUGUAUGCAUACCUAUGACUCCUCCAUAGUGCAUCCCAUCGUAUGGAUCCUCACCAGUGAGAAUUUCCCACAUCACAACGCCAAAAGAAUAGACAUCAACCUGUGUGAGCAUAAAGUUGUUGUAUUUGAGUCUAGGAAAAAGAAAAACAAGCCAGGCAUAUAGCAGUUCUAUUUUGGUUUGCAAGGUUUAUUGUGGUUGUUUAACUAUUGCUUGUGACUAUGCUGUAGUUUUUAGACUUUCUUGCUUUCAUGAAUUGUAUAUGAGACAUGCUUUAGUUUCUGUUGGACAUAAAGGAUCAUUAAUCGUUACAUAUCUCCCAGUGAGCAACUCAAGUAUCUUGACCAUCACGGUACAAUUUGAAUAAUGUUAGAUUCACGGCUGAUAAGAGUAUAAGAUAUACAUUUGUUCCAAAAUGUCAAGUGAAAUAGGGAAACACACACAAUGCCAUGAUUCAUUAGUACUUCACAUUUUCUAACACCUUCACAAGUCCAGUUAUUAAAAAGAUUCAGAAUAAUACCUUUUCGGAAACUUUAGUGCCGCUCAUUGUCAGCAAUUCUGGAGCCAUCCAUGGAAGAGUUCCUCUCAUUCCACCAGAAACAAGGGUGGCUUGUUUCAUCUUUGAUAAACCAAAAUCGGCAACCUGUAGUAGUUAUUUCUCUGUUAUGCCCCUCACGUAUUUGCAAACAAUUAUCCUUCGUAGAUGAUAAAUUGAUAUCAAUUGGCUUCCCACAUUUGCAUUUGUAAAUUAAAAUUAAUCAAACAUUAUACUACUCUAAUCAUGAAGUUGUGGCAUACCUUGCAUAUGGGACGAGAGGGAUCCUUAAUAUUCACUAGCAGGUUAUCACAUUUCAGAUCAAAGUGGACAAUGUCCUUGGAGUGCAAGUAUUCCAUGCCAAUGGCCGCAUCCAUUGCAACCAGUAUCCGCUUGCGCCAAUCCAGAUAUUUGUCUUUGCGACUGAGGACUUUCUUUAGGGAUCCAUUGACCAUGAAUUCUGUUACAGUACCUAAUGUGCCCCCUGGCCCAUUCUUUACAAUCCCGUAAAGUGCCAAAAUAUUUGGGUGGUGAAGUUUUGAGAUUAUAGCUGCCUCUCUCCAAAAUUCUGUUAUCUGCAUGAUAAUACAUGUUGCAUUUUCUUAUGAUGGAUAAAGCAAUGCUCCAUGCAUUAUUUUCUGUAAACUAGGAUUUAAUACUUUAUAUAUGCAAAGUCACCAGCCUAUCUGAUCCUGAAACCAGUAUAAGGAAAAUGCUUUGUUGCGACAACAGUUUUUACCAUGUUGCUCUGAUCUAAUUUCAUCUAAGAUCUAACCGAAGGAACUGAACUGAACGGUCAAUUACUUGGCUGAAUCUCGGGGAUGUUUCAUUGGUCUUGGAGUACAAAGCCAUAGUAUCUACCUCCUUAACCGGUAAAUGUUUCUUUUUUUAACUGAUCCCCUUUGGCCUCCGGGGUAUUUGGUGACCAUGGGAUAAGGAAUGCCCCUUGACUGAAACUUCAAAUAAUGCAGGCAUGUGUUGAUAUAAUAUAGGCUUACCAGUUUAUCUGCUUGAGAUGAUGGGUGCGAAAAACAACUGUUCUUUAUCCGUUUAAUGGCAACAUCUGUUCCCCUCCAUUUUCCAUGAAAAACAGUCCCAAAUGCUCCAGAGCCCAUCUCACGGAGAUCUUCAAGGUCCUCAUUGCUUAUUAUCUGCCAUUUGUAUGGUAUAUUGGUAUCAACUUGAGGAACAUGUACUUCUGUUUCUAGCAUUUAAUGCGAAAAAGGUAGGAGAUCUGUGCGAACAACUUUUGCUGAAAAAUCUUGUUUUUGUGUACAGUUAUUUAUUCAAGCCUGACAUUGGGUAGAUUAGGGGGUUAAAUGAACUGUUUUGUACUUGCGGGGUUAUGUGAACUAGUGAGAUACUAUAGGGGAGUGAAAAAAAAAGAACUUAUUUCUAACAUUUUAUAUUUCUUUAGCUUGAUAUGCCUAUGUCAGAGAUAGCAUGACGAGUUAACUUACAAACCUGGACAUUACUUAUAAGAUCUCUGACCAGCACUGCAUUUGCAGGCCGAGGUUCACUGCCCUUGGUGUCAAGUACCUGCCAGUGAAGACAACUCAGAAGUUGCACAGCGCAUUGUUCGAAAUGUACCACAUCAAUCGAACAGGGUGUGUAGAUGUACCUCGGGCUCUGAGAUUGGCAGUGAAGUGUUAUUAUCUUUGUCUUCUUCUUGUGAUGGAAUUCCAGUCUGAGGAUUAACACCAUCAGUACCAACUGAACGGAAUCGAGUGAUUUUUGGUGCAUUUUCAUCUGGUCUUGGACUACUGGGUCGUUCCUGUAUUCUCUCACUUGACGCACGCGCUAGAAUAUUUGGUUGCAGAUUUAUUGCCGUGUCCAAAGCUGUAAAAACACAAGGAACCGCAGGCUGUUGCUUCAGGAUGCUAUUGGUUACAACGGACUUCUCCACGUAGUGCAAGUUGCAACCUGGGGUGCCAGAUUCAUGAUUAGGUUCACAGAUCUCUACCUUGCUGUUCUUCCUUGCCGGGUGUUCUGCUGAAUGAAACAUAUCUUCUUCUUGGGUGCCAUGCGUUCUUGAUUUUAACUUGUUCUCAUCAGAGGAGCCUUGCUGGUUCACUGUUUUCUGGGGACCCCUUGAUAAAGACGCAGGCUUUUUGAAAUGCACAGGUGGACUUGUAUGUGGCAUUGGGUUUCUGUUGUUUGAAUCCGAUGGCUGUGUCUUCUUCACACUGCUGUUGUCUGAUGGUGUCGGCAACUGGUUCCUUGGUGAUGAUCGGGUUUCUUGUGCUCCUGUAGCUUGAUGGCUCUUUCCAGAACUUUCAGUGACACUCUGUUGCUGAUGCCUUGAAACAGAGAGACCACCACCUUGCUGUUGCCUAAGUGUGGUUUCACAAGGCACAGAUGCACCAAGGUAAGCUUUACUCGCAUUUGUAGCUGCAGAGAUCAUGUUACCUUCAUUCCCUUGUGCCCUGUAAUCUUGGUUAGCCACCCGUUUUUCUGACUGACCACUUGCUGUCUUUAGCGGUACUGUGAUACUCUGUGAAGGCUUACUUUUGAUGUACAUUGAAGCUUCCUCUGUUCUGGCUGUCGGCAAUCCUAACAGACUUAAGCCAGGCAUCAGCUGGUCUAGGUCCUGGACUGAGGAUCUAUCCAUUCUCUGUGUUCUCAAUUCAUUACCUGGUCUGACGAGCCCAUUGAUAAGAGCAAUGAACUGUGCUUCCUUUUCUACAUCGGAUGAGCUUUGUACAACGAAAUGCACAUGCCGCUCAUCGUCUUUUCCUGAGAAGAGGUACAUGGUCACCAUCUCUUUCGUUCUUUCUAGCACGGUGCACUCGUCAACCAUAUGCCUGAGGUCAUCAUCAGAUGUGAUGGAAAUGAGCAUGCUCACUUGCUCCCCUGGGAGGUGGUACUUUAUCGUGUGAGCUCGCCUUAUCAGCUUUGUUGUCUUGCAGAUCAACUCUUGCCAAGAGAUGUCCCGGCGGAUUUUAAUCAGAUGCCUGUCGCCCCCAAUGUACCGAAGCUCACCAUCGCUUGGCCUUGGGAGGAACCUGCCACCAAAGUUGCAAAUAAGCUUUAUCUUCAUUGGUCCAGCAUCGUAAUCCUGAGGGAAACGUUUGCAUGAUCCUUUGGUGCUGCUGAUGACACUGAAUGGAGCAGGUGUUGGCAGAUUCUUUGGUGGUAUCAGAUCACAAAUAUUAACUUGUUCAAUCCAGUCCAUGUUGAUUCUGGGUGCACUUCUCCUUGCAGACUUCCUUGGAAUGCUUCCUUGUGUUUUGCUCUCUCUUGCAUAAAUUCAGGAAGAAAACAAUCUGACUGAACUAGUUCAGUUCAUAGCUUUGGUCUUAUUUCACCGAGAGAUCCAAAGACCUGGACAUAUCGUUUUGGAGAUUCGAUGAAAGCUUUGUUAGAAUCUUUGGUCUGCAGAGAGACACAGGAAUACAGGAUAUUCGAUUCAGCACUUGUACAUAUUCCUAUCGAUAUCAUGAGAAGAAUGACAGCCAAACGUACCUAACUACAACAUGGAAACAAAUACUCAGUUUUUGGAAGCAAGAAUGGUAGCAAAGAUGGAAGAUAAAUGAAUUCUCCUUUUAUCUGAUUUAUAAGAGUUAUAGCCAGCAAAAUUUGGUAAUACAGAAGCCUAAUAGAAAAGGAACAACUGAAGAAAGCAGAAGAGAGCUUACUGACCUCUUGGGCUGCUACUGGAGCUCAAACUUCAAGGUUCAUAAUGUUCGUCUGAGUGCUGCUUGCUGGUGUUUGAGAUACUAACAUGAGCAGAUGAUUGGAAUAACGUUCGGGAUGAUAGUUUUUGAGAGAAGAAGAAGAUGGAUGGGAGUUGGUGAGUUACUGACUCAGCUUUGAAGCAAAUGGUUGGUCAUGUCUGCAACACCUUGAACUAUAUUAGUACUAUACGAUAAGGACAUGCAGUACUAUAUACUUUAAAUAAGGGAAAAUUAAAUAAACUCUGCAGUAAGUUUGCGCUUUUGAAUAAUGCCUCUGGCUGUGAGACCGUAUGUGAGUUCAGGUUCCUGCACGUCAGUGAGACAUCCUGUGGUACUUUUUAAAUAGUGCAAACUAACUGCCUAAUUUGCAAAUCUCUUUCAUAUUUGUGCAUAUCUUAGUCAUGGAAAGACUUUUCUUGCCACAAGAUGCUUAUCAACAUGCGUUGUUGAUAAACUAAGAAUUGGAAAAUCGCCUGAACAUCUGAUUAUACUUAAUCUUUUGUAUCCAUAUAGUAUUUGUGGAACAUUGUAUAUCUUGAGCUGUGACCUCUAAUUAAUACGGACUCCAACCUCAGCUGCCACUUAACCUGGGGUAAGGGGCGGCCCUUCUUAAUACCCUGGCUGUCGUUGUCAGAUGGAACAUGAUAUAGUUUUUCUGUGAUCCAACUUUGCUCAAAAUUAGACUGAACUCUAUACUAUAUGGCCGCCCAUGACACAGUUGCAUUUGUCAUUUUGUUGCCUCAACCUGGAGCCCAUGACUGCAGAAAAUUAUAUUCCACUUGUUGCUAAUAUAGUAUUUACAGUAUCAAUUUGCAUGUUACAUGCAGGUGGGCUGUGGCUGUCAUGCAUAGGAAACACCAGGGCGUAAAAUUGUACAACUCUUGCACAUACAAUGUAUCUUUCUUAGGAAAGUAAAUCGCUUUAUUUUUUUUCUUAGUUAAUUUAUAUUCCACUCACUUUUAUCAUUUACGUACUUUACUCCCUCCGAUCCAUAUUACUUGUCGAAAUAUUACAUGUAUCUAGACACUUUUUAAAUAUAGUUAUAUCCAUAUUUGGUGAAAUUUGAGACAAGUAAUAUGGAUCGGAGGGAGUAUAUUUUAUUUUACUUUAUUCUUACUUAGUUAACUAUGUAAGAAUGGAAGAAGGUUAUGCUUAGGCAAAAGUUGUCAGGUUAUAAAGACGCAGCCAGCCCUUUGAAUGAUUUUUUUUCCUUUACAUUUUUUGUACUCCCUCUGUCCCAUAUUAAGUGCCGGAAUAUUACAUGUAUCUAGACACUUUUUAGGUAUAGACACAUUCAUAUUUAGACAAAUUUGAAUCACUUAAUAUAAGACGGAGGGAGUAUAAGCCAGCAUUUUUUGUCCAAAACAUAUAUGCAAAACAUAUGUUUUUAACCAGCGACCAAUUUCUUUCUUUGCUUCAAGAAAUAACCAACAUUUUUUCCCCAAUAAACUGCAGUAAGCAAGAAAACCCACCACUUUUCUUUCUCCAAAUAAUUGUCUUUGUAGCUUUUGGUACGAAUAUGCGCUGCACGCUGACUCCAAGUCAAUUCACCAGAAAAUGGGCUUCCAGCUGUGUACCGGAGGAAUUGUUCAUUUAUCCCAAAGUUUGUGGGUGUUCGAUGAUAUCCCCUGUUGGUGAACCUCUCAUAAAAGAGUUAAAAAGCAUAGCAGUACUAAAAGCUCGUGGGGUGUAAGUUACUCUUAAUUCUAUGAAAAUGCAUAUCUUAGUCAUAAAAAGUAUCUUAAGCGAGUCAUCGGCGGUCAGAAACUCGUUGGGGAAGGUUUGACUUGAUAACGUGGUAGUUUCGCUUUGACCACGUCUCAAUUCGAUCAGUCUUGGCAGCAAAACUUCCGCCAUGUGGUUAGGUUUUACUCACUUACCUCCCUGCCUCCUAUAAAUCCCUCCCAAGCAGCCCUUCUUCAUCACCUGUCUCGUUUCCCUCCCUACAGUCAUAUAUUAAAUAAAAAGUAACUGCACAAAAGAAAUGAAAAGAAAACUAUUUGAAACUAUUAAGCCAAGAGGCCAAAUUGGAGUAUUCUUUUCUUCUUGCUCUGUGGAAGACCAGAUUCAUCUCUUCUUUAAAUAUUUGUCUGCAUCUAUAGAGGCUGGGAGUUCGUUGGUUGAAAAUGAAGUCAGUUCGAACUUUCCAAAUGCUCCAAGCUCCCAAGGUGAUAAUCUCCAUAAACAAAGGUACCUUGAGUUUGUUUUUGAGCUGUUCCACAUUUGAAUGCACAUUUGGCAAUGGAGUGUAGCUAUCAAAGAGGUAGGACCAACAAGCUUUGGCAAAUGGGUAGUGGAAGAAUAAGUGGUCUCUGGUUUCUAAAUGAGGCACCCUACAUAAGACACAAUCAUAUGAUGGCAGGUGAAAUGUUCUCUUCUGAAGCAUAGCUCUUGUAUGGAGAUGGGUGAUGGGUAGCAUCCAAAAGAAGAAUUUGUGCUUCAGUUGACAGCAGGACUUCUAGAGCCAUCCAAAGUCAGGGGCAAUUCCAGAUGAUUAAUUUGGGCUCUGUAUGCUUGUGCAGGGAUGAAGAAAUCUUUAUGCCAUAUGUAUGACCAUAAGUCUUGGCCAUCAGAUUGUGAGACAUUGUCAAAAAGCUCCAUGAGUUGGGUGAAUUGAUCAUAGGCAGUGAGGGAGAGUGGGAGAUAAAAGAGUGUCUCCUUAUUAUCAUUAAGGAAAAAGUCUUGAAUAGUAGCCUCCUUGUUCCUGGCAAACGAGUAAAGGUGGGGCCAUUUGAUUUCCAUAGGUGCAUCUUGCCAUUUAUCCUUCCAAAAGAUGGUGGAGGCCCCAUUGUUAACCUUGAUGAUAGAUAGUUGCUUAUAAAUGUCAACAAGCUUCGGAAUGUCCAUCCACCAGAAUGAUGCAGCAGUCAAUUUUUGUGGAGGAAGGUCUGAGUGGUAGUGUUUCUCCCAGAUGAAUUGAACCCAUGGAAUAUCCAGUCUGUUGUAGAAUUUGUGAAGAUUUUUUAUAAGCAGAGUUUUGUUCUGAAGGCUGAUGUUGAUGACACCCAGUCCACCUUCAUCCUUUGGUAUACAAACCAUCUCCUAGGCAGCAAGAGGUGGGUCGUUUCCCUUGUCAUCCUCUUAUGUGUGUUGAUCGCUGUGAAUGGAAGCUCUGUCGCCAUGUGUCCCUAGCCCCCUAGGCCCAAGCGUGAACAAGUUAUGUCUUCAGGUAUCCCCUGUAGGAACAAGUACCCACCUAGCACAUCCAUGAAGCUACGGCCGCGGUAGCGAAAAGGCGGGUUCAAGGAGAAGAACCAGGGCGGUCCUGAGAUUUCAGGGGCCCGGUGUGAAAUCAGGACCCGAGGCAAGGGGUCUCGUCUCAGGGCAGGGGCGCACGGCCUGUCUCGAUCCAACGAUCUAGAAUUGCCAAUUGGAAACAAUUGGGAUUUCGGGAGGGAGUCGGCCUGACUCGGCCAGUUGGGAGUCACGAUCGAUGGGAGUUACGAGUUUUGGGCCAGAUGAUUGUAUACCAGGACUACGUAUACCUAGGAGGGUUGGGGGCCCUCAAAAUUUUUUGGCCCUGUGUGGGGGCACUGCCUGCACCCCGGCCCCCAGGCCCGGGCCUGAGAAGAACUGUGGCGUGUGUCCAGCACGAGCGACUUCUUCGCCCUAGCUAUGCCACAAAAAUGAGGCAAGCCACUCCGAGCCAUCAAUCAGACCUUCAUCAUGGCAGGAGAAGGAGCAAGGACGAGCUUUAACUCAAUGUUGCAAAUGUACCUGACCAGCGCGACGUAGUCAUUGGUGAUGCGCAGAAUCACAAGGCGCAGUGCAAUGGUUCAUACGGCAAUGAGCCAGCCUAGGAGUUGUGGUUGUAGUAGCAUUUGACCCCCCCCCCCCAUGGGGUCUGCCGGCGAGAAGGUAUUGCGAGAGUCAUUGGAAGUACCAGGGCUUUGGGGGCCCAAGAGGACGGAGGUGGAAAAGCGGCAGAUCGACUUGGUGGCAUGGAUGUCGAGAAAGGCGCAUGCGACGACGACUGAUGGGUGUUGUGACUUGGCAAAGAGGACGAUGUAGGAGACGGCACUAAGGAACGCUGUAGGGUAGAAGUGCGGAAGCAGAAGAGCAAGGAGGGCCGCAAAAUGGAAGUGGAAAAAUUCUAGAAGGCUACAUGCAAAAUAUCCGUUAGGCCUGCGCGUCCACUUUGCCGGUGUAGCCAAAGUUAAAGCGUCACGCUGGCAGGUUAACUUUAUGACUACCGGUGACUUACUUAGAGGUACUUUUAGGAUGUAGAUAUGCAUUUCCAUAGAAUUGAGACUAACUUGACAAACCUCAACUUAGUACCAAGUUAAAUGCACUUGCGGUUGCAAUUGAAAAGUGAAGUAACUACAAGUGCAUAGCAAAUGCAAAUUUAACCUCGAUCUUAAUAAGUGAAGCAACAACAUAGCAAAGAAACAAUACUCAGUCGGUGUCGUCGCACGGGGCUCCGACACCGGGGGCGUGCUGGCACGCCCCCUUUUAGGUUCGGCGGGGGCAUCGGGGAUCGCUCCGGCGAUCACCGGCGUGGCCGAUGGCGUACGUAACCUGCAAAGAGGUGCACCUAGAAUGCAUGCAAGCUAGGAACACAUGCACGCACGUUUUUACCCAGGUUCGGGCCACCUGGAGGUGUAAAACCCUACGUCUUGCUUGUCUGAGCUUGUAUUAUCGCAAAACCAAGUGUUUACAAGUUGCCGGGUGAGUUCCCGGGUACUCUCUCCCUUUGGCUAAGUGUUCCUUACUACCCUCUGCUAAUGCUAGAGGCUAACUGUGAGCUGAUCGAACUGAACCGAACCAGCCAGGGCUAAACCCUUUGACCGUUGGCGGGGGUCCUCCUUUUAUAACCAAGGGGAUACCACAGGUGCCACGGUGCAUGCAUUACAAGUGGCGAGCAGGGAGAUAGGGCAACUCCCCCUCGGUACGCUGGUGGGCAUGCAUGAACGCCAACUCCGCUGCUAGGGGUCUAGAGCCCUACAAGUAGGAUUGGACAGCCACUGUUUGCCCAACAAGACGAAUAACGCCCCUCUUGUCGGCUCAUUAAAUGCGCCGUGCGGCUCACUCCUCGCCCUGGUGAGACUGCACUCUGUGCGCCCAGCGCGCGCCCAUGUGGCGUCGCUGCUCUGCCCGCUCGGCAAGUGACUUCCCGGGAGGCGCCCAGGUGGGACUGCGCUCGGAAACCCCUCCUCCCGGCAAGUGACUUCCCGGGAGGCGUCUAGGCGGGAAUAUUCCCCGAAGCCCCGCUAGCCCUUCAAGGCUGGUAGCUUGCCGGGUUGCUUGUAGUUGCCGCCCGGGAUGAGGUCCUACCAGGAACUCGGCGACGAGGCCCACGCGUCGUGCAAUGGUGGUACCCUGGGUGCCACUGGUGCGACAGUAGCCGCCCGGCGUGGGCCGGCAACACCUGUUCCCGGACGAGUUUUCCCCAGGUCAGUUGCCGGGCUACGCCCUAAACGACGCGUGGGCCCUGAUCCGCCUCGGGCCCGCGUCCCUUCGCCGCCCCAAAUACCAUGCCGUUACAGACGGGGUAGUGGGCACGUGAUUUUCGUCGUAACUUCCCCCUUAAACAGGGAAGUGAAGGCCACUCUUUGCAUUACUCCUUUUGAUUAGGAGUUAUCCCCGCGCACCCGUAGGGUGCGGAACCGGCCGUUACCAAACGGCCGGGCGCUAUAAAGUUUUUACUGCUCCAGCAAGGGGAAAGCACUUUGCUCUCCACAGCCUCCGUCUUCGACCUCCUUCGCGUCCUGCGCCCAAGUGUUUUUUGCUAGCUCCUGCCUUCGUUCCCCAUGGCGCCUCCCACCACUAGGAAGGGAAAAGAGGGGGAGGCCCCCAGGCAAGCGGCAGCCGGCAGAAGCGAGGCGGCCGCCAAGGCCGCCGCCGACAAAGACCAGAAGAAGCGGGAGAUGAGGGCCUCGCAAGCCUUCUACCGACCGGGCUACAAUGGCGAGGCGCUGGCCAAGAUCCAGCACGCCGUCGCUUCCCGGUUCAACGAGCACGGGGAGACCCACAUCCUCCCCGCGGGCGCCGAGCACCAGGACAAUGACUUCCGGGUGUUCGGGCGCUUCCUCCUCACCGGGCUAGUGCCGCCGUUCUCGUUGUUUCUCCACGCGCUGAUGGAGUCGUACCAGCUGCGGGUGGCGCAACUUCACCCCACGUCGCUCUUCCUCCUCGCCACCUUCCAAUUCCUCUGCGAAGCGUUCGUAGGGGUGAUGCCGUCGGUGGCGCUCUUCCGCCACUACUUCUACCCCUGGAUCGACAACGCGAACACGAUGUCGUCGGGGGUGGUUUUCCACGCCCGCGACCGGAUGAAAUCUGAGUUCAUCGUCCGGUCGGAGAAGAAGAUCGAGAAGGAGUCGCGCGGGGACUGGUGCUGGGUCCGCGUAGAAGACCCCGAUGAAUUCAUCCUCCCGCCCACCGAGUUGCCGCAACCCCACGCGGCUGCCGGCUGGCGGGACCGGUACCACCGCGACGCUGAUCUCCUCCCCAUCGUGGAGAAGAUCAAGGCUCGGCGUCUAGCGGGGCUUACCAACGUCGACGUGGCGCGUACCUUCAUCACCCGGCCCGCGUUGAUGUACACGGGUUCCGGGGACAGGACACGCCUCCACCGCGAAGGCGUGGAUUCGGAAUCCCUCCAGGUGUGGGUGAGGGGGAUCUCCGGCGAGGACCUCCCCGCAACGGGGUUCUCGCCGAGGGUCAUUUCCCUCCAUGCCGGUGUCACGGGGCUCAACGACAUCGUCGCUGCCUUCCGGCCCUGCAACAAGUGGGGAUUGAUGGACGAUACCCCCACUCGGGCCCCGCGUGCUCCCCCGCCAGCACCUCGCAGAAGCAGGUGCUUGAGGAGAGCGAGGGCGAGUCAGAGAUCAGCUGGCCCUCCCUCCAGUCUCUGGAUGACGAGGCGGGCCAGCCUGCGGCGUUCCAGGCGGUCGUUCCUGUGGACGAUGAGGACACUGAUGACGCGCCCCUGAUCGUGCGGAGAUCAAGGGCGUACGCAGCGGCCGCGGCUACUGCCACGGCGGCUGCGGCGGUAUCUUCCCCAGCGGCGGCAGCCACCCUAGGGACGUCCGUCGGCAGCUCCGUGGUGACCACAACCGCUGUGGUCUCCGGGGCCACGGCGGCGACCACCCCGGUGACAACCGCCAGCGGCCCGGCGGCGGCAGCCUCCUCGUCAACUCCCGCGACGCCACGACACCCCCACGGGCACCCACGGCGCUGCCCGCUCGGGGGUCACGGCAACCCCACAGGCACCCACGGUGCCGCCCGCUCGGGGGGUCUUCCGGGGUUUCGCGCUCCGGCGCAACCCCCCAAGAACCGUCUGGCCGGCGAGCGCCAGCAAGAGGGGGAGGGGCGACUCCCUGCCCGCCGUGCCGAACAAGAAGGCGCGCGGACGCCGGCAGCGCUGCCGACCCCGGCGUCACUGGGGCCAGUGGCGCCGCAAUCGCACCCGUCGGCGGCCCAACUCCAACGGAGGUGGUGCCGGCAACAGGUACGGCUCCAUCCUGUCUCCUUUGCUGCAUUUUCGAUUGUUAGUUAAUCACACAACCGUACCUUCACUUUUCCGUAGGUGAUACUUUGCCUGCGGCAAGCCUCUCGGAAGCUCCCGUCAGGACGGAUGAGGUGGGGGAAGCUCCCCCCGCAAGUCCAACGGCCUUGCAAAGUAACCACUCUGAUCCCUUUCCUCUCGCUUUUGGCUACUCUUUCGCUCGUCGAUUCUCACACUUCUUGUUGCUGCAGGCCCAAGCGCGCCCGCACCAGGAGCGGGCGCUACCGUGGUUGAUCUCGACUCCGAUGUCGAGGUCACGGGGGCAGCGGAGGAGCCGACAUCGGCUCCCGCACCAAGCCCUACCGCGCCGGCCACGGCGGCAGCGGUGACCACCGCCACCGCCGGGACGGCGCCUGGCGACGUGCCGGCAGCCGCGGACGCAGCUGGCAUGGAUUCGCCUGCCGCCCAGCAGGAGACGGCUCCUUCCGGGGGCACGGUGGCUUCUCCAGCCCGGAGUCCCCAGCUGCGGGUGAAGGGGAGGUUGCCGGGGAAGGGCGACAGGAUGCCCCAGAGCAAGCAGACGGGCUUCGUCGUCAUCGGCCGCCUCCUCCAACACCGACCUCGGCACCCUUGCCGGGGUGGCUUGGAAUCCCAUCACCUUGGAUCCGAGCGUCUUCGAGCGAGGACACCGGUUCCUGGACGCCGUCAAGGACCAGCAACUGGCCUUCGUCACCUCUUUCAACGAGGUGAGGGAGCACCACGCCAUCGCCAAGAGCCAACUUGGCGAGGUGCGGGAAGCUGUGGAGAAGGAGCGACAAGAGCUCUCACGGCUGCGCGAGCAGACGCGCCUAGCCAGAGAGGAGGCGCGCCUUGCCCAGGAAGCCCUGGAGGGCGCCGAGGAACCGGUCGUCCUAGAGGCUGAGCUCUACCGGUGACUGGAGGCUCAGCGCGCCGAGCUUCAGGGGGCGCUGGACUCGCUGGCAGUGACCCUUGAGGAAACCAAGAAGGAGCACGCUGGGGUGCUCGCGGCAGCCCAGGCCUGGCUGGACGAGAAGAGCGAUAUGAUCGCCAAUUACCGCGGCGAGAUCCAGGGCCUGCGCGUCAAGCUGGGGGUGCAGGUCCAGGCCACUGAGAGCACGGUGAAGCAGCGGCCCGGCAUGAGAUCUAGCUCGGCUCUGCCAAGGACAGAGCGGCCCGGUUCUAGACCGAGCUGGCCACUGCCCGGGAGGAGCUUGCCAAGGCCGGCAAAGACAUCGCGGUCAAGACCGCGGAGCUUGCAGCGCUGGAGAGCAACCUCCGCAAGGCCAAAAAGGCCGCGCAUGAUGCCCGGUUCCACCAUGACACGCUGAUCGGGCAGCGGCAUAUAGAGACCGAGAAGCUGCUCAAGAUCGCCCAGGCGUUGCGCGAUUUGCUGCCCCGGUUCGAGCUGCAGGCCGCGGCGGUGGACGGCACGGACGUCUCAACGCUGAUCCCCUUCUUCUCCGACCUGGUGGAGAAGCUCGGGGCGCUCAACGUCUGGACCACCCAGUACGGCGCCAACGAGGUUGCCAACUGCGCCCGGGAGGUUGCCGGGACGAUCCUCCCGAGGAUACACCUCCGGGACCCGGAGUUCCCCUUCGAGACGCUGUGGGACGCCUAGUCGGACAGCGAAGAUGAGCCCACCCACACCCAAGCGGUGCGCGGGUUCGUCGACGAGGUGGUCGAGCGGAUGCAGCAGAAGCCGGACCCAGAGCCGUCCCCGGAGCCCCCGGAGGAAGAUGUCGGCAACUAGUUGCCGCAGCCCCCAGCCGUCCUUGUUGUUUUCCGGUGUAUCUUCUUUUUUUUUUGCCCUGCAAUUGUGGCGCUUGGCGCCGUUUGAACAAUUACAUUCCCAUUAGCUCUUGUAAUCAUUCGCUACUUAAUUAAGCUUUUCAGUUCUACUUAAUGUUUGCUUCUUGUUCCCGGGGCUGCCUCGCGGGGCGGCUCCCUUAGCCUUUGCGUGUUGUGCCUUGUGUUGCCGGGGACUCGCGCGCCUUACGCUUGAUUGGACUAGGGACCCGGGAAGGACCCGCAGUGCCGACCUGGGGUCAAGCGGUAGCGGCGAGCCACUCCACUUGCGGGGUAACUACUCCAAGCCAUGCCCUCCCGGGACGGACCCAGGAGCCACAUGGGGAGCGCACUUCCCCCGCAAGCGUCCUCCUAACACUCCGGCCACGCGCAGUUUUUGGGGCCACACUUGACGAAGCAGCGUUCAGUUAUGUUCGGUUCUCAAGGAUUUUAUCGUUCAGGUUCAAGCACUUAGCUUCUCGUUCAGUCUCGUGCUCAGGAUGCUUGCCGGAUAUGUGCGCCUGGCACGUUUCCCUGGAGAGAGUCCGCUGGAGGGAUGUGGUGGAGACGCCGUGGCAGGAUCGCCGCUGGCGACAAGCGCCGACGACGAUGCUCCCACCGCGCCUCCACAACAGCCCUCGCCUUUGAAAAGAAUCCCUUGCUUCCGGGGGAACCUGUCCCGAGGGGUGCGGCGGGGACGUCGUGACUUCCUCGCCGCCGUCAGCGAAUGCGGGUGGCGAGGACGCCACGGCGUCCCCGUAGCAGCGAUUGAGGAAAAAGCUGCUUGAGGGACGUAGCAGGGACGCGGCAGGGGCACUGCAGUAGUGCACCCGUUGGCGCCGGGCGCCGAUGGAAUGCACCACCACAGUGCCUCCGCGGCAGCCCUCGCCCCGGAGCCGCUCGCUAGAGGAGACGUAGCAAGGGCACGGCGGCAGUGCACCCGUCGGCGUGGAGCGCAGAUGGCAUGCACUACCACCGUGUCUCUGCGACGCCUCUCGGAGUGGGCUCGGUGGGGGAUGCGGCAAGGGCGCGAUGGCAGUGCACCCGUCGGCGCUGAGCGCUGAUGGCAUGCACUACCGUCGUGCCUCUGCGGCACCGCCCGCCUUCAUAACCUCUUCUUUGGCUUCGCUCUGAGCCAUUCCAUGGCUGGGGCGCACUUUUUAUAGGCGCGGGGGAAGGGCUUGCCACCGCGUGCGACGGAUCAGCACAGCACUCGUGGCACCCCUCCCCUUGAAGUGCGGUACAGUCUUUGCCACUCCGCAUGCCAAGUUGCUGUGGCACACGUGGCGGCCUCCUCCUGGGUCAAGAGCCUCGAAGUGCGGCGAGUCCCUGGUGGUGCGGUCGCUCCGCACCACAAGGCGGUGCUAUAUGCCAUGACCCGUGGGCGGCCCACGGGUAUUACAGUGCGCAAGAUUUCACUUUCCCUGCACGUUAGAUUCUUACCAGGUCCGAGGUGCUGCAAUUUUUUUUUGAAAUUCACGAAAAAUACAAAGCAACACGGGCAAUCUCCUGCCUCCCAGCCCUCGGGCACGGAAGGGUCGAUGGCAAACUUGGAUGUGAGCAUUUUAUUUCCCAGACGCAGCAACUGCGUGGUUCACAUUGCAGGGAGCCCGGCAACUACACGCCUUGUGAUGCACGUUGCGGGAAGACCGGCAACUGCAUGUCUCGUGAUGCACGUCGCGGGAAGCCCGGCAACGGCAUGUCCUGUGAUGCACGCUGCGGGAAGCCCGGCAACUGCAUGUCCCGUGCCGGAGCGAUCUGGCAACGGGUUUGUGUUUUCAAGGCUCCAGCAGCCCCCUACUCUCAACCAAGUAUGAAAAGACACUUCUAUGCACCCAAAGCAAGAGCCAGAAGGAGGAAAAUCAUGCAAAUAAACAAGGCAAUCUUAAAAUUCAGUGAAGAAACACUUAUCUUUAUUCACAAUAACUAGUGGUUUACACACGGGGGUUGCCCGGCUACACUAGUCCGAGAGGUAUGCAUCGGCGGCAUCACAUGAGGGUCGGGCUCCGCCGCUUCACGGGUAGAACUUGCGCAAGUGCUCAAUAUUCCAGUUAUUUUGCACCGGCAAGCCCUCUUCGGUUUCCAGCCGGAGAGCCCCCGGUCUGGUUAACUGUACUACCCGGAAGGGGCCCUCCCAUUUCGUAGUCAACUUGUUCCCGGCCUUCGUUCCUUGUAUCCGGCGCAGGACAAGGUCUCCGUUCUCGAGCCCCCGGGGACGGACUCGCCUGUCGUGAUUACGACGGAGUCCCUGCUGGUAGCGGGCGGCCCGCACAGCAGCCCGACAUCGAAGCUCUUCGAUGAAGUUCAGAUCGUCGACCCUUUGCUCGUGUUGGCUGGAGUUGCCGUACGCACGUACUCGGGGAGAUCCGUGCUUGAGCUCGAGGGGCAGCACCGCUUCUGCCCCGAAGACAAGGGCGAAAGGGGUUUCGCCCGUUGCCCGACUAGGUGUGGUCCUGAUCGACCACAGCACGGGCUGGAGUUCUUCAACCCAGUUUUUCCCGUGGCCUUUGAGCUUGUCAAAGGUUCUCGUCUUGAGCCCCCGCAGCACUUCUGCGUUGGCUCGCUCCGCCUGCCCGUUACUCCUUGGAUGAGCAACGGACGUGAAGUAACAUUCGGUGCCCAUGCCUCGCAGUAGGCCUGAAAUACUGCGCUCGUGUAUUGCGUGCCGUUGUCGGUGAUGAUGCCGUUAGGCACACCAAACCGACACACAAUGUUUUUGAAAAACUUGAUGGCCGCCUGGGCGGUCACCUUCCGCACUGGUUCCACUUCCACCCACUUGGAGAACUUGUCGAUGGCCACGAACAGAUAUUCGUAACCGUCAACUGCUCUCGGUAGCUUACCGAUGAUGUCCAGCCCCCAGACCACGAACGGCCACGAGGAGGGGAUGACAUGUAGGGCCUGCGCCGGCUGGUUGCUCUUCUUCAAAUGGAACUGGCACGCUUCGCAUGUCUUCACCAGCCGCUCCGCGUCGGCCAGGGCCGUGGGCCAGUUAAAACCGUGCCGAAACGCCUUGCCGGCCAACGCCCGGGAGGCCACAUGGUGGGAGCAUGUGCCUCGAUGUAUCUCUUCUAACAACGCGCGCCCUUCGUCUUGCGGCACACAGAUGAGCUUGACCCCAUUUGCACGCCUGCGGUAGAGGUUCCCGUCCACCACGGCGUACAUUUUGGCUUGCCGGGCCACUCGUUCUACGGUGGCGUCGUCUUCCAGGAGAGCCCCCUCCUUCAGGUAGCGGGCUAUUUCCAUCGCCCAGGGAGGGGUCUCCCUGCCAACGCAUGCUGCCAUGACGGCGGCAUGGACCCCUGCUAUUGUGGGGUUUCCUUCGGUUGCCGGGGGGCUUCCCCGGCAAUCGGCUUGGGGGCGACUGAAAGAGCCGCUUGCUUUUGGCAGAACACCCCUGCCGGGGGCUUCCGGCACUCUGCUGCCAUCUUGGACAGCUCGUCAGCCGCGAAGUUGUUCUUCCGCUUGACGUGCUCGAACCGCAUGCCCUUGAACUUGCGUUCUAGCUUGCGGACUUCCUCCACGUACGGUGCCAUCUGCGGGCAGUCGUAGUCCUUGUUCACCUGGUUGAUCACGAGCUGGGAGUCCCCGCGAACAAUCAGGCGCUUGAUGUCGAGGGCGAUCGCUGCCCGUAACCCGGGGAGCAAACCCUCGUACUCUGCCGUGUUGUUGGUGGAGUUCGGGAAAUCGAGUUGGACGGCGAACCUUAGCUGGUUCCCCGUUGGUGACUCGAUGAUGACCCCGGCGCUAGCUCCUUGGAGACUGAACGCGCCGUCGAAGUAGAGGACCCAGUGGACUUCGUCCAGCUUGCCGGGCAGGCUGGUCUCCAGCUCCUCCUCUUCUACGCUCGUCAACGUCCACUCCGCGACGAAGUCCGCCAGGGCCGCACUCUUGAUGCUCUUGGAGUUGGUGAAGUGCAGAGCGAACUCUGAUAGCUCCAUCCUCCAUUCGGCCACUCUUCCGGUGGCUUCACGGUUGGUGAGGGCUCGCUCAAGCCAAAACCCCGACACCACCGUGACGCGAUGCGCCUGGAAGUAGUGGCGCAGCUUGCGGGACGCAAGGAGAAUCCCCAAGAGGAGCUUCUGUACUUGCGGGUACCUCGUUCGGGCGUCGCGCAACACUGUACUGACGAAGUACACUGGGUGCUGCACCAGCCGCUUGCGCGGUGCCGGAGUUGCUGGCUCGGGGGUGGUCCCUAAGUCCGAGGCGGUUGCUGGGGGCCGUUCAGCCCCCUGCCCCGCAGCCUCAGUCCCCGGAACGUCUUCCUCCCUCUCGGCAACCAGCAUCGAGCUGACCACCUGGUCAGUCGCUGCUAGAUAGAGUAGCAGCGGCUCGCCGGCUUGGGGGCGACGAGGACGGGCGGCGACCUCAGGUACUGCUUGAGUUCCCGAAACGCCGCUUCGGCCUCUGGACCCUUCUUCUUCAUUACCUUGAAGAAAGGCAGGGCGCGUUCGCCUAGCCUUGAGAUGAAGCGGCCCAACGCGGCAACGCAACCGUUGAGGCGCUGGACAUCCUUCACCUUGUGGGGAGCCUCCAUCUUUUCGAUAGCCUCUAUCUUCAGCGGGUUGGCUUGUAUCCCCCUGUGAAAAACCAAGAAACCCAGAAGCUAGCCCGAGUCCACACCGAAGGUGCACUUCUCAGGGUUCAGCUUGAGUUUGAUCCUACGGAGGUUACCAAAUAUUUCCCGCAGGUCAUCAAUCAGCGAGUCCCUGCAAUUUGAUUUGAUGACGAUGUCGUCCAUGUAGGCCUCCACGUUCUGGCCUAGCUGGGGUCCCAAACAUUCAUGCAACGCGCGCUGAAAUGUUGAGCCCGCGUUCUUCAACCCGAAAGGCAUGCACGUAUAACAGUAGCAGCCAACCGGGGUGAUGAACGCAGUUUUCUCCUCCUCUUUGACUGCCAUCUUGAUUUGAUGGUAGCCGGAAAAAGCAUCCAAAAAGCUUAGCAGAUCGCAACCAGCAGUGGAAUCAACUAUUUGAUCAACGCGGGGUACAGGGAAAGGAUCCUUGGGACAUGCACGGUUUAGAUCAGUAAAAUCUACGCACAUGCGAAGCUUGUUCCCUGCUUUAGGCGCUACUACAGGGUUAGCUAACCAAGUGGGGUACAGAACUUCCCUGAUAGCCCUGGCAGCCUUGAGCUUGUCCACUUCUUGCCUGAUCAAAUCCUUUCGCUCUUGCGCCUGCCGGCAGACCUUCUGCUUGACGGGGCGGGCGUCUGGGCGCACCGCGAGUCGAUGCUCAAUCACCUCCCUGGGGACUCCGGGAAGAUCCGACAGCUCCCAAGCGAACACGUCGGAAUUCUUCCGGAGGAAAGUGAUGAGGGCGCUUUCCUAUUCGGCAGUAAGGUUCGCACCGAUGGUGACGGUGUGUUCCUUGUUGCCGGCUUGGAGGGGCAGCUUCUUCACCUUGGUGACCUCCUCCCGGAGCUUUUGGCCCUUGCCGGGGCACGAGCUCGAGCCUGCGCUUCCCCCGGCAAGCUCUUGCGGGGUAGCACGGGCCUUCUUCGUUGCCGGGCUGUCACCCGGCGAGCCUUCGUCUCCGGCAACGUCUUCAUCGCCGGCGUCGGCUGCGGCGGCGGCCCUGACGACCUCGCCGACACACCAGCCUGUGUCCUUGAGAUCGCACCUGACGGAGAGGACGCCGUACACAGAAGGCAUCUGUCGCACCAGUGGCACCCGGGGUACCACCGCUGCGCGAUGCGUGGGCCCCAUUCCCGAGUUCCCGGAAAGGUCUCAUCCCGGGAGCGUUUAUGAGCUCCCCGGCAAGCUACCAGCCCAAUGGGGCUAGCGGGGCUUCGGGGAAUAUUCCCGCCUGGGCACCUCCCGGGAAGCUGCUUCCCGGGUGCGUUGGGCCCGGGUGCUUUCCGGGGUCGACUUGCUGGGAUUGGGGGUUCCUGGGCGCGUGCCCCCGUCUCGGGCGUGGGGCCCAGUGGACAGCGCCACGCGGGCGCGUGGCGGGCGCGGGACGCGUGGUCCCACCAAGGCAACGAGUAAGGCGCACGGCUCAGUGAACGAGCCGACCGACGGGUAGUUACCUGUCCGAUCAAAGGAACAGUGGUUGUCUAAUCCUACCCUAGGGUUUUAGGCCCCUAGCAGCAGAGGUGGCACCCAUACACACCACCAGCUCACCGGGGGGAGUUGUAUGCCUCCCCGUUAGACACUUGUAACCCAUGCACCGUAGCACCUGUGGCAUCCCCUUGAGUAUAAAAAGAGGACCCAUGCCAACGGUCAGGGGGGUUGGACAGUUGUUCGGUUCCACAAGUUCCAUUCGCUGGCUCGUUAGAUCGAGGAUUAGUUGGCUCCAGUAGACAGCCAGCAGAGAGCAGCAAGGAGUACUUAGACAUUGAGAGGAAGCCGGGGAACUUGCCCGGCGACUUGUAAACAUUUGAUCCACAAUCAAUAUCAGCUCAGACAAGCAGGACGUAGGGUUUUACACCUCCGGGUGGCCCGAACCUGGGUAAAAAACGUGCGUGCAUCUGUUCUUGGAUUAGCGCGUACCCCUGGCACUUCGUCUCGCCAGCCCCGUAGGGUCUCAUCGGCCGUGCCGGCGAUCACCGGGUCUCCGCCCCAGACGCCCCUACCGAACCUAAAAGGGGGCCGUGGCCGCACGCCCCCGGUGUCGGAGCACCGAGCGACGACAGCAUCUUCAUCACGCCAUAGGCGCAGUGGGUCGCCGCCAUGAACUUGAUCAGCGCAGGCCGACCGAGGAUCCCGCUGUAAGGUAACGGAGUGUGCGCCACGUCGAACACUAUGUGCUCGGUCCGAAACGCUUCCCGGGACCCGAAGGUCACCGGCAGCGUGAUGCGCCCUAGGGGCGCACAAUCCCGGGGUUCACCCCCCGGAACGGGUCGGUGGGCUUCAGCUGCUCUAUCGGCAACUGGAGCUUCUCCACCAACCUGGCGGACAGGAGGUUAAGCCCCGCUCCGUUGUCCACCAGCACUUUGGUCACCGUCAUGUUGCUGAUGAUCGGUGAGACCACGAAGGGUAUGACCCCCGAACCCAGUUGCCGUGCUGGGUGAUCGUCGGCGCUGAAGGUGAUUGGCACAUGCGACCACCUCAACGGCUGCUACGGCUCCGCGUCUGGCAACAGCGCGCACGUCGCGGGUGAAGCACUUCACCGCGGCGUGAGAUGGGGAGCGUAAGCUCCCCCAUGGAUGUAGGCAACGCCACAGGGCUCCUGGAAGCCCAGCUUGUCGCCGCCAGUGCAGUCGAACCCGCGCUGCUCCUCAGCGCGAGCCCUGUCUCGUCCCCGAGGAGGGCGUUUCCUGCCAGUGCAGGCCUGGCCGCGUCCUCCCUGGGGCUCCUCCCUGCCGGCGCCGGCGGGCUGCGGGCCUGCUCUGGGAUCGUUUGGGCAAUCUCUGAAGAGAUGCCCGAUGUCGUCGCAAUUGAAGUAGGCGCCGGCUGCUCGGAGCUCCUCGUGGCGCUGCUCGCGCCGCUGCUUGAUACCCUGCAGGAUGUGGCAGUCCUGCACGUCGUGGGAGGAGUUGGCGUGGAUGGGGCAGCAAGGCGCGUCGCCCUGCUUGCCACCAUGCCCGCCACCCGGCGAGGCCUUCUUCGCAGGCCUCGCGGCAAUAGCCCCCGACUCCACAGCGCGAACCUGCUUCCCGCUGCGCUUGCGGGAACCCUUCUUCUGCGAACCCUCCUCAGGGCUCGCGGCAGCCUUGGCUGCUAGUUCGGGCGCUAAACGCCCUUCCUCGGCCAUGGCGCACACAAGUGCGCCAGGGCGUACAGAUCCUGUGUCGUCCGGAUCCGAUGGGUGCUCAGGUUCUCACGCAUCUUGGGGUCACGGACGUUGAUGGCGAAGGUGUUGAUGAUGACGGCUGCCUCCGCCUCCGGGAUGGAGUAGGAGAGGUUGGAGAAGCGAUUGACGAAGCUCCGCAACGUCUCUCCCGGCUUCUGCACGAUCGUGUGCAGCUCUGCAAUGGUUCCCGGGCACUUGUAGCCGCCUUGGAACGCGCUCACAAACUACUCACGCAGGUCCGCCCAAGUGGCGAUGGACCCAUCGGGCAGGUUGAGUAGCCAGGUUCUCGCUGAUCCUUUCAAGACCAUCGGGAACCAGUUGGCUCCGACCAUGUCGUCGGCACCGAUGGCAUGCAUCCCCAACGUGUAGGUCAGGAGGAAAUCCUUGGGAUUCACGGUCCCAUCGUACGUGCCGAGCGCUGGCGCUCGGAACUUGCGGGGCCAUGUCACCCGGCGCAGCUCGCGCGUGAACGCGGUGCAGCCGUCCUUAGGGCCCAUGGGAGGACCCUCCUGCUCCUCCGGGCGUGGGCGCUCUACCUCGCGCCGACGCCGGCGCUCUAAGCGCUGGCGUAGAUCAUCUUGCUGGCGGGCAUUCAAGAUGCCGCGCGCGUCACCCCGUGUGAUCGUGGGUGACGAGUCCGAGGACCCCUCCGGGUCCCCAUCUCCCUGGCCUCCUUGCGGAGGAGGGUUCUCCCCUUGACGCGAGGCGCGGGGAGCGUCUCCACGCUCCGGGUUCUGCCCGCGGCCGAAGCCUGAUGGGACGCCCUCACCUUGCGGCUGUUGGGCAGCGAGCGCGAGGAGCGCAUCCAACUCUUCGCCCCACGUCUCGUGAGCCGACGUGCCCUGUUGCGGUUCAUACCCCACCAUGACCCGCACGGCGAUGAUGGCUUCCGCCGGGGUUCGUGCGGGAGGCGACCAGUUUCCCGAGCGGCUGCGAUCCGCUCUACCCCCGGACGCAUCCGGGUGCGCAGGGUGCGAGCCCCCGGGUGUCGCUCGCGAUGCGGUAUGCUCAUGGCGCAGCUCAUGCUGCGUGUCCUCGGCCAGCGAUUCGACUCGCUGGCCGGUGCGGGCAGCACCAUGCCCGCUCGCGCGGUUGGCCCCAGCGCUGGGGGCCGCCGGCCCCCUCAGCCGGUUGUCGGCUGACGGCCGAGGAGGCGGGGGAGGAAGCUGUGAUUGUUGCACUCGUGAGGGCUCAGGGUUCUCCUGGGCCCCCGACGCGGGUCACGCGUCGCGUGACCGCGUGUGUGCCGCUGGGGCCUCACGCGCAUCAAUCCGGGGGUCACCAGCCCGCUUGGGGGGCAUGGUGACCGGCUCCAUCGGCGAAGAAGACGAGGCUGACGUCGAUGCAGACACUGCCGCCGGCGGUCACCGGCGAGCUCUCCUCUCGCGCACCCUACCUGGCGCGCCAGAUGUCGUCGCACGGGGCUCCGUCACCGGAGGCGUGAUGGCACACCCCCUUUUAGGUUCGGCUGGCGCGUUGGGGAUCGCUCCAGCGAUCACCGGCGUGGCCGAUGGCGUACGUAACCUGCAAAGAGGUGCACCCAGAAUGCAUGCAAGCUAGGAACACAUGCACGCACGUUUUUACUCAGGUUCGGGCCACCCGGAGGUGUAAAACCCUACGUCCUGCUUGUCUGAGCUUGUAUUAUCGCAAAAUCAAGUGUUUACAGGUUGCCGGGUGAGUUCCCGGAUACUCUCUCCCUUUGGCUAAAUGUUCUUUACUACCUCUGCUAAUGCUAGAGGCUAACUGUGAGCUGAUCGAACCAAACCGAACCAGCCGGGACUGAACCCUUUGACCGUUGGCGGGGGUUCUCCUUUUAUAGCCAAGGGGAUACCACAGGUGCCACGGUGCAUGUAUUACAAGUGGCGAGCAGGGAGAUAGGGCAACUCCCCCUCGGUGUGCUGGUGGGCAUGCAUGAAUGCCAACUCCGCUGCUAGGGGUCUAGAGCCCUACAAGUAGGAUUGGACAGCCACUGUUUGCCCGACAAGACGGAUAACGCCCCUCCUGUCGGCUCAUUAAAUGCGCCGUGCGGCUCACUCCUCGCCCUGGUGAGACUGCACACUGUGCGCCCAGCGCGCGCCCACGUGGCGUCGCUGCUCUGCCCGCUCAGCCCCACCCUCGUGGUGGGAGCCUGCACCCGGGAACCCCUCCUCCCGGCAAGUGACUUCCCGGGAGGCGCCCAGGUGGGACUGCGCUCGGAAACCCCUCCUCCCGGCAAGUGACUUCCCAGGAGGCGUCCAGGCGGGAAUAUUUCCCGAAGCCCCGUUAACCCUUCAAGGCUGGUAGCUUGCCGGGCUGCUUGUAGUUGCCGCCCGGGAUGAGGUCCUCCCGGGAACUCGGCGACAAGACCCAUGCGUCGUGCAACGGUGGUACCCCAGGUGCCACUUGUGCGACAGUCGGUGUAAAAGGUUCACUUAUCAAGGUUGCAGAAUAAACAUGAACCACGUAAAGAGUUAGAAAACAACACGUAGAUCAUCAAUAUGGUCUUCUAAAGAUUUGUUAUAGAUCAAAAUAUCAUCGAAGAGUGCCACCACAGAUCUGCCUAUGAAAGUACGCAAAACUCCGUUCAUCAAUGAUCAAUCUCAUAAAAGUACUAGUGUAUUAGUUAAACUAAAAGAUACGGCUAACCACUCAUGCAUAAAGGCUAAACUUAGUUUUAACAAUUGUUUCUCAUCCAUCGUCUAAUUUCAUGCGAAUCUGGUGGUAUCCUCUGUGCAAAUAACUUUUAGAGAACAUAUAUAGUAGAGCCACUUAAUUCAUGCAUAUCAUCUAACUUACGAAUAUGACGACAAUAGUGAAUGAUAAUUGCAUUGAUAGCUCUACAAUCAACACACAUACGGCAAGUCAAAUUUUUCUUAUGGACCAAAAUGACAAGAAUAACACAUGGACUUAGAAUCUCUUGUGAGAAAUUUUACGGUACCCCGGUACUCCAAAAACGUACCUUGGAGUACCAAAGGCAUCAACGGCUGAUAACAAAAGGGUACUUUGGUAUUUUCAUCCUAUCAUCGGAUCGUAUAUGUUCCAUAUUCCAUCCUGGUCCGACCCAGACCGAUCGACGAGAUUCGCUCCCAGCCCAAGCGUCGCAGCCGCUGCCUGACUACUUCGCCCCCAGCCCCACACACACACACCGCCGGAGCGCCCCCUAGCCCGUGCGCCUCGCCGCACCCUGAAUUGAUCUCCAGAGCGUUGCCGCCAUGCCUUGUCCCGAUCUCCAGAGCGCCGCCGGCGCGGUCACCGAGGCACCUCCGCCGACGCAGCGGCCUCGUCGUAUCCCCCGCAGGAGCAGCAUACCUUUCCCUCCGCCGGCUCGGCCGCCAAGCCACAUGCCUUCAUGGCAACAGCCACUCAAUAACGAGCUCUUCUUUCCCUAAACCUGAGCGGCACCCCUUGAGGCGGCGGAAUAGGGCGGUGGCUGUGGCCUCUUCCCCUCAAUCGGCGCAAUGCCCUUGAGGCGGCGGCAUCUUCCCCUCAGCCGGCGCAGCCACCCAGGAGGUGGCCUCCGCCGGCCCGGGGAUUAGAUCAGGAACGAAGAGAAAAUUUUCUAUUUUUCUUAAUUGCGAACCAAAAAGGCAAAAACCAAAAUACCUUACCUAAUUACUAGUUUGCCAUCCAAUUCGAGGUACUCCCUAGUUUUUUCGCUCAAUACUCCGUGGGAUUGAGAUGGAGUACCACUCAAUUGUAUCCAUUAGAUCGGGACAAAUAAACGGCUCAUAUUAAAUCCGGUGUACCGUAAAAUAGCUCUCUCUUAUAAGCAAGCAAGUCUUGCACCUGUCACUGAAUCUCCCCAGUCUCCUCUAGGUUGGUCCUGUAUAUGACGCACGAUCGGGUAACGAGGCUCCUGGAAUAAGGCCGAUCUGAUGCUCAGUCUCACGUGGGAACACAUCAGCGAACUCCUCCAAGACGUUAGCAAUAGCAGGACCAUGCAGGGUUAGGCUGUGCAUCGCACCCAUGCAGACGGUAACGACCAUACCGGCAGCACCAGAGCUUUGACGAGACCUGCCCUGUAUAUAUAACAACCGUCGAUGAUGUACACAACUAAAUUAUUCAAAAAGUAAGAAACAUAAAAAGAAAAAACAUGACGAUUAGUUGUCAUCACCAAUGUGUAUGGGCACAACCACCUUCAAAUUCAUUCCCCACCAUUGCUAAGAGAGCCUUCUCUUCAAGCAUGUAGUGAUUUAUCAUAUAUACUAAAACUAUUUGAAUUAUAACUUGUGCACAUCGAAACAAAAUCUUCGAAUCUGAUUCGUCUAGUUCUCUUAAUUUAAUUUGGCAAUCAUGUAAUCAUAUAAUUAGUUUUGAGGAGAAACAUUUAGAUAAAAAAUUGAAAGAAAGAACAUAAGGAAAACCAAAACAGCCAGAAGGCAUCACAUUCCCUUUACCUAAUUAAAGUCGAGUGGGACGCGUGCAGGUGGGCUUGGUCUAGUUGAAACCGGAUACCACCAAGGAGGCCAGGAUGUCCAGGCAUUUAUGCUGCUUCUGCUUUGGUCAUAUGUGGUGCAUAUUGCCAUAUCCAGUCAGACACAAAACCAGAUGGCAGAAACUGAAACCAAACGGCAAAUGUACAUGUAUGCUAUAAAUAAAUAAAUAAAUAAAUAAUGGUAAAUAUUCCUGGUGUUUUUGACAAUUUGUUUGAAUUGCUAACCACUUUGGCCACGUGGUUGGUAAAUCCCUCAUGUUAUAUGCCUCGUUGAAUUAAAACUAGACGAAGGAGGGGAUAGAUUUGUGAAGAGAUUCUUCCUGAAUGGAAGAUUAGGCAUUUGGAUGUCUACUUUUUUACCGAGUGGUACAACAUAACAGGCAAUAUAGACGUGUGCCUGCGUCGUGACCUUGACGAAGAUGGUGGCUCGAAACACCAAAUUCGCUCUUAGUUUGAAUUCGUCGUCAUCGGCGCACUUCUUGAAGGUUUUGCCUAUGAGUUGUGUUUCUCUUCGUUUUUGUUCUGUACCACAAGAUUAGUGGUAGUUUAGUGGAAUUAUAUUUUUUUUGUCCGGCUCUGCUGCGUUAUGCCUGACUUUACUAAUAUAUGAUUGUGUGCAAUCGUCAAUGCACAUGCUGAUGGUUAUCCUUUUUUUUUAAAAGAGAGUAGAAAACUAGUCGACUCUUCAUCAGAGAUUGAAAGAGAGACAAUUUGUUUUUAAGUCUGAAGAAGAGUUGUAUGCAUCAUUUUCAUACAGAUGCCGGGGCUUUGUACCUCCUUUUCGAAGAAAAUAAUGAGCAGAUCCGGCAGGUGCUGCAGUGAAACUGAAUCCAAAAAAAAGAUAAAUCGAUACACACAGGAUGAUAAUAAGAUAUGUUGCCUCGAAGGCAUGGCUAUCUACCGUGCUCGAGGUUCACGUUUGCUGAAUAAAGGUGCAAGGUGGGCCCUCCCGGAAUCGAGACAUUGGGCAUAGAAUAUAACCAAAUUCUGGUUGUUUUCCAAAUCUUUUGCGAGAUUCGCCCUCCUCUUAACACAAAAGCCGUCCUGCUGAUUAUAAAACUGAACAAACCCCCUGGCGACUAGCUCUCAACUCACCAUAUUGAAAUAAAUGCCUCUGGCUUAGCUCUUGGACACUUGUGAGAACCAUACGAUGUGGAAGCUAUGCAGAGUUGCUUCCGGCCUCGUUAUGUAAGCAUGCAUGUGUUUCUUUUUCUUUCCACGCUUUCCGCGAAUGCGCUUCUGUUGUUCAUAGUAAAAGAGUUGGACAGUAGCUUGUGUUUUCUUACAUUUUUGUUUUGAUGCUGUUGGCUGUACGUAGCCGUCGGAGGUACGGCGUGCAGGCGAGGGCCGUGAAGGUGCCAACGGAAGUCGGUGCUGUGGCGGACAACGUACCGGGUGCUGCGGCGGUGGCCACUGACGGCGGGAGGGCAAGGAAAAAGGAAGUGUUUUGGAUGAGAGACCCGAAUACGGGGUGUUGGAUCCCCGAGAACCGCUUCGACGAGGUCGACGCCGUGGAGCUCCGGAACCAGCUGCUCCACCACAACUGACCGAAGAACAUGUCUGAACAAACAUACAAAGUGAAAUGGCAGUACAUCCGUUUCGAAAUAUGAGAUGUUUUACUUAUGUUCUAACAUAAAUAAAAUUAGAGUUAUACUCGUAUAUGUUAGUUGAUUUUUUUCAUAAACAUGAUUAAACUUUAAAAAGUUUAAUUGAGUAUUCCCUCCGUUCCAUAUUAAGUGACGAAAUAUUAUAUGUAUCUAGACGUUUUUUGGGUAACGAUACAUUCAUAUUUGGACAAAUUUGAGUCACUUAAUAUGGGACGGAGGGAGUAUAAAGCUAAAACAUAUUAUAUUUAGUACCCUAUGAGCAUCUCCAACCGACUAAGGCGGCAUAUGUUGGUUGAUGAAAUCAGUACAUGCUCUCGUUAUUGGCGGGUAGCGUCAUCUGCUAUUCAAAGAAUAGCGUCAGUGCCCGUGCGCUGCUAUGGAACCAUCUUACAUUUUAGUCUCUUUUAGUUAAGGAUUAGUGUCAACGGUCUGUUGCCUUCGGACUACAUUAAUUUUUAAUGCCCUCUUUACUUCAUAGAAAGUAACUCUAAAAUAAACAGAAAACUGAAAGUAAUAGGAUAUAUUGCCCUUUUUUACAUUAUACCAAUAUAGAGGGGGCGAAGGGCAGGGAGGCCGGGACAGAUCCGCCCGUGGCCAGCACCUGACAACUCGUCGAUGCUGUCCGGGCCUGAUCCAUCACGCCCAUCGCCCAACCACUCACCGGACUUCUCUUUGUCCCCUUCCCUAUUACUCAUUCCUGGCAACCAUGUCCACUGGAGCGCUUGCAUGGUCCAUGACAGUCGCGUCCACCUCAACCGCAACGCUCCGACUUCCUCACAGAUGAGGGCGACGAAGUGCCGGGACUAGGGUGUGCUUUCUAGCGAUGUCGCCUUCUAUAGGUGAGAGAGGGGGCAGAGUGAUGAUGGGUGGGCUGGGAAAGGCGGGAAGAAUGAGACCCAAUUUUCUGAUUUGGGGGUGUUUGUUUCGUGCGAUUAGAGGGGAGAUGACCAUUCAUUGGCAACUUUUAUCCUAGUGUUUGUUUCCGUGAUUUGUAUAUUCUUCUGUUAGCAUGGACAAACACAAUUAGGAUAUCAUUUUCUUUCUUUUUUGUUGUUGGGGGGGGGAGGGGGUAUGAGUAGUCAUGGUCGGGUUUUGGUAUGGGCUGGUGAGUUUAGCACUCACAACUAAACUUUUAGAAGCAACCAAGUCUUCGAUGCAAACAAUUUGGAAACAAUUCUCUCAUGGACAUAUAUUCUAAAAAAACAGUAAAGGAGAAUUCUCUCGGAGCCAUACAAAUAAUUCUCACAAGAAUUUACCACAUCAUUGAUUAGCAUAUACAGAGCCAACUCAUUCCACAGAUCGGCAGGUGAGGUUGCCAUGAAAGCAAUCGCGUACUUCCCAAACCCCAAUCCCUUUAUUUAAAAAAAAUCCCCCUUAUCUCCCAUUCUCUCCCGCCAGCCCCUCCUUCUCCCAGUCCUCGUCCCCCCUCUGUUCCCUCCCAUGCGCCGCCAGGGCCAGGCGCCCUUACCACCACCGAUCCAGUCCUUCCGUGCGCCACCACCCGCCGGUGUUGGUGGCGCGUCCCCUCUCUCUCUCUCACGCACAUCUCUCUCUCUCUAGUCCCCAAUCUGGAUCCCAUGGACGCCUGCCGCAGUGUCCCGCGACCAGCCUACCGAAGCGCCCCCGCUACCCUCAUCUGCCUUGCCGCGAGCCCUAGCGUCCUAGCUGCAGGCGCCUUUCUUUCGAGGAGAAGAGACAGGGGAGAGAGAGAUGAGAAGCUACUCCUGGAUGCGUUGUGAGAGACGGAAGAGACGUAAAAGUCGGUACCACAUGAGAUGGGCAGGUGUGGCGACGUACCGCCACCACCAAAUGGCUCUUUUAUAAGAGUUAAGAUAAUGCGAGCACCCAUAUCAAGUGUAGGACUUGAACCUGAGUCUACUGGUUCCAUCACAGCGAACCAAACCAGCUAAUCCAGUUCACGAAAAGCAUCUCUAUUCUGAGAGGCAUGCAUGUGGCAAAAUCUUGAUUCAUGAUGGUUUCAGUCCGAUAUUAUUGGGGAUAAGUCCAAUGGAAAUAAAAGGAAUAAGAUGUUUGAAUGAAGGGAACUGUGCCAAUGGCAAUUUUGCUGAGUAAGUGACAAGCAUGACAUGUUUUUUAUGCUUUGUGAGAAACAAAUGCACCUUUUUGCAAAAAUUUAUGUGUUAUCUUACUGUUUAUGGAUCAAAUGUCAAACCUAGUUCGGUACCACAAAUUGGCAUGAAAUUUAGCACUUUAAUUGGAAGAGGAUUGGGAUUUUUAGAGUUAUUAUGGGGGGCAAAUUAGGUUUGGUCUCAGGAAGAGGUUGGAAUAAUCACUUCAUGCAAAUAUGUUUGUCACAAAGAGGGUUACCGGCUAACAAGCCGAAGUACUGUAGCUGAAAUUAGGACAUGUUGCCAAGUUCAUAUGGGCCUUACAAUAGAUAGUGAAGGUGGAAACUAUGAAGUAUUUGAUCUUGUUCUUGAGCACAACCACAUGCUACAGUUGAAAGAAACAUACCAUCUUAUGCCAUCCCACAGAGGAUAUCCCAUCUUUAGGCUUUCGAGAUCAAGACCGCGGAUGAUUCAGGUAUUGGUCCAAAAGCUGCACAUGAGUUAGCUAGUCGGCAAGUUGGAAGAUCAUUUUUUCUUAGCUACACCGCACAGACCAUAAAAAUUAUUUGUGUAUGUCGCGUGUGGGAACACGGUGAUGAGGGCAUCCCUAGUCCUUUGUUCUUUGCCUAAUGAUGAUCUUGUUGUUCAAGAUAAACCCAAUGAUCUACGCAUUGGACCAAUUACACGAGCACGUGCCAAGUUAUUAGAACAACAGGUGAACUCACUCCCAGUUGCACCUAACGUUUAUAUUGAUGAGAAUUUUAUACUUCCUAAGUCUUUGUAUCUUUGUGUAAUUAGGUUUGAGGCUGAGGCAACCGUGGAGCGUGGAGGAGAGGAGGCCGCGUGCGAGGAUCAUCAUGUGCUGUUAUCCAACAUCAAAAUAUGCGUGAGGAAGGAAAGGGAGGCAGGCGCACCACAAAUGAAGAUGGAGGAUACAAAUCACUAGAAGAACAACUUGUGUGCAAGGGGCAGCCAACGACAAGAAUGAUCUGCCCACCACAAGUUGAGUACGAAUACGAGGCGCACCAGGAUAGCCUACGACGAGUCCGACACAUCUAAGGGGCGCCCGAACCUGCGAGUCCUAGUUUAAGCCAAGUCCUAUUCGGAUUGGUUGUAUGAGUUUGAGUCGAACCUAGUUUUGAGUCUGAGUCCGUUUGUGUGUUUGGCUGCUCCUCGCCUAUAUAUACAAGGGGUACGCCUAGGGUUAGAGUUAGACCACAUUUUAGCUAUUUUCGAGACUCUUGUUGAUUGCGAGAAGCAUUCAUCUGGAAUCCUAUACACCAUAUUCGUUUCGAUAGGAUGUUUAUUAUCUACUGAAAUUUCGAGCGUAGUCUGUCGUUCCGCUGGGAAUUGGAAGAUUGAGAAACCGCUUGUGGUCGGCGGACUACUGCGCAAGUGUGUGAUGUUGCGAAUUUCCAUUUGGGUUGCAAGUUCAUCGUGCGGCGACGAGUGAACAGCCGGAAGAUUUGUAGAAUCAUACAAGUUAUCCACGUUGCUCUCUGAGAAGAUCGAGCCACCCCUUAUCACACGGACCCCGGGGAUGUCAACACCCCUUUUCUUUGUUCGGUGAUGGGCGUGAGAGUGAGGCAAACCCCUUCGUUAACCUCGAGACACGGUGGUUUUACCAGGUUCUGGCCACCCGGAAGUGUAAAAUCCUAUGUCCUAUUUGAUUGUAUUGUGAAUGUGGUGGUGUUACAAUGGCGAGCUCGAGCUCUCUAUGAAACCCUAGAGUGCCCGAGCUGUUUGAACUGGAACUGACGAGGGAAUGACCCUUCGGGUCCUCAACCUUUCUAUACCUGAUACAGCCCAACAGGGGGUCCACAAAAAGGCCCAUCAAGUAUACACAGGUCGAGUCCCCUGAAGUGCGGCUCAAGCUAAGGAACGUAAUCUUACUAUGCCAGAAUGUACUGAUCUGAUUGUAACCUUCCUGAUUAUCACGCCCAAGACCUAGCCGCCAGUAUAUAAGGCUAGGAGGGGGGAUCGGGAAGGAUCGUCCUCUACACACAUGUCAGAUCCCAUCUGCGCACCAUAGCCUCGGAGCUUCCUUGUAACCUUGAUCGAUACAAAACACCAAAGCAUGACAUAGGGGUGUUACCUCCUCGAGGGCCUCGAACCUGGGUAAUCCUUGUGUCCCCCUAUGUCCUUGUUAGUCGACGAGGUUGCUGGUGCACCCCGUGCUCUCCUUAGUCGAAAACCCUCGAGUUUGGGUAUUGCCGAAGUGAAACUUCGUCAGGAACCAAAAUCAAACCCUUGCUAAGGAAGCCAUGGACCUCCUUUACUUAUUAGGUUAAUUGGGGAUACGUACUUACCAGGUUAACUGUCUACUUAUCGGGUUAACCAUUCAUACUUAUCAGGUUAAUUGUUCCUAUUUACUAAGUUAAUGGUGUAUAAUUACUAGGUAACAACGCCUACUUACCAGGUUAACGGUGCAUACUUAGCAGGUUAGCUACACCUAUUUGCCAAUGUAAACAACAUGACAACUACUUACCAGAUUAUUUAUAUCUACUUAACAGAUUAGCUACACCUAUUUACUUGGAUAGUUAUGAUAAUCAUAGUAGAAUCAAGCCGAGCUCACUAAUUCUCUUACACCUAUGUGUAAUUCGGUCAACACAAGCUAGAACUGAGAAAAAAUGUGUAUAAUUACAUUCAUGACGAAGCGCGGAACACAUCCAUCCCAUCUUAUCCCAGAAGAGACGACACAUCAAACAUGUGGGAAGCAAGAGCGACUCCUUCUCCCCCUACUGCUUCUGCUGAUACCCCUCCAUGAUAGUUAGCCGUGGUUCGCGUGGUAGCGACAGAAAUGCCAAUGCCGAUGUCGAGGAGGUGCUGGUGCUAGUCGUAUUCGGGUCGGCGCUCUCCGAUCCGCCCCGCAUGCUCUCCUCUUGGUCCGAGUCCGACGCCACCCCUGGGCACAAAGUGCUUGGUUCAUGGCGAAUUUUGCCCUCCCAAAAUUUUGGCACUCAAUUUUAAUUUAGUCCGUUUUAGUUAGUGGUCAAAAGUUUGGUUGCCAAAGGAAUCUCGUCAACUAUCUCACACAUUUCUUCAUAGUUUUUUUUUUGCGAAACAGAAAUUCAUUAGCUAUCAGGACUGAUACAGUAAAAAGAUACAGCAUCCCAAAUCACAUCCGGUCCAUGACGGAUCCAGCUAUCGAUACGAUUAUUAACUCUAGCAUAGUUUGCCAGUAAAUGACUAACACAAUUUUGGUUCCUACUAGCUUUGCAAACGGUAACCGGUUGUACAUCGAGCAAGUGGCGGAUCUCCUUCACACACAGGGCAAAAGGCGACCUGUCCAAUCCUUUGGUUGCCACCAUCGCCAGGGCUUCGGCACAAUCCGACUCAAGGACAAUGAUCUUAUCUGUCCAGCCAAUUGCAGCAUGCAGACCAUCCUCAUAGGCAGUAAGCUCAGCAUCAAGGGCGUCAAUACACCGAGUGAGGCUACGGCAGGCCGAAAACAGAACCUCCCCUUUAUGGUUGCGAAGUACCAGACUUAUCCCAGCGGAACCAUCGUCGGGGGAGAAAGACCCGUCCACAUUCAGUUUGACCGAAUCAGGUUCUGGAGGCUUCCAGCGUGCCUGAGCAGCUCUAGGUUGAUCAUGGGUCCUCUGAUUGAGCUUCGAUCUAGCCGAGUAGGAACAGACUUGCUUCCCUUUGACAGCAUCGACACAAGGGUAUUGUUUGUUGAGGAGAAGGGAGUCCAUAUAGCUACACAGAAAGUGCCUUGAGGCCUCAACCGGUGCCGGAAUUUUGUCAUGCGUGAUAUCAUUAUGGACGUGCCAAAUAUGCCAGAGCAUCAUAAGCAGCAUAGCAGCCUUAGUCUUCUCCAUGGGAAGGAUAGCGUGAAGAAGCCAACCUGGCCAGUAUUCUGUAGACGCCUAGGAUCUGGGAUGUCCCAAUGAGGUCUCGUAGCCUACCAAAUACCUCGCGCAUUAGGACAUCGCACCAUGGCGUGGAAGGAGGCCUCCUCAGCACCACACACUUGGCAAAUUCUUGUCUUGUCCAUCUUCCGCUCACAGAGAUUAACCUGCGUGGCCAGAGCAUCUCUACUGAGUUUCCAUGCAAAGAUGUUCACCUUCCUCGGCACAAUGUCAUUCCAGACAGACUUCCACUUAGAGCUGCUUCCGUCCGGCCUGCUACUCGUUGCACCCACAUUUUGGCCUUCGGGGAUAUGCAACGGCCAAGGUGGUACGCUGAACGCACCGAGAACGGACCUCUCUUGUCGGGGUGCCAAGCCAGAAUGUCUUGCUCAUUCCGGCCAGAUGAUCUAAUCUUAAGAAUGUACUCAAUAUCAAUUGGGAGAAAAAAAAUCAUAAGUAGCUCCAUAUUCCAGCUGAUAUCCGGGGUUAACAGAUCGGAAUCUCACUUAAGCCGGCAAUUUCUCCUUGGUGAUAUCGAUCGUCUGCUGUAAUUUCAUGGAAUCCAGGGGUCCCUACAGAUGCGGACUCCUCGCAUACAGGGAGUCAGGUUUGUCAAUCAAGCGCCAUGCUUGUCGGGACCAAGAGGGCCUGAUUGAAAAAAUUGGCGAAAAUUGAUAGCCUAAGGAUCGGCGAGAACCAAACAUGCCCAGAUUAAGCAGCAAUCCUCCUCCUUUUUGUUCCAAAUUCCAAUCCCUUGGCCCUUGCUACGUUCUGAGAGCAGCAGCUGGCCUGGUGUUCGAUCAAUCGAGAAAUAUGAGAGACAAAAGAGGUGCUAGCUAUGUCAUGCAGUUGCGACCCAAGCACCCAGAGCCUCCCGCGUGCUCCAGUCCUGCCUCGCCCACUCCUCUGCAUCCUGCCGCAGAAAGGGCGACUGCUGGCGGCAAGGGCGGGCGACGGCGGCAAGGGCGUCGAGGACGAGAUAGACCUACUGCAGGAGACGAGAGGAGGCGCGAGGGGAGAGGAGACGAGGGAGAUACUCCGGGAGCGCUGCAGCCGUCGAGUCGGCCCACGCGAAUCUUGGUGCCCACGGUGGGCCCGUCUUCUAAAUAGAUUAACCGAAAAUAGAAGUUAACUCCCUCCCCUCUCUCUCUCUUCCCAGUUCGUCGCUCUCUUCCUCUUCGCCGAAUCGCGACCCAAAAGUUCGAUCUUUGGGCUCCCUCCAAUCGGAUUCCCCCACGGCGCUUGGACCCGCCACCGCCGUUCCACGAGCUCCCGAUUGGAUCGCGCCCCGUCCCGUCCCGUCCCGUGUCGUCUGACCCCGGCGCCGCCGGCGCCAAUGCCCGGCGCGCGCAGCUCUGCCGCCCCGCUCCCGCCGCCUUGUUGCGAUAUGGGCGCGGGGCACGAUAUAGGGUGGUGAGAUCAUACUUUCUUCCCUUAUAAGGGACCUAAGACUGUUAUUGCGGAGGAAUUCUUGCGCCGCUCCGUGUGCAGUGGCGGGGGCGGCGGCGGCGACAGCAGGCGCGACCUGCUCGAUCUUGGUUCUCUGAGGGGUGCUUCCGCCGGAUUGCGAUGCAAUGUGGGCCACGCUCGGGUGGUGCUACUUUUGAUCUGUUUUCUAGUCUUUUGAGGUAUAGCCCCUGGAAACAUUGAUUUUGAAUCGCCCUUGCAAUGGAGGACAUAUUUCAGACUGUUUUUCUUAGAUUUUGUGCAGAGAGGUGUGUUAUUCCUAGCUUGCUCGUGCUGUAGCUGAGAAAAAUUGCUAACAAUGUGCCAAAAUUUGUGGAUUGUUUUUGGUGCUCAUAAUGUUGUUCUUUAGGUAACAUUGCUUUCUUUUAUGCUUUCUUAUAUUAACCUAUGGUUAUUCAGUGCCUAACAUGCCUUUAGACAACUCGGUAAUGAUAUUUUUAGAUUGGUGGAAAAUUUCCACCUAGGUCAUACGGUGUAAAAAUAAAUACAGCAGUUAUAUUUCUUGCGAUGCUCCUGCUAUUUGUUAGUCGAGAGAAUUCUUCUUGCUUUUUGAAAUACAAUCAUGUUUUUGGUGGUAGGGGGUCGGUACAAAAUUGUAUAGUAGUUCUAUAUUUGUAAAUUAUUUUACCUAGCUCUCGUGUUAGAUAGUGCCCCUGCAAUAACAAAUGUGCCUUUGCGGCAUUAUUGACAGUCUACAAGACGGAACUUUGACCACCAAUGUACUAUUGUAAUAUCCAUUACCUAAUAAAAUUAUUACAUUAUGAAAUAAUAUUUUUUUCAUACGGCAAAACUAUCGUUGGUUGAAGUUAAAAUUGUUUCACUGCAUGCAUUCUAGGCAGAACUCUCUUUUGACUGGGGGAAUUAUGUCAAAAUGAGUCUCAAAAUUUCUCUUUUCAUUUCUGUUGCAGCAGAUGAGGAUGCAAAUAUGAGGAUUUCUUUUAGGUGGUCCUAUUGCAGCCACCCAUGGAGGCCUCUGAUAAAACUUUUGCUGAUGUAGUUAAGCUUUUGACAUCAUGGCUGCCUCGUCGGUCCAAACCAGACAAUGUCUCAAGGGACUUCUGGAUGCCUGACCACAGUUGCCGAGUCUGUUAUGACUGUGACACACAGUUCACCAUAUUCAACCGCAGGCAUCAUUGUCGUCGUUGCGGGCGUAUUUUCUGUGGUAAGUGCACAGCAAAAUCCGUCCCAGUUAGAAGUGGCCCUGAUAAAAGCGUCUAUGAGGCGGACAAGAUUCGUGUCUGCAACUUUUGCUUUAAGCAAUGGGAGCAGGAGCAAACUAAUGUUUUCAAGCAGAUGCAGCCAGUGCUUAGCCCUUCCCUGUCUGAGGCGAGUCUGUUCAGUACAAAAUCAACUAUCACAGUUAACAGUGUGAGCACACCCGCUGGAUGUUACUCUACUGGAAAGUACCAGCAUAAUAUGGCUCGUGCCUCGAACAUUUGUCCUCCCAAAAUUUCCCAAGACAAAGCCUCCCAUAGUACUGAAAGCACCCAUGUGCCUGAGAAAAAUAUGCAGUCUAUUUCAAACAGAGAUGACUCUUCUUCGGUUCAAUUUGACUAUUACAGAAACAGGUACUCGUUAUGAAACCUCAUACCAUAUAAUGUUACCCGGCUAAAUUAUAAUAUAAUACUCCCUCCAUCCAAAAUUAUAGGUCAUUUUAGGUUUCUUAUUUUUUCCAUAAAAGAGGUCGUUUUAGCUGUAAUUAAGUUCAGCCUGCAAGCGAGUGCUUCGAUCGCUGCAUAUCUUUUUAAUACUUCUCAAAUCACGCGUACUAGCUGUAACUGCUCGAGGUGUUCACGUCCUCUCAGCCAACCUCUUCCUCACACGCAUGCUGAUCAUUUACCAAGGGAGGGACCCGACGCCAUCUAGUAGAGCAUUUUGAGCCGAAAUUAAUGCCUUUUUCAGCAAACUUACACACGUCCAGCAGUUCUUGCCUUCUUGGUAUCCGGGAAACAUCUAAAACAACCUAUAAUUUGGGAUGGAGGGAGUAUGUUUUUUCCUUAAAUACCCUGUUAUAUCAUGAUAGUUUCCAUGUUUUCCUUAAAUAUUACUACCAGUCUGCCUUCAGAAAAGGAAUACAGUUGCUAUUAUAUUUAGGUUGACAAUGAAAUUCCAUUGAUUUGUGCGGUAUUCGAUUAAUUAGCUACUCCCUCCGUCCCAAAAUAAGUGACUUGGAUUUGUAUAGAUUCUUAUACAAAUGCACGUCACUUAUUUUGGGACGGAAGGAGUAGUUAUGAUGCUUGAAAAAUGCCCGUCUCAUCAUGUUACUCUCUUCUUCAGGAGUGACGACGAAGAUGAAGAGUAUUCUUACUUCUCUGACAGGCAGGUACAACAUCAACAACACAAUAACCAGUACUUCCACUCAGAUGAGUUUGAUGAGUUUGAUGCAUCCUAUAAUUCAACGAUAUCAAGGGCUAUUGAAGAAAAUGUAAUUUCAAAGGAGUUAUCCUCUUAUGUGGUUGAUCAAGGAUUACCCAGCACAUUGCCAAUAACCAAAGUGGAGGAUGAUCCAGAACCUGAUAAUAGUUCAGAUUGCGGUGCUGCUUCAUCCAUUUAUGCCCUGGAAACUACUGAUACAAAUCCAGUGGAUUUUGAGAAGAAUGAUUUUUUUUGGAUUCCCCCUGAACCAGAAGAUGUAGAAGAUGAGGUGGAAGCUGAUUUGUUUGAUGACGACUAUGAUGAUGAUGAGCCUGUAUCUGAUGGUGGACGGUGGCGCAUUCGAUCGUCAAGUAGUUUUGGUAGUGGAGAAUUCCGAAGUAGAGAUCGCUCAAGCGAAGAACAUAAGAAAGUAAUGAAGAAUGUUGUUGAUGGACAUUUCAGGGCUUUGAUUUCUCAGCUGUUGCAGGUGGAGAAUAUUGCAUUACAGGAAGGUGAUGACAUGGGUUGGUUGGAGAUUGUUACUUCGGUAUCAUGGGAAGCUGCAAACUUCCUCAGACCUGACACAAGCCAAGGCGGAGGCAUGGAUCCUGGUGGAUAUGUCAAGGUUAAGUGUUUAGCGGGUGGACACUGCAGUGAAAGGUGAAUUAUCUUUUCUAUUAUAGUAGACUACACUAUAUACAAUUUUGAUCUCCAUCAACACUUCAUGAAGCUCUGUCCUGUAAAUAUUUUUUCCCUCUUGGGAUCUGCAUACAAUUAAUACUGAUCCUUUCAUACCAUCAACUAGCAAAGGUAGUGUCGGCUUUGACACUACAUCGAGCCUUAUAGUUUACAUAUUAUUACCUGACACCUGUAUCCAUUUUCUUUCAGCACUGUUGUGAAAGGAGUAGUCUGUAAGAAGAAUGUCGCACAUAGGCGCAUGACUUCUAGAAUAGAAAAACCUCGUCUCCUUCUACUUGCUGGAGCUCUUGAGUAUCAUCGAGUUACGAAUCAGCUGUCAAGUAUUGACACAUUGCUCCAGCAGGUUCUUGAACUUUUCAUGUGUUUCUCGUUAUGCAAACGUAAGGUCACAUGGAUCUUAAAUGUAUGUUUUGUAUGCUAUACAGGAAACAGAUCACCUUAAAAUGGCAGUCGCGAAGAUUGUAGCUCAAAAACCCAACCUCCUUUUGGUUGAGAAUACAGUUUCUCGCUAUGCUCAAGAUUUGCUUCUAGAGAAGAACAUAUCACUGGUUUUAAAUAUUAAGCAAUCCCUCUUGCAGCGUAUAGCUCGUUGCACAGGUGCUCAGAUAGUUCCUUCUAUUGAUCUCUUACCAUCUCAGAAACUUGGUUACUGUGAGUUGUUUCAUGUCGACAAACACAUUGAACAUUCUAUGACUUCGGAUAAUAAGACUAAGAAAAUGCUGAAGACCAUGAUGUUUUUUGAAGGAUGUGCAAAGCCAUUAGGUUGCACUGUAAGUCAUAAACUAUUUCUCUCCUUUCUUUUGGCUCCAAGCAUGCAUAAUUUUUGUUGCAGAGGGACACAACGCUACUUAGGUGAUCACAACAAUUACUUAUUUAGAUUCCCUACGUUGCAUGUGAUAAAAGUUCUUGCAUACCGAGAGUGCCAAAAGAUUAACUUAUUUGAGAUGCUGGCCUGCAGAAUUGUUUUCAGCAAUCUACACAAAGUCUUUACAAUUUUCUUUCUGUGACCCCCCAGUUUGUCUGCAUGAAACAUUGAAACAUAAUUGUUUUCUGAAACUUAUUAUUUUUUCCUCUAUGACCUACAGGUUCUGCUGAAGGGUGGUAGCAUGGAUGAGCUAAAGAAAAUUAAGCAUGUGGUCCAGUAUGGCAUAUUUGCAGCAUAUCACUUGGCCCUAGAAACAUCUUUCCUUGCAGAUGAAGGUGCCACGCUACCAGAACUUCCUUUGAAGUCUCCACUGACUGUAACCUUACCAGAUAAGCGAUCUGCUGCAGACAACUCUAUUUCGACGGUGCCAGGUUUUACAAUUGAUAUUUCCAACAGCCAACAAGCAAUUGGUAGUUUUGGGCACCUUGGCACAGACUCCAUUAUGUCAACUGACCCAGGUAGAACAGCUGUGGAUGAACCACCAGUAGACACUGCAUGUCCUAGUUCUCCAAAGACCAACUCUCACUCUAUUAGACCUUGGUAUACCAGUAACAUCUGGAAUGAUGCUAAAUUAGAGAAGGACACCACAUCUGAUGUACUCACUGACCAUUCGCAUAUAUAUUCUACUGUAGAAAAAGAACGCAUGUAUUCAGGUGAUUAUCAUGAUGGUUAUUUAACCAGGUCAGAUGGUAAAACAGUCAGAGCAGAUUCAACCAACACAAAUUGUUCCUAUAAUCAGAACACGUCUGUGAUCAACACAAACCACACUAGUUGUUCUAAUCACAAGGAGCCAUUAGAUGGUUCAAUUGCUUUGGCUGAUGUGAGAAUCAGCAACACCAAUGAUAUGGUGGUAGUGCGACCGGUGGCUAGCCCUGCUGUACAAAAUCAAGAAACCAGUCAAGGGUAUGAGAUUACUUCUACUAAGGAAGAAGUUCUGCCUUCUGAUCAUCAAAGCAUCUUAGUCUCUUUGUCCAUACGCUGUGUCUGGAAAAGAACUAUUUGUGAGCGUUCUCAGCUGUUUCGCAUCAAGUAUUAUGGUAACUUUGACAAGCCUCUUGGAAGGUUUUUGCGUGACUACCUGUUUGAUCAGGUUUUCCCCUUUAAUUUCAUGUCCUUGGUUGUUUCAUUAACUUCUUUUUUAGGAGCAUUUCAUGAACUUCGUGCCUUCUAUUCUUCACAUGUCUCACAGAAUGCAUUUAUACAGGGUUAUCAGUGUCGUUCCUGUGAUAAGCCACCUGAAGCUCAUGUGCAUUGCUACACUCAUCGCCAGGGAAGUCUAACAAUAUCAGUUCGGAAACUUCCUAAUGUUGUUUUGCCAGGAGAAAGGGAUGGAAAAAUUUGGAUGUGGCACAGGUGUCUAAAGUGCCCUUGGAGUGACGGAUUUCCACCAGCGACUCAACGCAUUGUCAUGUCUGAUGCUGCUUGGGGUUUGUCACUUGGUAAAUUUUUGGAGCUUAGUUUUUCAAAUCAUGCAGCUGCUAGUAGGGUAGCCAAUUGUGGUCAUUCUCUCCACAGAGACUGCCUUCGAUUCUAUGGGUAAGCUAUCUUCAGAUGCUUGCCUUUUCAGAAUGAAUUAAUCUCAGUUGGUUUUCAUGCUGAGUAGACGCCAUGGGAAGUAGGUUAUAAAUCUGGCAUCUGCUUUUGUAUACAGAUUUGGCAAAAUGGUGGCUUGCUUCCGUUACGCACCUAUUAAUGUUCAUUCUGUUCAUGUACCACCUCAUAAACUCGAUUUUACUCACCAACCCUUGGACUGGAUACAGAAAGAAGCUAAUGAGGUAUGCAUCAUACAGCAAUAGUAGGUUUGGUUUGCAUAAAAAUGUUUCUGUUUCUGCUUUUGUCGAACAUUUCAAAAUUCUUUCUCCAAUUUUUAACAGUUUGCUAUGAUAAAAUUGCUUUCACCUUGAUGACUAAUAUUUUACCAAAUUGAUAGGUCAUUGACCGGGCAAAGGUUCUCUUUGAUGAAAUAUUACGUAGUUUGCACGUGAUCUCUGAGAAAAAGGCUCACAGCAGUUCUCUCAAUGUGGAAUGUCCCAAUUACAUCACUGACCUUGAAGGCAUGUUUCGAAAAGAAAAGUUAGAGUUUGAGGUGUGCUUCUUUCAGAUAGAUCUGUCUUUUACCAUAUUCAUUAAAAUAGAGUUUAAACUUGUAAGAUUGUUACUUCAACUCAUUGAGGCACACAACUAGAAAGCUCGAUGGUCAUGAACUUACCGUGCACAUGCAGUGAACUGUAAAACUGUAACUGUGCAUCUGGGUUUAAGAAAAUAUAGCAUAUGUUGAUGCCCAACUCAGCAAAAAUAUAUCGCUGAUUUAAAACCGAACUCAUUUUGUUUUGGGAGAAUUAGACCCAACUCUUUUGUCUCCAUAUGUUGUCAAGAAACAAGAUAAUUCUUGUUUCAUGGGAGAAUACACAUAUGAAUCUUUUACUUCAUGUAAAGAUGAUGGUAUAUUUAGAGCUACUAAUACGACUAGGAAGUUUGAGCUUUAAUCACAAAGAUUCUGCAUCUUAAGUAGGGGGCAUAUCUAGUAAUGAGGAACAGAAAGGUGCUAACUAUGGUAGCCCUCUUAGCUUGGACGCGAAAAUCAACUAUAAAUUUCCCAAAACAUUUGUCGAAGUGGCCCUCCUACUUAUUUUAGCAUCAUAGCACCUAUUGCAUAGUUCACAGAUAUUUGUACAGGGAUACGGGGACACGGGAUGACGGGAUACAACAUUUUCCAAAAACAGUCAAACAGGGAUACAGCAAAUAUAGAUAAUUUUUAAAAACACCAUGUAUAAAACAAUAAUUUAAGACAUGAUAUACUGAGAUGAGAAAAAAUAAUGCCCAUUUGUGGUGAGCCUCUGCCUCCAAUCCAUGUCUUCUUUUGAAGUUCUCAAUGCUUGAAUAAUCCUACAAAAUAUGACAAAUAGCACACAAUGAGAGCAUAGCAAUUAACAAAAACAAAUUCUACUAAUAUAACAUGAUGGAUACGAGGGUAGAAGGCUCAGGUGGCCAUAAAGCACAUAGCGCAGCAGCAACUUAACAAGUAGCAACAGCAGCAAAUUAGCAACGGAAGUAGUAGCCUAUCCACUUGCCAGCUCGCCUAAUCGGUACAAAAAUAAAGAAAAAAACAGUAGCUAGCCAGCCUGCAGGUCGCAACAGCAAAGAAAAACAGAGGGAGAGGGGAGUGGACGAGGGAGACUGGGAGAGAGAAGUAGCUGACUCGCCGGAGAGGUGAGGGUGGGACUCGCCGAUGAAUUACCUGCUGGAGGCUGGAGGGGAUUGGGCGGUGACGACAAACUGGGCGUUGAGUCCAGCAGCUGAGGCGACACGGUUGCAGCCUUGAAGGAGUGUGAUGGCGGCGGGUAGUGCGAACUGCCCCCUUCCGUACGCACCUGCGAGAGGUUAGGGUUUUUGGUGGGCUUGUUGGUCCACCCUGACGUUCCCGUAUCACGAUCCGUAUCCUCCCGGUAUCCCCUAUUUUUUUUUAAAUUUGGAAGUCAUCGGGUACUCUGGGAUGCCCGUAUCCCGGCGUGUCAGCAUGGGGAUAUGGCGGCCCUGGACGUAUCAGUGAUUCGUAGGUUUACAUUGACAUGUCCCCCAUUAAGCAUACCUACAGACAAUGCAGAAACUUCGCCAUUCCAUUCCUUUAGUCCUUGAUGUAUGCAUUUCUUAUAUGGUUACUUGAUUGAUUUCUAUCUUUAAAUAAUUAGGGGUGUCUGAAUAAAGUUUUCAAAAAGGAAGCACAGAAAUGUCAACCAGACAUUCUUGAGAUUAAUAGGCUGAGGAGACAGUUACUCUUCCAUUCAUACUUGUGGGAUCAAAGACUGAGAUUUGCUGCAAGAUCAGAUAGGAGUCGCCAUGAACUAUCCAACAUCAGGCAAGGAGAUAAGGAGAUGAUUCAUCCUGUGGACAGUUUUGCUGGACCAAAUGCCACCGAUCAACCUCAAAAGGAAAUUAGUGGAACUGAGGUGGCCAAUAAAGAUGUUAAAUAUGUCGAAAAGCUUCAAGAGAGCAUUUGUAGACAGAAUUGUGCUGCAGUUGAUGCAAGUAAUAGCUAUUGUAAUCUUGACCAGCAAAUAGCCACAUGUGAGUCGGACUCCCUCCAAAGAAGCAUCCAAACACCUCUGUACAGCAGCGUCAGUGUGAACGGUGAUACAGUGCCUUUGGAGUCUGAUCUUGUUGCUCGACGCACCCUUUCAGAAGGGCAGUUCCCCAGUAUAUUAGAUGUUUCCAAUGCACUUGAUGCAAAAUGGACUGGUGAAAAUGAUCCUAUUACUAGCAAGGUAAUAGUCCCAGAUUCUAUUGCAUCCUCAGAGGACUCGGAAGAACAUAUCAGUGAUACUACACCUUCAUAUGCGUCUGUAUUGCUGAACAAGCUAGGCGAUAGUGCAGAGGACCAUUCCAAUUGGAUAGGGAUGCCUUUCUUACAAUUAUACCGUUCUCUCAACAAGCAAUGGAGUCGUUCAAAAAGAUUUGAUGCUCUCAUUGAAUAUACACCUGUUCAUAUUUCUUUCUUAAGGGCAAUGGAGCGCCAGGUUGGGCCCAAAUUUCUCUUUCCAAUAGGUAUCAAUGACACUGUUGUUGGAGUUUAUGAUGAUGAACCUACUAGCAUCAUCUCUUAUGCGCUUACCUCUCAUGAAUACCAUCUGCAGCUGUCAGAUGAGCUGGACAGAGAAACAACAGAGACUUCACCCUCACUCUGUGAUUUGAGAAGUGUCUCAUUAUCUGAAUCGAUAGAUGAAACUAGUUCUGAACUUCUAAGAAGUGUUGUGUCAGCAGAGGACAAUGCGCGCUCCAUUUCAGGAAGCAAGAACACAUCCACUUCUGAUCCACUUUUACAUGGUAAAGUAACUCACAUAAAGGUGAAUUUUGGAGAUGAAGGCCCUCUAGAACAAGUGAAGUACACUGUGAUCUGUUACUAUGCAAAACAAUUUGAUGCUUUGAGGAGAAUAUGCUGUCCAUCUGAGCGUGAUUUUGUUAGGUCACUAAGUCGCUGCAAGAAAUGGGGUGCUCAAGGAGGAAAGAGCAACGUUUUCUUUGCAAAAUCAAUGGAUGACAGGUUCAUAAUUAAGCAGGUCACCAAAACAGAAUUAGAGUCUUUCAUGAAAUUUGCUCCGGACUAUUUCAAAUAUCUGUUAGAGUCAAUUGGCACUGGCAGUCCUACUUGCAUUGCAAAAAUUCUUGGUAUUUAUCAGGUAAUAUUUUAUUAGUUUUAUGACUUUCAUUUCUUAGCUUUGCACCAACUGCACAACAAAAUUUCUUUGCUAUGCCUCUAUAAUUUCCGAUGGUCAUGUUACUGUGGUUCAAGUGACAUUAAUUAUCAUGGAUUUGUUAGAUUGGAAAAGCGUACAUCUAAUUGUGAUUUUCGGAGAAUUAUAAAUCUGAAUGCAAGGGAGAGGAAUUAUCUGUUGAAUUCACAAAUGUUUACUGCUGCUAUAUUCAUGCAGUCAUAUUUUUCUAACAACGGCCAUUAAUCAAGAUUGACCAUGUAGAAAAUGAACCUCCACAUUUGUCAUUAGAAUUAAUUUAAUAGUACUACAGAUAAAUAAUAUGUGUUGGGAUACUAAUCAUCUGAAUGUCCAUUAAAUCUGAUCAAAGACAGAAACAGUGAAUCUUUUGUUGCAACUGCUAAAAUAUAUGUUGAUGAUUGUCUCCAUUGCAUUAGUAAUUAAGCCAUGCAAUUAAAAGCACAAAAUGGUACUCAAUGUUUUCUAAUUUUGUUUGAUUUUAUUUUCAAAAUUAAACCCUUCUCAAUGGCACGUUUCAGUGCAAAUUUGGGAAAAUCAAUUCAUCAGCAAGGAUAAUUUUUGCGGAUCAUUAUUUUGACAUAUAGUUUCAGUUCAAUUUGUCAAUCUUGUAUCAUUAUUUUGAUGAUCUGGCCAGUGGCUAAUCCAGCUGACGUGUUAUGUGUUAUGAAAGCAUGCAUGGCAUGUGCGGGAAAGCUAGUGUUUGAAUAAGUUGUUGCCAAAACUAGACCUUCUUUUAUUUGGGUAGAAUAUCAGCAGUUGCCACCAGUUACAGACUUAUUGUUACUAAGAAAAAUCACAUCAUGACCGCCCUAUUUUAAAUGUUACGUUCCUUUGUGCAAGCCAUAGCAUCAAAUAUUUCCUUUUUUCUUCUUCCAAAUAGUGUUUCUCAGUAGGGUAUUAAUUUUCAUCCGAGUCUGAAAGUGAUGCAACAGCCUGAAAGUGAUUCUGACAGUUGAAACCUAAAUGUUCUGCAAGUUAUUCAACAAUCACGAGUUCAUAACCUUCAUAUAAUUUUUAUCAUCGGGAGAGUCGUCUCAUUAUGCAUCUGAAUCUUGUACGAAUGCUGUUUGAGUUUUGGAUGGGAAAUUUUGUUUUUUAUGAUUUAUCUUCAUAAGUACUUAUUGUGGGAUCUCUUACUCAAUCUUAUACUUUGAGCUUGAAUAGGUGAAGAGCCUGAAAGGUGGAAAGGAGACAAGGAUGGAUGUUCUCGUCAUGGAAAAUCUUUUAUUUGAACGUCAUGUGACAAGAUUGUAUGAUUUGAAGGGCUCUACAAGAUCAAGAUAUAACCCUGACUCGAACGGUAGUGAUAAAGUACUUCUUGAUGAGAACUUAAUUGAAGCAAUGCCUACAUCCCCUAUUUUUGUCGGGAACAAGGCGAAGCGACUUCUGGAGAGAGCUGUUUGGAAUGAUACUGCAUUCCUUGCUGUGAGUACUAGUCAGUUUCAUACUUGCUUGACAUCGCUGCAUUCUUCUGCACAUAUAGUAUAUCCUUAUAUGAUAUAUCUGUUGCUGGCUACAAAUUUUCUUUACCACUAUGACAAGCUUUUGAACUACUAUUAUUUUCUUCCAAACAAAAGGUUUUCUAGUGGUUACUCAUAGAUAAAUCACAGUAAUUCCAAAUACAUAUAAAUAUUUGCACUGAAGAUUAUGCGCUUCCAGCUCUUUUGGUAUAACUCUCAAAGCAAGGUUCAAUUACAACCAUCUCUGGCCUUCUUUUAUUCAUAUUGACCGAUAUAUGUUAUACUACCUGAGUCACAAGUUAGAUCUUUUUAGAUACUGACAGGGUCUUCAGAAAUAACAAAGUAUACAUCAAAAGAAGUAUAUUGCAUGGUACAUCUAGGAAUACCAGUCUAGUGACGAGAACACCCAUCCUUGUUUCCUUAUAUGAUAUAUCUGUUGCUACCUACAAAUUUUCUCCUCCCAGUGAAAAUCCUGUAUCAGUGAAAAUUUAUAAGCACAUAAAGGACUCAAACAAUUACAUGCACAUAACUUUUUCUGGAUUUAUUUGGGUAUGUCCUCCCAGGAGCCAUUUUCCCUACCUCACUGCCAGGAAUCAGGAUGCAUAUCGGAACUUGCAAACGACCUAGUAUUUUGUUUCACAUGGUGUUCUGCUCUUUCACUCUGCUGUUAUUAAUUUAUUACUUUUCUGGAUAUUCAUACUGAAGCCUGCUGUUAUCAUGUUUCUCAAGAAAUUGGGGAAUCUAUAACAUGGUAUGAAAAGAUUAACAUCAUAACAGAUCAGAAAGAUAUAAAUGAUCAUAACAGACCAGAAAGAUAUAAAUGAUCAUAACAGACCAGAAAGAUAUAAAUUUUGCUUACAAUUAGUGCCUCAUGUAGAAAUUAUCUAGAUUCAACUUGCUAUAUUGCCGGAUAUAACUCGUAAUGAGUCAUUUAUGUCAUGCUUUUAAUCUUGUAAUGAACCUGUGCAAUUUCUGAUAUCAACAUUGGCAACUUUACUGCAGUCCAUUGAUGUAAUGGAUUACUCAUUACUUGUUGGUGUUGAUGAGAAGAAGCAUGAACUUGUUAUGGGAAUCAUAGAUUUUAUGAGGCAGUAUACAUGGGACAAACAUCUAGAGACAUGGGUGAAAGCUUCAGGAAUAUUAGGUGGACCAAAGAAUGUAUCACCAACAGUAAUUUCACCAAAGCAAUACAAGAAGCGUUUCAGGAAAGCCAUGUCGGCCUACUUUCUUGUUGUUCCAGAUCAAUGGUCGCCUCCAGCAAUCAUCCCCAGCAAGCAAGUGUCUGAAAGCGGCCAAGAUAAUGAUCAGUUUCUCUCCACGGGAUCAUGAUGCAUGCUGGACCUUAAAAAUGCUCGGAAAUAUUGUGGAAUAACUCUUUUUUGUCACAUAUAUAGAGUUCUAUUAAUUACUAUUUAGCUCAUUCUUUUUCAUUGGCCCUAUUUAUCUGGCACCUUAUUCUUUUUUCUUUGGAAGAUCAAGAUGUACAAAAUCUAGCUGAAGUUUCUGGAAGUUCUAGAUAGAAAAUUGACAAGUGUAUAGGAGGAGCGUAUAAAGAUAUGCCAUCUACAUGAGUCUGUAGUGCACUGAGAUGAUACCAUGCAGAUAAAUAGAAUUACUUCUACCUUUGCAAACAUUUUUUUUUGUCAUAGUUCAUUUGUGGUUAUAUUAUUGCAGACCUUUCUAAGAGACUCUAGAAACAAAAAGCAUAUUGGCCAGGGAUGGGAGUCUGUGAUUUUGUCGGGUUUCUGAGACCCUUUCUGCAUUAUAUUAUGUAUAGCGCACUACAGCUGGCUCUCUGUCUCUGUUGAUAUGGGUCUUGCUGACUUGCUGGAACUAGGAGUUACCCAGGAAACAAUUCAAUUUCUGUACAAGGAAGCAAUUCAACUUUCUGUAGAAUGCGGGAAAAUCCCUUGUUCCAAAAUGGGGCCUUGAUAUGACUUGCAUCUCGUAUGCGACUUGUCCUGGGUUUUUACACAACUAUCAGAUUUGCUAAAAGCAAGAUAAACCUUGAAUAUUAUUAAAUACUCCCUCUGUUGUUCUAUAAAAUGGUUAACCUCUGUCUUAAGUUAAACUUUUAAAAGUUUGGUCGAGUUUAUUGAGAAAUAUACGAUAUCUAUAGUAUCAAAUAAGUAUAUUGUGAAGAUAUAUACCAUGAAAGAUUUAAUAAAACUAAUUUAGAGUUAUAGGUAUUCAUAUUUUUUAAUAAACUUGACCAAACUUUAAUAAAGUUUAAUUAAGGAUAAUGCUGGAACAUCUUAUAGGAAUGAAGGGCAGGACUCAGGAGUACUAGCAACCUCCCUGGCAGGCCACCUGACCUCAAAUGAGUUUCGCUAAGGUACCCUGCGGCUCAAGCACAAUCCUGACCACGUGAUGAUGCAUGAAGGAUUUAAGGUUAGAAAUCUUCUCUUUUUUUACAAGACCUUUGUCGGCAUCCCAAAACUUUAGGGCCCAUUUUAGAUUUAGCACAUGGGCUCAAAUUUUUGGGUAAGGCCCGAUGAAGGGAAUGUUGUGUAUGCAACAUUGAGUACGUUGUCCGUACAACAUUGUGUUCGUUUAGGAGUUGGGACAUCUGGUAGGGACCGCUAUUGACUAAUGGUUGAGUAGAAAUAUUCGGGCCAUAACUAAAUAUGCGUGAACCUGUAUGGUCGUAUACUUGAAGGGUUGGAGCCUAAUUUGAAUUAGAAAUAAAUUAGAGUGGAGAUUGAGUUCUAACGGCCAAUGGGCCUCUAACGUGGUUCCCCAUUAUGGGUACGCGUCUACAUAAGGAAGACUGGAAGAGGGGCUGGAGGGUUUAGGCCUUUUCCAGCCCAAAACCUCUGUUCAGAUUUAGCAAUCGGAGCAAGUGGUUUUCCUUGCCGAACAUGUGGAUACCUCGCAAGCAUUGCGACCGUCACGAUUGGACGAACUAUUUAAGGGAACUCGCAAGGAGAAAAAGGUAGUACAACCACAUGGCAUACUCAAAUUCCGCUACAAGGUUUGGCGCAUCUAGUGGCAACCACGUGAUCCGCUAUUACGACAUGUUUUUAGUUUACAUGGUAUUACCUCCUCCCAUUUUAUGAGACACUCGUGUGUUCCAAAAUUAUCAAUUCAACUAACAAAAUAAGUAAUUUAUUGCGCAAAUAUGUACCAUUAGAUUUGUAAUUAAAUGAACUUUAAAUGAUAUAUUUUUUAAUCUCAUAUUACAUUUUGGAGAGAAAUCCAUAUUUGCCAGUGAGAAUUUGUCUAGAUGUUUAAAUGCCACUCAGAAUUUGUCUGUUCCAAAUAUGCCACUCAAAUUUUGCAUUGGGGUAUAAAUAUGCCACUACCGUUAGUUGACUGCUAGUUGACCGUUAACUAAGAGAUGAAAAUACCAUUUUGCCCCUUAGGUAGACAAAAGAUACAACAGCAUUAAUUAAGUGGUUCAUUCAGAUGACAACUUUCAAUGUUCCAAUUCUGCUUCUAAGCACUCAAACAGUUCUCGAGAACUGGGAUUGAAGCUAUUGAAAACAAGAUCUCAAAUGAAAAACUGUUAAAGAAGUCAACGGUAUGGGCAAGUAACUAGCAUGAUAUAUACAAAGCUACAAAAGAACCAUGGAAAAUAAUAAAUAUGAGAGUUAGGAAGCAACAUCUAAACUUUUCACUGCAAGUCACGCUAGUGACAAGAAAAAUGCUAAAUGAAAAAAAAAUAAGAUCGAUGUUUUCUCACAUGCCAUAUCAAUCGUGAGAAUGAAAAUGUGUUACCUACUCAACAACGGGAAACCAACAACGCAACAAGGGGUAUCUUAGUUUUCUUUUUUUUCCUUCUGACCCGUGGACCUAGGGGUAUAUCGGUCAAUAUGUAAAACCUAACAAUUGACUUAACGGUCAAUUAACGGUUGUGGCAUAUUUGUACCCGAUGCAAAAUUUGAGUGGCAUAUUUGGAGUAGGCAAAUUUUCAAUGGCAUUUGGGCAUUUGGACAAAUUCUCGGUGGCAAAUAUUAAAUUCUCUCAACAUUUUGCUACUCACUCCAAUCCAUAUUAAUUGUCGCAGCUUUGUCUAGAUACACAUGUAUCUAAACGCGUUUCAUUGUAUAGGUACAUCCUUAUCUAGGCAAAACUGCGACGAGUGAUACGGAUCAAAAGUAAUAGUUAAAUUGAUGAUCUUGGAACACGUGCAUGUCUUGUAAAAAAGGCGGAGGUAGUCGAAAAUCUUGAUUUGCGCUAGUGUGCACUACUCAUUAGUGGGUGGGGUGGCGAGCACACUUUGCAGCGAGUGUUCCGAUGGGUAUAUCGUUGGCGCGUCAAAAAUCGGGACAUCAGCCAUUUUUUUAGGGAAAUACAUCGGCCCGAAGUCAAGAAUACAGAAAAUUGGUAUGUGGGACUAGCAUGUAAGUCAUACCCAACCUUGUCACGCCAUCAAAAAAAUGGUUCCCCGUCUCGCUCCUCCCCUAGCACCAACGCCCGCAGAAACCCAGGCGGAGGGGAGUUAGCGCCCGCCGGCGGCAAGGCCGCGGUUCUCCCUCACCUCUGUGCGUCGUUUUGGCACCGGCAGGUGUGGGGGAGCCCGGUCUUCCGUCCGGUUGGUGUUUUCGGUUCUAACUUUUUCUAGUUUGUUUCCCGGCAGGAGGCGAGGAUGACGCUGCUGUCUUGGAAUAAGUCCCUCCGGCUCCUUCCUCGUGCUAGCGUCUUCAACUCUGGCGGCGUUGGCGGGCUGGUGAGGGCGGGGUGGUCAGGAUCUGUGUGUUCUGCUCCUUGGCACCCUGGUUUUGAAGUGUCUCAAUGUUCGUCUGUGGCUUUAUGCGCGGGCGAUAGCAUGCUGCCCGGGGAAGAAGAUGGAUGUGUCUGCUGCCUUGGUUUUGUGGUGGUGGCUCAUGGAUCUGGCCGCUUGCUGAAGGGCGGUCUGGCUUCGUCCCCAGAUCCGGUGCUGGAGAGGUUCGGAGGACGCCUUCGGCCGAUGCAUUUGAGAGGAGUUCAUCCUACUCAUUGGAGUAGGUGUCUACUGCGGUUCAAGAAAGCUUUUGAGCGAGUGACUUCUUCAGUGCCUGGUGCGUGGCCUACGAGAGCUCGUUCCCUCUGCCGACGACUCCGGCAACGGCGGAGGGGAUCAGAUUUCAGUGGCGUUGGAAGUUGCAGAGAAAACUUUGGUUUUAAUCCUAUUUUUAGUUUUUUGGGCUUCUCUGUUUCUUGGUGGAGGCUACAGUUCCUUCCGUAUCCUUCCUUUGGCCUCGAGUUAAUUUUUUUUAAUAAUACGAAUUAUUAAAUCAUUAUUGAAAAUAAUACACAUUUUAUAAAAAUUUCAAAAAUAAUACACCCUCGACCUGGGCCAGGCCGACUGGAGCUAAUCGGCCUGGCCCAUGCCGAUUCGGCCCACUCGGCCUCGCCCAGGCCGACUGGAGGCCGGCCUGCCCGCCCAGGCCGAUUAGGCCCCAGUCGGCUUCGGCCAGGCCGACUGGAGGCUCGUCUUGCUCGCACUUACAGGAACAGAACGCCACUGCUCGCCUGCUCGCCGGUUGAUCUCCCUUCGAUUCCCCUAGUCUCCACUCAUUCUCUUCGCAUUAACACAUGAGAAUUAAUCUCCACUAUUCCACGAACCAGUUCAGGCGCUAGGUCUCCCGUUUUCCUUUUUAAUGGCCACUUCUAUUGAGACGCACCGAAUGCCGCCCGUCGGCAUCCGUCUCCCGAUCUUCCUCCUCUGCCUAUAAAAGGCGAUUCCUAGCGCGUCACCGUGUGCCUCUGUGCUUCCUCUCUCAUUAUCCUAUUGAGAGGUUGUCCCCUCAAGAGCUCUACAUCUCAUGCCACGACCGUUUUCCUCCGCCAUCCGUUGCCUCCAUUGUUGAAGGGGAGCUCGCUCCGGAGCUCUGUUCCUCGAUUCCUUUCACCGGGAGACUCUUCUGACCCCCUUUACCUUUUUUGACAAAGUUUCAUGAACAACCGUCGCCGUUGGCCGUGCCGUCCCCGACGUCAUGCCGAAGCCGUGCCCGAAGCCCCGGCCGCGACGGGAGACCUAUUGCGCCUGAACUGGUUCGUGGAAUAGUGGGGAUUAAUUUGCAUGUGUUAAUGCGAAGAGAAUGAGUGGAGACCAGGGAAAUCGAAGGGGGAUCAACCGGUGAACAGUGGCGUUCUGUUCCUGUACGUGCGAGGAAGACGAGCCUCCAGUCGGCUUGGCCGAAGCCACUGGGGCCUAAUCGGCCUCCUGGCCUGUGGGCUGGCAAACCGGCCUCCAGUCGGCCUGGGCGAGGCCGAGUGGGCCUAAUUGGCUUGGGCCAGGCCGAUUAGCUCCAGUCGGCCUGGUCAGGCCGAGGGUGUAUUAUUUUUAAUAAAUUUAUAAAACGUGUAUUAUUUUCAAGCACCGUAACAGGAUUUGCUGUAAAAAAAAAGCGCCACAACCAGAUCAAACCCAAACCACUAGCAUAGACAAGAUUUUGAGUUAGGACGGUCUAAUUAAAAUGAGGGUAACAUGCUAAUAAUAUACUGCACAACAUCGGUUACUCUGUCUACUUCCGCCUAGCACCUGUUGCACCGUGCUUCUGAGCUCUUCGCUAGUCAUGUCUUAGGAAGGAACUAGGAAUGACAGAACGACGCCUCUGUUCGAGUAACCGACCCGAAAAGGUUGUGAUCAGGAUCAGCGCUAAUAUGGCUCGUGUGCUAGGAAAUACUAGCACAAGUCCGUACAUUGUACAGAUUUAAAAAAAAGAGACUAUAGUCCUUAUUUUAAUUCUAACUAUCUAAGUGCCCCGUGCGUUUUGCUACGCUCUUCACAAAUUAUUCAUAUUAAAAAGAUAAAAACAAAAAUCAAGAAUGCAACCCAGCGGGUGCAUUAUCAAUUAAAAGAGAAGCGCUAGAAUGCUAGUACAAUGCCGAAACAGCAACAAUGCCACUCGUGGCAAGAAAACUAAAAAGGAACUACGGACUACCAAGCAACCUACUCGCCGCAAGAGCCGAACCAACACCCCUAGCUAACGGCAUUUAGAAAUGAUAGUUAUCCUCUUAGCUAAUGUCUUUUUUAGAGCAUCUUAAUCAUUGUCUUAAGGUCUUGUUGCUGUUUUGGGCUAGAACCAUUAAUUCUGCGUGCAGUGGGCCAGUCGUUGUUGGUAGAGAGUGGUGGAUGAACGGACCCAGUUGCAAAUUAACAAUUAGUAUAAACCUAGAUCGUUAUCGAUCUUAGGCCAGGCCCAUUAUUUCCAUUGCGGUAACGGACACCGACUGUAAAUUAAUAGGUAGUAUGCCUAUUAAUUUUGUUGUGGUGGUGAUAAAGAGUUGUAGUAAUAGAUUAUUCAUGCCAGAUCUAUCAAGGGUAGGCGGUUCGAGGGUGGAUGGAGCACCGCCACUAAUCGACAUCUUUAUUAUAGUAGGGACGCAAUGACUCAAGAAGAUAUUGAUCGAAACACGGUAUAACUAGAUUUAGGUGGGCUGUCCAACCUAGCCUUGUGCGAUGUACUAGCAUUUUUCGUUCGACGGAUCGGUAACACGGUAGCACCGAAAUGUCUUGACAGGAGUAUAUGUAGCCCGCCAACCAAGAUAAUAAUAGUUGUCAUGAAAAGUGAGUUUUUAUUAUGGAAAGUGAGUAAACGAAGAACAAGAAGUUACAUCUAUUCCAUUUGAGAUUAUGUAAAUUUGAGAAAAUUAAGUGGCGUUCGUUGCCAUUUGGAAUUAGCGAAGUGUCUGGCGCUUUCCUAUGGACCAACAAACAAGCAUUUAAAUGCAAUGAUCAAAUGACUAUUUUCCGGUUUUUAUCCCUAACUUCUUUCUUAUGGUGGCUAGUGCGUUGUAGCAUAUGUACCCUUAUGGUCAUUACUUGGCAAUAUGACAACCAUCUCUAGCGAUGGUGGCGUAGAAAGAAUUGGUAGGUAGUAGCACGACAAGCGGUGCUUUGGAGACGGUAGCACAUAUGGAUUCGACGAGGGAGUGACAAAGAGGAACUUUUUGCUCAAUUGCCCCCCUGCCCAACGGAAUUGUCAAAAAUGCCCCCCUCAACGAAAUGCCGAAAGUGGCCUGGCGAAAAGCAUAAGCGACAUGUGGACUUUCUCCAAUGGGAUCGGCGGAAAGGCACACAAAAAACUGUGCCAGAUGCUAUAGUACACGCCGCUGAUGCGAUUGGACGAAAGCUAGGCCACAUGUUGCUUUAUGGGCUUUUCGUCAGGCCACUUUUGGCAUUUCGUUCGGGAGAGGGCCCUUCCUGACAAUUCCGUUGGCCAGGCGGGGGUUGGGGUGGGGGGGCAAUUGAGCAAAAAGAGAUAUUCAACAAAAACAAUGAGAAAUGACUAGAUGAUGGUCGCAUAAAGGCUUGGAAUAGGAGACUCCCCACAUUGAAAAACGCACAAGCAAAAUACUCAUUCGAGUUGGUAUCUAGUCAUAGGACACAUGAAUUUGACAAAGUGGGUCCAUGCUAUGAGAUUUUAAGUUAAAAAGGUAAAAGGAGGCCACAAUUUUCAAUAUGGUACGGAAUGCACAAAUCGCACAUAGGAAAUAAAAGGUAAAAUUUUAGUGAAAAUUUAAAAUAACUUUUUGCGCGUAUUUGCAGAUAAACCGAGACAUUUUGCACCUGUUUCUCAUGUGUUUUGUCUAAGCGGAUCAUUCUGAUUUUCAACCUUUUGUUCCGGACUUACAUUUUCUCUUAAAUUUCAGUGUUUUUCUUUUCAAAUCCUACAUCCGGACUAUCAGCAUAUGAGGAAAAGAUGCGAGCAGUUGGAGCGAUAGAAAACCGAGAGGCAGUUAAAAAAAAUAUGUGCACAUUCUUCUUCUCCUACUGCGGAGUAGUACCAGUAUAUACUAUGGAGUAUAGGAACAAAUUACUGCUAGCUCUGACGACUCCAAGUCCCAUGAUACAGGCGUUGAAAACUUUACCUGACCUGAGUACCUGACCGACCAUCCGGGGCCCUCUCUACCUCUGCGCCUGAGCCUUGAGCAGCAGCAGAGCAGAAAUGUCCGUUUGUUUACGAAGAUUAGUGUUCCGUGUUAGCCGCAAAAACUACUCCACUGUACUCGCUUUGUGGGUACGCGUGCCUCCUGCCUCGACGGAGACAGAGCAGCUAGCAGAGCAGAGCUGCGCACACAAACAGCGGCUAGUGCGUGCUCUGCAUCAUGUUAACUGGGUCGCAGGCCGUGAAUGUGUCGCAUUUCUUCCAUUAUUUCAAAAUUUAACCGGCUCUAUUCUUUCAGCAGCAGGUGACGUAUCCGUCAACAACGAGCCGUCAGCGGUGAUUUCAUCAGUCUCUUAAGAUCUGCCAGCUCAGUCUUUCGAAGGUGCUCAUAGAGUUAGGAAUGUGCGUGUGUGCGUUCAUAGGGGUGAGUGUACGCUCGUGUUGUGUUGUGAGUGUUGGGUUUUGUACCGUGUUCUUAAAAAAAACUCGGUCGCAGGCCUGGCACGCACGCACUGGAUGCAUGGAUGGAAGUGUGCGUGUCCCCGCCUGCCAGUGCCAUGCCAGCAGCCUCGAGAUCUCUGCCAGUACGUGUCACGCCAAACUGAAACUAUUUUAAUCAUCUUUUACCAGAUCUAUACCGGUGCGGUGCGCUCUCUUCUUCCUUCCCCCGUCCAAGAUCUAGAUGCGACACAUAGAAUUUACUAUCGAGGAGAGCCCCACCCGACGCAUGCGGUUUACCUUCGCACUCGUGGUGUCGUGGUCAAGUCGUCAAGAGAGAAACGAUGCAGUACGAUUUACAUCACUCUGGCGAAGCCAGUUCGGAGAAUCACUGGUGUCAUCUACGGAGUAUAUUACAUUGAUGUAAAUUUUUAUACUCCGUAAAUAUAACUAGUGGUCUUCACUAGUUCACAGAGGAACCACUGGUGUUAAUUGACACAUGUGUUACUUCCUCCGUCCCAUAAUACGAGGCACGCACGCAUUCCUAAAUCGUCAAUUUAGCUAACUUAAUAUAACUUAAAAAAAUAUAAAAAAAUAUCAUUAGAAAGUUCUUUCAAUAACGAAUCUAAUAGUGUAUUUGUUGUUAAAAAAUAUACAUAUUUAAUUGAUCAAAUUGACGAUCUAAAGAUGCGUGCGUGUCUCAUAUUGUGGGCGGAGGUAGUACAAUGUAGCUUUGCCCUUGCCCUCAUCUCAAGUUUACAUAGGACUGGAGUGCAAUGUGCACUUGAAUCUUACGGAAUUGAAAACUAACUAGGCACCUUUGAUUCGGAGGAUUCUGAAAACGUCUGUGCUACAAAAGAACCCAUGAAUAUGACAUGAAUGCAUGUGCAAAAUACAAGACUUGAUACCAUAGAAUUUCUAUAAAAAUGGACGUUUUUUUUUGCGGGAUAUAAAAAUGGACGUUUGAUUACAGGAAUAUAAGAAGACACAUGAAUCCUACUAAACACAGUCAAACCACAUGGAUACGUAUAAUUAGAAUGUUAAUUAGUAUACCAAUGACGACCUCAUCUCAUUUUUCAUGCAUAGGAAUUGAGAAAAGAGGUUUGAGGUGGAUCGCUAGUAAAUUCCUACGUUUUUUCAUUUUAAAGCUGACAUCAAACGGAAUUUUCCUCUAUUUUUCCUGUGUCUCAUUCUGUAAAUCAAAUGAGUGAAUAGUAUCACCAAAGAAAAAAAUUCUAUCCCUACACAUUUCCUCCACUUUUUCAUAUGAAUUGAAAAGGGUAUAUAGGAGUUAACACCAUAGAGUGCUUGACACACCACAGAAAAAACAAAAGAAUUGUACUCCCUCCGGCCGAUACAUAAUAAGUAUCCCAAAUUUUGUACUAACUUAGUACAAAGUUGUAAUAAAUCUGAGACACUUAUUAUGUAUCGGAGGGAGUAGAAAGAGAUUUAAUUUAAGUACAUGGAAGGACUCUAAAAUAGAGUGCAAAGGUACUGCUUGUGAAAAAUUAAGGAUUCUAUUCACACGAAUCAAACGACCAAACCUCCAAAAAAUGUACAAAAUUAUUUGAAUCGAAAGAACUCUUAAAAAAAUGUAUGUUGAGAAUUGAGACGAUGUCAUGGUCUUCGGAAUUCUCGCAUUUUGUUAGAAACCCUACAGGGUAUCCUAAUUCAUAAUCUGAAGAAGCACAAUCUUGUACUCCCUCUGUUUCUUAAUAUUGUGCGUUUGGAGUUGUCCUAAAUGAAACUUUCUCAACUUUGACCGGUUUUAUAAAGUACCAACAUAUAAAACCAAACAAAUGCGAUAUAAAAAUACACUUCCUCCAGUCUUAAAUUAUUGUCGUUGUUUUAGUACAACAAUUUAGAAUCGGAUGAGAUAUUUGAUAAUAGUCCUAACAGUGCUACUUUUGUGUUGUAUAUACGUGUUCAUGUUCUUGCAAAUUUGGUCGAAGUUGACAACCUUUGGCUUAAGACCUAUCAAAUGUACAAAUAUGUCGAAAGGGAGUGAGUAUUUUGUUAUCUUCGUUUUGUAAUUUGGGUGAUCCGAAGAUGCACUGUGUAAUUUAUCAGUAUCGUGUAAAUGUGCUGAUCUUGUCCAGAGACCGCAGUGGAGACUACUAGUAACGAGUUCUUUCUGUGGGGUCCUGGGUGACAGCCGGUCCCCACCCAUUUGACUUACACAAAGGAAAAGCAACGAUGGGGACAGCCGCCCAACCACGGUUGGCAACAGAACAGAGGAGAGAGAGAGAAUGAGAGAUUCCGCCUACGAGGACAUCCGCAACGAAACGCAGAGAGAGCGAGAGGAGAGACGGUGUACAGCUCCGGACUGCAAUGAAAAGCAGAGGAAGAUGAAACCGGGAAAGGGACACGGUGUACAGCGUGCGUUGGCGUGUGUCUGCUUGUUGCUUUGCGGUGCGUUGUGGAGUUCUUUUAUUCUGGUGCAUGCCUGCGUGCUUCCGCUUUUGCUUUACAAAGGUCAGCCACGGAUUCCAUUCUCUCUCUCUCCCAUCUCUGCCUCCCCUUCAGUCUCCCUUGCCUUUGACAUGAAUCGCAUAUGUUGGCGCCUGCGUGCGCGUCCCACAGGGCCAGGGGGGGCUGUGUCUACAUUGCGCAGCUGGCUUCUUCUUUUGUUGUUUCUCGCUCCCCGGCUCGCACGGUUAAUUUUAGAGCUACCUAGCAUAUGCUUUCGGGGCUCUUUUGUCCACGGUACCUUCCUUCUGUCUUGCCUUGUAGCAAUAUUAUUUUCCUGACACUGUCGCUCGUGGCAAGCAAGCGUGCAAUGCUAAUGCUCUUCGAGUUUAUUUCGCUACGCUUUUAGCCUUUGAAUUGAUCUAGAUGUGCUUUUUAUUUUUUUUCUUUCAUGGUUAAGGCCCAGCUAAGGACCAAGGAAUCUUGUCAAAGUGUUCGGAUAAUGAGUGAAAGUAAUAUCUGAAAGUCGAAUUUCCACCAACUUCUUUUUGUUUGAUUGAAAUAAAACAACCUCGUUUACAACAACAGCAGCAGCAGCAAACUUACAGGUGGCCCUCUUUUGCUCGAAUGUGCUCCACUUAUUUUUUUUUUCCGUGUAUAUUGACAUUAUCCGCUGACCAGAGAUAAUUAGCUGACUCUGAAAGUAAAAAUAGUAAAGAAAAAUAGGGUGAACGAAACACUCCAUUCUCGAGUGAUCUUACUUGCACAUCUACGGCAACUUGUACUGUUUGCACAUCUACGGCGUUGAAUGUAGAUAAAAUGACGUACGGAGUAGGAGUACAUAUAAAACCAACAGUGACAGGGGAACAGCUCGGCUGGUUUCGGCCAAAAGCAAAAGUGACAGCUGAGAGGCCGGCUAGAUUUAGAUUAGAUUACAAGGAGAGAGAAGACAGAAGACGCGGGAUAGUGUGUCCUUCACAUGUGUUCCUCUCCAAGCUUUAAUUUUCCCAGUCCUACUUAGUUGUUUUUCCUAUCUCUUGGACCUAGGAAUUCGUGCAGAUUCCUCCACAGGUCAAACCCGUACUGCAUCUUGUUUGUUGCUAAUGCAGAGCAAUCUGGGGAGGGACGUUGAGUACAAGUCACCGCUCUGUAUUUACCGUCCUACGGUGCGGGUGAUUGCUUCAGCCUUCAGGUAGUCAAAACCAGGAUAGCUCAAUUCAGAUGAUUGGUUCAUGAAAUCGAUCCUCGACACAAAAUAUAAAAUACUUUCUCUGAUCAUAAAUUUUUAAUCAAAUUUGUCCAAAUAUGGAUGUAUCUAUUUUUAAAAAACGUUUAGAUACAUAUAAUAUUUCAACAACAAUUUAGGAUCGGAGAGAGUAAAAUAGACACUCGCAUGCUCAACUUCGUCCCUUCACCAUAGCCGUGCGGUCACUCGGUCAUGGAAACAUUUUUUCUGCUUAUAGCUAGGAUAGCUCAAUUCAGUCUUUGCCAAAAAAAAAAGGAUAGCUCAAUUCAGUACUUUGCCUGAUUGCCAUGGCGGGCAGUAUUGCCCAAAAUUUCACUUUAUACAGCACUUAAUUUAUGGCAGCAGUCCGGCACACAAUCCAUCACCUACCGAUUUUUUACAAGUCGGUGAAACGAGAACUAAUAAGAUACAGAUGGUAUAUACUCCGUAGCAUUUUCUUUAACCGUAAAGUGUACGUAUUUUAUUGGUCCUAGCAACGGACAUGCAUUGUGCUAGUCUAAACAAAGAGGUGCGGACCAAGAUCGAAACGUUGCAAUGUUCGAAACGGAAACUAAAAUAUUUUCCACUUACAGCCUAGAAUUCUGAAAAAAAAAUUAAAUUUCAGAAACCAACUUGUUUGAUUGGCACAUAAUUUAAUAGGAAUUCAAUCUCAAAUUCUAUGCAAUCACGUUAUAACUAACCCAAAAAGGCAUCAUUUUUCUAGAAUUGUUUCUCACUCUACAUAUCCAUGUGAUAGACAAACAUGAUUUUUAACCCAAAACUCAAAUUUAUUCAAAUGAAAUCCUAUCAAAAUUUGAACUUCGUUUCAUUUCUACCACCAAAUGAAAUGAUGGAUGUCAAAUGAGCUGUUAGUACUCACAAGAAUUACUCCAACUUUUCAGACGUUGAAAUUCUCCAAAGAGUUAGUCCCUCUGUUCAGAUUUACAAGGCAGGUGCAUGUUUCUAAGUUGUCAAUUUGUAAACAAAAUAUGUACACCCUCCAUCUAGAAAUAAGUCACUUGAAUUUGUCUAAAUUCAUAUGUACUUAGACAUGUUUUAGUAUCUAUAGAUACAUGCAAAUCUAGGUAAAUUCGUGUCAUUUAUUUCCGGACGAAAGAAGUAUUACAUUGCAAAAGAAAAAACAUAUCAUUAGAUUCGUCGUCGAAUGAACUUGUUAAUGACAUAUUUUCUUGAUCAUAUAACAUAUAUCUGAUUACUGCAAUUGGUGACCUAGAAACACAAGCAGGCCUUAUAAACUCGAACGGAAGUAGUAGCCUAAAUGUAUUGACCUCUCAAGAGCAUGAAAAAAAAAGUUGUUCUUGCUCCUUUUUUCUGACGUCAAAUAAUAUUGAAACCCUUCGCAACAAAUUAGAAGUGUCUCGGCCGAACAAAUCUAAACCAAUUCAUUGGAAAAAAAAGAUUCCAAAUGGAGCUGGGUCACGUCAUACACCACAACCAUAGCCCACCGAAACAUGUCCAUCUUAGAGCAAGAAUAAAUUCGGAGUACUCCGUAGUAAAGUUAGUUAUAAACACGUAGUUUUAGGCCACGCUCGCAUGCUCAACACCAUCCCUGCUGCUACUUCAUUGCCCCAUCUCUUCCACCAUCACCACCCCUAGUCUCCACUGAGAGAGUGGAGUGGAGUGGCGCUCGUUCCCUCUCCUUCUUGGCAUGUCAACGCGAACAAAAAGUAUCCUCCCAUCCAUCGCCUCCGGACGGAUAUAAAGCCAACCCUCAAAGGCCAAAACGUACCCAAGAUCGAAACCACACGGUCUGCCUGCCUGAGCCAAGAGCAACCCUGAGGUUUGCCUGAGGUAUACAGCAGCUUCGUUGUUAGCUAGAACGUUUCCCUUCGCUUCUUGCUGCAAUUCUUUGGUUCCAGCUGGCUGCAAGUCAGGAGCCUUUUCCUCUCUCUAUGUUUUUUACCAAGCUCGCAUUGCGAUUUAAGACCAAGAUUUGCUAUAUAUGAUUUGUGGCCACCAACAAAUUAAAUUCCUCCAUUUCUAAAGCCCGUUUCUUCGAAUUAAACUGCUAGGGACCCGAGAGAAUUUCCUCCUUACUUCGAUGCGCAAUUGUCUUGUGUUAGUGUUUCAACUUUCAACCAGUACACUGAACUCGAUCUUAAUUCUUGUCUUUGUCCCAAUGCAGAGAGAGGCCUUGCAUACUUAGUCAUCACUGCGGAAUCAAUGGAGCCGAGCGCGGAGUUGUCCAUGGCGCCAGCGGCCAACGGCAGGAAGCGCAAGUGCCCACCGCGGCCCGGCCUGGGUGACAUCCACCAGGACAUGCUGGAGCGCGUCCUGGCGCGCCUCCCGCCGGCCAGCUUCUUCCGCCUCCGCGCCGUCUGCCGAGGCUGGCGCGCGGCCGCCGCGUCCCGGACAUUCCUGGACGCCUGCGCCCGCGUCCCUCGCCGCGACCCGUGGUUCCUCAUGCUCUCCGACCACCGGCCCCACCACCCCGUCGCCUUCGACGCCGCCGAGCGCUCCUGGCUGAAGAACGCGUGCCACGCCGAUGCCGCGCCGGGGCCAGCCGUGCCGGUGGCCGCGUCGGGCGGCCUCGUCCUCUACCGCGCGCCGGCCACGGGCGCGCUCUCCGUCUCCAACCCGCUCACCCGCGCGUCCGGCGCGCUCCCCCCGGCGCCGCAGCCGUCGCAGGGCCAGCAGCAGCAGCUCCACGCCAUUGCCAUGUACGGCUCCCCCUACCGCGUCGCGCUCUUCACGGGCGAGCUCCUCGACGACCUGUCCAUGGCGGUGUUCGACUCCUCCAAGGGCUCCUGGGAGACCCCCGUGGCGCUCGCCCGGAGUCGACCCUCAGCGGACGCGCCCCCGGUGCAGGACACCGACACGGUCUACUUCCUGAGCAAGUCGGGCGACGUGGUGGCCACCAACAUGCAGCGCAGCGCGUCCAAGCAGUACUCCUCCGUGGUCGUCCCGUCCAACUCAAACGACACGGCCGCCGUCGCCUACUUCCUGAGCCACUCGGGCACCGUCGUGGCCUGCGACACGGCGGCACGCACGUUCGCGGAGCUGCCGCGGAUCCUCCCCGUGCACUUCGAGUACUCCAUCGACGUCGUGGCCUGCGGGGCCGCCGCGUACGCCGUCGUGCUCUCGGAGCACCUCGACACGGCUAGCCUGCGCGUGUGGGAGUUCGCGGCGGGCGCGUGGAGGCAGGUGGCCGCCAUGCCGCCCGCCAUGUCGCACGGCUUCUGCGGCAAGAAGGCCGACAUCAACUGCGUCGGCCACGGCCACCGCCUCAUGGUGUGCGUCAGCGGAAGCUCCGCCGAGGUCAGCGGCUGCUUCAUGUGCGACGUCAGAAGCAACCGCUGGGAGGAGCUGCCCAAGUGCGUCGAUGGCGACGGGGAGGCCAACGAGUUCUUGGCCGCCUUCUCCUUCGAGCCUAGACUGGAGAUCAACGUCUAAGGACUGAGCGUGUAGUCAGUGUGGUGUGCGUGCUUAUUGUGCUAAUUAAUUAAGGAGCGUCGUUUUGUUUUGCUCCUUGCUUCUUACAUUUCUUUGUCUGUAAUAUGUAGCAAUGGCUGUUUGAUUUGCAUGAUCUAGUCGACACAUUUCGGAUUGUUUGAUGGAAAAAAGAGUUAAAUCGAGUACUUGACUCUUGUGCCCAUGGGAAAGGACGUUAGCAAUCUGACGCAAAGUAGAUGCGUAUCGCCAUAUACAGUGCUGGGAAACUUCUAUUGAGGGCAAAAGUAAAUGUGGUUUCAUGUUCUGUGGCCAGAAGAAAAGAUUGCAUCUGGCAUAGAACAAAGCAUCAACUAGCAAAUUCAUGAUUUGUACUAUUGAAUGUGACUUCAAGUUUGCAGUUCUGCUCUGGCUUCAGGCCUCCUUUGAUUUAAAGGAUUUCCAUAGGAAUUUUAAAAACUUGAAAUCCUUAGAAAUUUUCUCUACGUUGGUCGUUUGAUUCUAGGAUUAAAUCCUAUAGGGAUUUCUCCUAAGGAUUCAUUUGUACUAUAUUUCAUAGGAACAUUUACAUCCACUCCAACCUUUUGGAAAAAUCUCUUGGUCCAAUCAAACAAAUUUUGAUGCAAAUAAAAUCCUAUAGAGCUCAAGUGGACAUGACAUUGCAAUCCUACAUUUUUUCUAUUCUUUACUUUUCCAAUUCUACGAAUCAAAGAGGCCCCCAAUGUUAUAUAAAUCACUUCACCAAGUUGUCAUAGUAAUUUGAUUUUCGCCAUUUACUCGCAAAUUAAUGUUCCCUACUUCAGAAUCAUCAUAAGGUCUACAUUAAACCUCGUUCAAAUCUGUUUCGCUGGUCCGGAAGAUCUUAUGUGUUCAGUCCAAUCUGAUCGAAGAGGUGCAAAAAUAAAAAAGGGAAUAAAGGGAGGAAACAAAUAUACACUAUUGUAGUAACUAAAACUUUCUCAUCCUCCUUUCGUUCUUUCUUUCUUCCUUUCUUUUCUUCGUUCUUUCUUCUUUUCUUUCUCGCAAGUGCAGAGCAUGCAGCAGCUUGCCCAUGCAACAGCAAAAGUUGCCACCUUUGCUUUGGAAGGAGGCAGUGUGGCUUCCACUGAGGAAAGAGUUAUCUCAUAAAGAGUUAUCAUAAGAAUUCUACAGAAAGAGAAAGAGAAUCGAUGUAGCGCUCGGGGUUAUCAUGUCCCUGUACUGCAUGCUGUUGGGUUUCCUUCUUCUGUCUCCUCUCCAUGCUUGCAGUGGAAAAAAAGAAGAAGCAGCUUGCGUUCUUGGUUGCAGAUGCUCUCCGAGAUGUGAAGCUCUCGCAUCGUAUCCAUGUUGCAUGUUGCUUUCUUUUGCUUGCUUUGAUCUGCUGCUUUAGCAAGUGCAAACAAGGCUCUUAAAGCGUGCUUACUCGCCACUUUAUCACUCCAGUUUUUGCAGUAGUGUCAGAGAGCCUUCUUUUGCAGCAAACGCAGCCAGUUGGGCGUUGGCUGGCUUGAUUACUGCGAUAAUGGAAAACAUUAGUUGCUGCAUGAUGCAUGCAGGAGCAGGAUUAGUUAGUUUUCGGUAAUAAUUGCCAUUGCUCGUGCUGUGGCAGCAUGCAGGAGGAUGAUGGGGGCCAAUGCCAUGCGGUGCGAUGCCGGCGUGUUGGAUGGAAAGAUUGGCAGGGGGAAUGAUGGCGCGGUUGCAAGGCGCAUGAUGAAGUGGUUGACAAUGUGAUUUAACAGAAUUCUUUCACAAUCAUCACGUCUAUGUCCGUUCUUGAUGGACGGACAGGAAAGUUUAGCAUGCCCUCACUUGCUUCUCACAGAAAUAGAAAAGAGAGGAGGAAGGAAAGUCGGCACGCCUUUCGACUUUUCAUGAGACGCCAUUAGAUGAUGGCUACUCUAGAUCUGAAUGUCAAAUUUGUUUUUAUUUUAGUCCUUCAAAAUUUGGUUUAUUUUACUUGUGCAAGAUCAUCUAGGCUGUGGUUUUUAUUCCAAUUUUUUUUUGGAAGGACACGUGAUGAUUUACUGACAGAGUAAUUCGUUCGAGUAAUGGGAACAACACCAUCGAAGACAAGCCUGCGUGAGGGUGCAUGAUGGUAGUAGAAUGAUUCCGCGGAAGAAGAAAAAGUUUUAGACUGCAAACUGAAACAAGCGGCAGGGACUCUGCAGGUCUCGUGGGAACAUCUGCGAGUAAACUGCAGGCGAAUGAAACGAAACGGUGGGUCGUGUGCGUGGGAUGGAUGGGCAGAGCUAGCUGGGCCAGGUCGCAGGCUGGCCGAGACACCUUUGGGCCCAUCCGUUUGGCGCCUCGACCUGGUCCCCCGUCCAUCUCCAGCCACGGCUAAGCUUGCCAACUCCAGUUUCUAGAUAAAAAGUGUUCACUUAUUACUGUCUAGUUUCGCCUCAACCACUGCGUGCCCGUGAGGGAAAAUUCGAACUCGAUAUAAGAAAAGAUUCCUUACAAAAUUGUCACGACCACAUCGCUGGCAUAUCAGACCGGCCACUUUGAGUGAAACGGUGAGGUUCGAAAUGCGAUAGCUGAAAUCGUUCUCGGUUCUCCUGUCCUUGUGAUGUGCCGCUGAGAAACAUAGGGGAACCGGGGAAGGGAAACGGUGAAUCUGCCAGAACGUCAACACCCAACAGAGCAGAAGCUGUACCCAACGCCAGGGUUUAACUCGUGCUCCUGUCCGAAACAUCCAGCCCGCACAAACUGCAGCCGUACGAAAAGAGAACGAAAUAUAAGAGCGAAUUGACACUUCACGGAGAGUCAGGCUUUUAGCCAUCGCUCGACCUUUUCAGCAUUGCACACCUCACGUUUAAUCAACAAACCAUCCAGAUCCAGUUUUAAAAUUCAAACAAUUGUACUCCGUAUGUGUUAUCCAGUCUAGAGAACGUUGAGAGCCGAGAUUGGUUUUACCAUUGUUGAUGCCCUUAAGCUUAUUCUACCAAAAGUCAUGGAAAUUGGGUAGUACAAUAGUGUCUCUGUCCCGCCUUUCUUGAUACAACGCACAUCUGGCUGCUUUGGCAAAUUCAAAUUGUUUUUGAUAUAGGAUCUAGGGUUUCAAGAGCAAGUAUUAGUGGCAGGGAACCUUUGAGGACUGGAACCCUAGCCGCGUCGGCGACAGUUCCUCGACGACAACAACCUCUCCACGCCCCCAUUAUUGUCUACUCCACCAACUUUAAGUCCAAAAUACAACAUUCUAAACAUGGCUUAAUAAGAUUUGUGAAUCAGGGCGAGCGUGUGUAGGUUUCACUUGGAAAGAAAGAAAAAGCUUCGGUUAAUUUUACUCCUGGGGAGUAGAAGCCGAGGUAAACUCCAGCGGGCCAACCCAAAGCGGACACAGAAUCUGUUCGUGUUGGUCCGUUUGGGUGGCGGGUCGAACACCCCUGGUGCCACCGUCCGACCAGUGUCUAUAUGUGUCGGCCGGUGCACCCGACGCUAGGACCCAUUCCAUGCCCAUUUUUCCUCUUUUCCUCCUGCUUGUGUCCAUUUGGAUCGAAUAAAUUACCGUAGCAAAUACAUAACAUGGUUCCUACACAAAAGCACCAGCAAAUGGGACACAUAUCGAGUGAUCAAUCUCGAUAAUCAUCUUCCGCUUGUUCUCGAACCAAGCUCACUACAAUGGGUCCAGGAGGUUCAAGUCGGUCGUCAUGAUCCGUAUCUCCUCGGCGAGCAGAGUGAUGUCAACUUCCUUGGCUCUUGUUCAGGCAUUGGUCUCAUCAAUGUCGAGCUUCCUUUUUUGCACAUCGGGAAAGUUCUUCAUUUGCUCCUUCUUCUCUUGGCGCUUCCUCUCCCGGGCCCUCUCACUUGUCAGUUCCUUCUCCGCUAGCGGUGCCUUGAGGGUCUCUUGCAAUAUGAGUUACUCACAUUUUGCAUCGAUCUUGGAGUUGGUCCUUCCCCUCAGCCGGACCACACAUGAUGCCCCACUAGGGCGGGCAGCAUCAUCGCCGAUCACCAAGGAGUCGUUGGCAUGCUCCCUCCAAUUGGAUGCAUUGUUCUUGGUGGCGGCAGGUGCGGUGGCGGUGGUGGAAAAGCGGCGCAAAUUUUUUUUGCCAUGGUGAGUUAGGACACGGGCAGACCGGAGUGGGCAGACGGAAACCUAGCCGUGUGUUUUGUCCGCGCGGACAGAAACUGACACGUCCGGGCGACGCCCCACGGGAGACGGCCAAGUGAAACUGCGCAAAAGCAAAUCUUCAUAAAAAAGAGUAGCAAAUCAACAUCUUCCCUUACUGGAUCCACAUGUAUAUAUAGCCGACGCUAUUUGUAUUUUGUACAUACAAUACAAUUGAACCAGACGAUGCACUCUAAAACACGUAUCGAUGAACAUACCGGACUGCUCUUACACACCGCAUACGCACGCAAUACAAAGAGAAGCAUCCAUCGAUCCAUCCAUCCGUAGAUCAAGCAUCAGCCGAAGAGCCCUAGCCUGACCGGCGUGCCCGUCUCCGGUAUCCACUCGGCGCCGUUGACGAAGUGCUCGACGGUGAACUGCAUGGCCUUCUCCUUGUCGAGCACGUGGAAGCCCUUCAUCUCCUGCCUCGCGGUGACGUUGGAGCCCUUGCCGACGUUGGCGAACUCGCCGUAGAAUGCCGUGCCGAGGUUGUCCUUGCCCUCCCACGGCAUGUACCCCUGCGGGUGCACGAAGCCGUCGAUGAUGGAUUCGAGCACGAUCGUCCUGGAGAACUCCUUCCACGGCCUCGCCAGGAACGUCUUCACCGUGGACGACGUCUCGGCCAGGCGCUCCUCGGCCACGAUGCGGGUCCGGUGCAGGACGAAGCCCGUGGUCUGCUGCCGGUCGCGGCGCCCGUGCGCGGUGACCACGGCGGGCUUCCCCGGGAGCGGCGCCUUGACGAGGAUGACGCAGCGCUGGAAGAUGGCCGCUGCGUCGCCGAAGAUGAAGUCGAUGGUUCCCGAGAUGAUGCAGCUCCGGUAGUACUGGCGGUAGGCCUGCGCGAAGAGCGUGUCCUGGUUGCCGUCGAUCCGGCAGUUGAAGAAGAUGGCCCGGUCCGCCUUGACGCGCAGCGCCAGCGCCUGCUGCUUCUCGUCUCCUGCCGUGUUCUGGAUCCCCAGCUUCACGGCCAUGAACCUGUCGCCGUCCACCGCUGCACGCAUGCAUGCAAGCCGUUGGACACAAUCACGACAUGCAUUAAUUGGUCGAGCAAUUUGCUUCCGUUUACGGACGGACCUAGAGUGGCGGUUCUCCACAUCCUUACGCCGUCGGCGACGUUCUUGCUCCCGGUGAUGAUGGACUUCUUGGCGCCGUCGCCGUACAGGGUGAUGUUGGCCAUGCCGUUGGUGAUGUUGACCUGCUCGUCGUAGACACCUUCCUUGACGUAAAUCACGUACCUGCCGCUGUGGUUCUGCGGCAUGGCGUCCAACGCGCCCGAGAUGUUGGCGAAGUUGCCGGAGCCGUCCUUGGCCACCGUCACGUUGGGCGUCAGCCCGCCCUUGUGUUCUUCUUCUCCAUCUCCAUCUCCUUCUUGGGCGGCGUCGAGAAGCUUCCGGUCCUCAUGGGGCACCCACGACGGGAACACUAGAGCAGAUUCCCGGCCUUGGAGCCGGCGGUCGUUGUUGGGAUUAUUCUGCGUGUCGUCGUCGACGGCGGCGGCCGCGUCCUUGACGUUCUCGACGGUGAGGCUCUCCCCUUGGUCGAUCUCAAGCAUGGCGGAGAGCGCGGCUCCCUGCUGGAUGAUGGCGAUGGCGUUGCUGGAGAUCUCCCGGGCCUUCUCCAUGAUCUCCUUGAUCUCGUCCCGGAUCUCUCCCUUGGGGAACAUGUCGACGCAGGAGCCCUGGAAGGUGAUGACCGCGGAGAGCCAGGCCUGGAGGUCCUGCGCGGGCCCGUCCACGCCGCGGUUGGCCACGUUGUCCAGGGCCCGGGUGACGUCGGCGGCGCAGUCGUCCAGGAGCAUCUUGCAGUCGCGCAGGGCCUCGUGCACCAGCGUGUCGUUGCUCUCCCGGACGGCGUCCAGCAGCGACGACCGGUUGAAGCCUUUCCCGAGCUCGCGGCCGACGGCGGUGAUGGCGGCCGCCGCGGCCGCGUGCGUUUGGUCCGACGGGUCCUUGGACCGCUCCAGCGUCUUCUCCAGCGUCUCCUGGCACGUGGCGCGGUAGUCCGUGGGCGCGCAGAAGAGGUCCACCGUGCGCAUCGUGGUGCUCAUGUUGCGCUUGCUCUCCUGGGUGUCCUCGUCCGCCUUCUCCGUCAGGAAGAAGGCCGCCGUGCCGGCCACCACGCCGAUCAGGAGGAACACCGAGAUCCCGCCCACCAGGAGCCGAGUGCGCGACGCGUUUUGGUCCUCCUCCGCCUCAACGCCGCGGGAGGACGACGACAUUGCAAUUUUGCACUGUGCCGGCGCGCACUGCAACCACGAUUAACCAGAGAUCGAGUCGAUCGAUGCUAGCUGCGGCCGGCCCCGGCGCAAAAUCGAUCGAUGCGCGCCACGCAGAUCAGCAUCCAAGAACCAAUUCCACGAUCAACUCUCUAGCUCUAUGAUUUGGGGAAGUUUUUUCUGUUUCGUUUCGUUUUGGUUGAUUUUUUUUGUCUCUCGGUACGGGCUUGUGGUCUGUCCUUGUUCCGAGGAACAGCUAGCCCGGUUUGCUGGAUUUGUGUGUUGGCAAAACUGUCCGGCUCUUUUUUAGGAAGCGAAAUGGGCAGAGUAAGCAAGAGCUGCAUAUUUUCAUUUAGACAUGUGUAUUUCAUUUACAUUAGCAGAAUUGAAUUAUUUACAUGUUGUAAAAAAAAGUACUCCGUAGCAAAAAAAAAAAAUACAAUUUCUUCACGUGUAUCAAUCAAUUUUAAAAUGUGAGCAACAACUAGACAAAUAAAAUACGCAUACCACUCCGUGGAACAUAAAUCUUCAGAUGUGUGAGUGUCCUACAUUUUGCAACCGGAGGAAUAGUUAUAUUUUAGGGUAUCCCUGACAAAAGAUUCAAAUGUCAUGACUUGUUGAAUCAUAAGGUGAACAAAAGCACACAAAUUUGUAAAAUAGCUUUUUUUAAUGCUCCACCGAAAUUUAAAAGAGAGAAUAUAUGCAAGCAAGAUAUAAAGGAAAUUUUCCAUUAACUGUAGUUAACCUCUUGCAAGAAUCCUAUCCUAUAGUAUUGAAGUGUAGGAGUGAAACCUAUAGGGAUUUUAGUGGUUUCACUCUUUUCUAGAUGAGUCCCAUCAGAAAAAAAUAUGGAUAUAUGCAAAAAUUCUAUGAAAUCCUUUUAGUUCAAAGGACCUUACGUAAUCCACCUUGGUUUAUGGACAAACUUGUGAAGCUGCGUGGUUUUGAAAUCUAGAUAUAAAUACUAACUUCACAAAAUUAUCUCAAAGUUUGUAUUUGUGACAAAGCAGCAAUUCCGCAAUCUACAGGUUACGCCACCCUAGUCACAGUAAAUUCAAAUAUCUAAGGUUUUUUGCUCUUCUGGGACCGGAGGCUUAUGGAACUCUUAAAAGAACCAUAACGUUAAUCUAGCUAGCUUGUGCAGGUUUAGUCUCCAGGUUCUUCACCGGAGGCAUAGAGGAAUGUCAAUGUGGGAAGGGUGGACCUAGGGAUGAAGCAUUGAAACGAGCUAGACAUAACUUUCUGUUUUAUUACAAGUCUUUGUCAUUUCCGUUUGUUAUUUUCUUUUUGUAUAUGAUGCACUGGUCUAUCUGAUUAAUAAAUUUAGAUCUUUUUUAAAAGCUUGCAUAUUGAAAUGGGUUGAUCCUGCGGAUCCUCCAAACUUUCCAUGUGUUAGUGUAGCUUGCGCGGGUUGGUUCUUUAGCUUCUUCAUCCGAUACUUGGAUGGUGUCAUCAAAAUGCUAAGGGCAGAGGUAGAGCUGAGGGUGACUCCAGCAGGGUGACGAAAAUGUGUCAGUUUUGGUCCGUUUGGGUGGCGACCUGGACACCCCAGAGGCCGCUGUCCAGCAUAACUCCGUUUGACUCGUAGAGUGCGCCCAGCGGGGAGAUCCAUUUGGGAACCAUGACAAGCUUUAAAAUUUGAUGAACUUGCUACAAUUCACUGAUAAAAUUUGAUAAACUUUCUACAAUACUUUGAUAAACCCUAAAGUUAACAUAUGAGGACAACCACCUUGCCAGAGGAUUUGGGAACCAUAUGGCAAGGUGAUGAGUGCGACCGGUUUGGUACUUCAGCGGGAGGGGAAGAGCAGGACGCCACUUGUGACACACGACUGAUCGUGGUUGAUGAGGAGCACUUGCCGGCUCAAUCGGCCUCCUCGUCGGAGCCUGGGACAAGCGUUUGAGCAACGCCUCGCCACUCCCUCAUAUUCCUCUAGUGUUGCUUCUCAGCUUCGAAUCCCCAGGUGAGCUCCUCCGCUUCGGAUGCCACUUGGCGGGUGGCCUCCUCAACGUCGGUCUUAAGCAACUCCUUGCAGGCGCAGAGCACCAAGUGCUCCUCCUCUUCCUCAAAAACGUGGGCAGACGCCAGUUGCGCGGUAGCGCUUUGGGACAGCUCCCGGAGGGGUCGGCAGUGCAAGGCUUCCUCCCUCCUCGAUCUCCAUCCCCUUCUAGCUCCUUGAUCUCCAUCGCCUCUUAAUCCUACAUCUUGGCAAUACAGGAGACGACGGGGUCCCCAUUUAAUAAGACUGGGAUGGGGGUCGAGUUGUCGCUGACGAGUGGGACCGGGGAAGCCGAAAAGUUUUGACUCGGCGGACGCAUUUGGUUCAUUUGUUAUCCAUGUGGGCGCAAACCCGACCCAGAAUGGGUCCAGCUGGAGCGAAAAUGGGUCGCCGCACUGGACUGGCGUUUGGUCCAUCCGGACCGAAACAGAGCAGUUCAGCCUAAAUGGAUUGCCCUGCUAAACCGGCGUCUGGUCCAUCCGGACUGAAACAGACUAGCCCAGCCUCAAUGGAUCACCCCGUUGGAUUCUUCCUCAUGAUUUUAAAGCAUAACCAGGUGUGACUUUUGGUUUUAUCAAUGGUCUUUGUUAUCCGUGUUUGUUUCGGGUUUUUUAUCUGAUAUAUGAUAUUUAGUUUCUUAAUGAGUUCAAAUCGUUUAUUCCCAGCAUCUUAAUCCUCAGAUGCACACAACCAAAAUUUUAUUAAAAAAUACAACAUGCCUCAAGGUCGAACAAAUUGCUUACUUAGGGGAUUCAUGACGGAACAACAUGGAAUCCAACAAUGAGUACGGUAAUCCAACAUGGAAUCCUCUAUUUAUCUUCUCUCUCUCACCCUCUCUUCCCUGCUAAUUUUUAUAUAUAUUUAUGUGCAAAAGAGAAUCAUCGUAGUCAACCACUUGUCCAGACAACCUUUAAAAGAACAAAUAAGGAGGACAAACGAGAACCUGUCCCGGAAAUUCCUUAGGCCCCUAGGCAGGUUCAUGUUUAACAUUUGGCACUAAUGACUUAUGUAUAAAGAGAGCUAAUCAUGGCCCUCUGAAACUAAAGAGAGCCUCGAGCGCGUCAGCGUUUGGCAGGGAGUAUUUACCUAGCAAAUUUUUGAUAAACUUCUUUGCUCUUGAAUUAACCAAAGUUGGGAGAAAAAAAAAUGAAGGGUUGAUAACAUACGCUUAGAGCAUUGACUUGGUAUGGCCAUUGGCCACCCAACAAAUAUACGCUAAUCGAGCCCAUGCCCACUCGAGACGCGGCCACACCAUAACAUGGCUUUUCGGCGCGGCGUAUUGUUUAUGGCACACGCGUGUAACCUUGCUGGCCAUUUUCGGGGCAAACUCCAUGCCGCGGCCCUCGAGAGUCGAGAUGCAUCAUGCUGCUGCUACCGUAGCCACUCCAAUUCAUUUUGUAGGCCGGUUCACUUUGUAGUACAACGCUCCCUUGGAGUAUACCAUUUCCCCUUGUAUAGUUUUGAAGUAUAUAUGUUCUACUGGUUUAGGCGUUUAUCGUGUUGCUAGUCGAACAUACUGCAGUAGCAUGUAUACGUUUUUCCAGUGCAAAAACAGUAAAAUUCCAAGAAAACUAUCUUGCACAAAUUUUCCCGGACCGAGAAUGUUGUGCAAGGAAAACUUGGUAAUUUGGAUACAGCGAGCAGUACCACAUCUCUUCAGGUCAGCAGCAGAAUCAUGUCGACGCAAUUCUAUCUCGCUCCCUUAAACGCAAAGAAAAGAAGGAAAACCAUAAACACAAAAUGAAAUCAUCAUGCCAUACACAGAGUCAACGUUAUCCCCCUCUCAUUUCUCCUGUCAUCCACUCAUCCUGUCAUACAUAAACAAAUUGUAGAACACUUUCUUUUUAAAAAAAUAAAAAAAUUGUAUUAGAACACUUUCAAAAAAAAUGGAGCAGGUGAGGUUAAUAAUCUGAAAUAAGCUCUUCCAACUGCAGUUAGCAGAUAGCGCAUACAUAAUUAUAUAUACAAAACACGACGAGCCCAUCUCGAUCAACCCCUAAAAAAUAUCAUGUAACCAAGAGAGUGACGUUUCUGUGGAUAUAUUUCCUCCGAUGAAGCAAAGAAGGAGAUGCACUCGACCAAGCCCAUGAGUCAAGAAAAGAAGAUAAGAGAGAAACAGAGUCGUCAACAGAAAAUCAAACUACGCACCGGGCGUCAACAUCUGUAGAAGUCUGUAGAAGAUGAGACGAGCUAGGAGACAGCUAAAACUAAUGGAGAGGAACCGAACUGCAUGUUGAGUGGUUGCUGAUGCAAACUGCUAUGCUACGUGGCGUAGGCUAGGACCCCCAGGAACGGAGACAGGGCCUUUUAUUAUUAGCAUUAUCAUUUUGAGACGCUGAUGUGUUUGUAGACUUCGUGAUCAUGGCGAUGGCGAUGGCGAUGGCGAUGACACGGCCAGGGCCUUAUCCGUAGCGCGUAACAUGAGCCUGCGUCCGCUGUUUGGUGGCUCUAUUGGUCUUUCACAAUUCACAAAUGGUGCCCACCAAAGCGCCUAGUUUUGAAUGUGUUGGGAUCCUUCUUCAUUCUACUACGUAGAAAUUCCGAGUUAUUACGUCGCAUAACUUCCACAGGAAUUUCGCCGGACAG